RNAcentral lists this long non-coding RNA (148449 nucleotides) under Pelobates cultripes (western spadefoot toad). The record is from RNAcentral. Lineage: Eukaryota; Metazoa; Chordata; Amphibia; Anura; Pelobatidae.
UUUAUUUAUUUAUAUUUCUUUGUACCUUUUGUGAAUUAUACAGGUAUACAUGUGUAUACAAUAAAGCUCAUAAACAAAUAUAGCCAUUUUGUCUUUAUUGUUAUGUGACUUCUUUCUUUGUUAUACAGAGUAUUAAUGAAAAGGGAUUAAGUGAUGAAGGGAAACAUAUUUGUGUAGUAAAAGUUGGAGAAGUAAUCAGGCAUUAUCACAUUUUCUUUCUUUUGGUAAUCAGUGUGAGCUGCAUCCACGCCUAGGUUUUUGUAGCUAGAGGGAAAAAAGACAAAUUAGUAUUAAGAGAGAUUAUAGGAUUUCCUAUACAUAGGAAUAAUUAAAAGUAAUUACAGUCAGAGCUGUCCAAUUUCAGUGCCUCGGGUACACAACCAUUUUGGUGAGUUUUGCAUAUUACUCUUACCUAAUUUAUAACACACAGAAAAUAGGUGGAGCAAGUGGUGAUAAUUAAAUAAGAAUGUACUUCCCUCUCUUCUAACUUUCUCACUGUAAUUUAGCUAUUUUUAUUUAACACACAUUUGAACAAACGGUCGAUAGUAGACUACCUUUGUAAAAUGAACAAUGUAUAAUAGCGAUAAUGCUUAAAAAAAAAAUAUAAAAAUACUUACCUGUCAAUGUACCCUAUCCCCAGAAUCUGUGAGAUUUGCAACGAACAACAAAUGGAUAUAUGAUAUUGCUGUGCUUUCUUAAUAAAUCCUGAUUUUCCCAUUUUUAUCAGGAUGAUUUCUUGGUUUUGCAUGAUGGUCUUUAAGUGCACUUUUCUUUGCAUGUUCUACAAUCCUUCUACGUGUUUCAACUUCUACUGUGAACUUUUAAAAGACCAGGAAGUGGCUCUGCCAAUACUGAUGCUUCUAUUAUUUUAUUCGUAAGCUACUGAACUUAUUAAUGUCUCUGAGUGCCACAGACAGGGUCAGACUAGCCCAUCUUUUCCAGUUGGCCCCCAUACCUUCAGGGCCUGUGCACAGCCGCCUAGGGUGCACUGGCCCUUGGGCGCAAUUGCUUAGCACUGCCUGUCACUACAUGUAGCAUGCCCGAGCGGACUGUAGUACAGGAUCUCCAUUUUUUCCAGGACUACUGCUAGUUCCAAGGCUGGCCCAGGCCGCAGGCAACUGGAACUGCAAGGGAGACCUUAAAUUGAUCUGCUCCUAAUAGACCACAAUGCUCCAUCACUGGACCUCCAGGGACCACAUUACCUACCACAAGGUAAGGAAUAAAGUAGGUAAAGUUGUGAGGAGUUGCUUCCUCAUGUACAUUUAACCUCCUCAUGUUAGAAGAGAUACUACAGGUUGAACUGAGCCUUACCGAUAAUGCAAAAAUAAAUAUUAUGAAAAUGUAUAAUGAAAAGAAAGUAAUCUUCAAAUAGCCUAUACUCUCUGCAAACUGUGAAGAAAAUUCUACAUUGAACUUUGCCAAGACCAACAUGUGGCUCUGGCAAUCCUGGUAUUCCUGAUAUGUUAAUUGGUUGCUGAGUAAACCCCAUAAAACCAUAACCAGCAGGGAAUUUAAUGCAGUUCAGCACAUGGUGUGAGUACUGUUCAUUAUGUAGGGUGAAUCAGGUAAAGAGUAGAAGUAGAGUUGUAUAGCAUAUGCAUCCAAUGCUAGCUCUUGUACCUGCAGAGAGGUAGUAUUACCUUCCCAAUAUGAUGUAUCACAGGUAUGUGUUUAAGUAAUAGUUUUUUGAUUAAACUAUGAAAUUACAUAACAAGCAUCCAUUGCAAGACACUCCAAAUCACCACACUAUCAAUAAACAUAAUAGGAAAACANNNNNNNNNNNNNNNNNNNNNNNNNNNNNNNNNNNNNNNNNNNNNNNNNNNNNNNNNNNNNNNNNNNNNNNNNNNNNNNNNNNNNNNNNNNNNNNNNNNNAAAUUUGAAAUACACUCACAUGUAAACGGGCCUUUUCCUAUAGGCUGUAUUUGCAAAGUGGACACCUAUUUAUUGGGGUGGUGUUACACUCCAAAGAAAUACAGGAAAUCUCCAAAUUAAGGAAAAUUCAAAUUUAUUAGACAAAUAAAGAUACAAAUAUAAAAUCACAAUAAAACAAUAAAUGGGGCUUGUCCAAAAAGCAUUUCACCUAUUCAGGCUUCCUCAAUCAGUAAUAAAGCCACUUGUGUAUUGGUGUUUAUAUAUCCGUAUAAUGAAUUAUUAAUCACGUCUUUCUGUGGCCAAAUGGGUCCGACGUGUGUUCCACCUUUCAGAAACAGAUAGUUCAAGCCUUGUUUCACUAUGCCAUAAGCCCCAUUAGUCCACUCAGCAGAAUUCUCCCCUCCUUUCAUUCAAAGAUUGCCUCCACGAGUCAAACCUCAUUCUGACUCUAGUGGCGUCCAUCUUUGCAUUACAACCAUUGCAUUCCACCACUCGUUCUUAGUCAAAUCCACCUUCUGUGCAGUAGUAACUGGUGUGUUCUAUCAUAUUAAGCGAAGGGCAAUCAGUGCAUAUAUUAUAUGGAGGUAUAAUACAAAGAUUAUUAGACAGGAAAAAAAGAAAAUUGAAGAUAAAAAAAAAUUAGAAACUAAAACAGAUAUAUUCCUGAUAACAACAAACAAUAAAGUAAUCAUUCUAAAAAAGUAACACAAUUUAGUACAAAAUGCAAGAAAUGGUACAAAAUACAAGAGAUGGUACAAAAAUGGACAAUUUUCAUGUGCACUUACACUGAUCAACCACAACAUUAAAACCACCUGCCUAAUAUUGUGUAGGUCCCCUCGUGCUGCCAAAACAGUUCUGAAAUUUCAAGACAUGGACUCUACAAGCCCUCUCAAUGUGUCCUGUGGUAUGUUUCACCAAGACAUUUGCAGCAAAUCCUUUAAGUCCUAUAAUGUGUGAGGUGAGGCCUCCAUGGAUUGGAUUUGUUGUUCCAGCACAUCCCACAGAUGCUCAAUCGGAUUUAAAGGCCAAGGGCACUCUGACCUGUCUGUGGCUACAGAGUUUUCCAAGUUUUUCUGCAAUUUGAGCUACGGUAGCUCUUCUGUGUAAUCGGGCCAGACAGGCAAGCCUUCGCUCCCCAUGUACAUCAAUAAGCCUUGAGCUACCACGGCUCUGACGACUUUUCACCGGUUGUCCUUCCUUGCACCACAUUUGGUAGGUACAAAUCACUACAUAGCAGAAUCACCCCACAAGUCUUGCUGUUUUGGAGAUCUUCUGACACAGUCAUUAUUUGUUCUUUGUCAAAAUCACUAAGAUCUUUUUGCUUGCUCAUUUUUCCUGCUUCAGACACAUCAAAUCCUGACUGUUCACUUGCUGUCUAAUAUAUCGCACCCCCUGACAGGUGCCAUUGUAACAAUAUAAUAAAUUUUAUUCACUUCACCUAUUUGUGGCUGAUCAGUGUAUGCAGAAUACAAACUUAUACAAUUUUACAUUUCUGCAUUUACCAGGCCACAACUGUAUGUGUUAGGAGAGUCCUGCUUCUUCACAAAUUAGCUUGAAAAAAACAGAAAGGGAAAAUGUCUAAAGAUUAUUCAUACCAUAACCACUACAAUUAGCUGUACGACAAGCAACAAUGUUUCUGUUCCAACUACUCCAAUGCAAUGUGUACCCAGGUUGUGUCUCGAAUAUAGGGAAGAGCUAACAAGUCCUUCCACGCUAUCUGUUUGUCCCCUGUGGCACUUGUCAGAUCUCCUAUGCUGGAAUGAACUAAAUCCUAAAGUCAAUUGCUAAAUCUUUAAAAUAAAUGAAAAGAAAGCAGAGUAUGAACUUUUAGAUAUGCGUCAUUUCCAGAGAAGUGUCUUAUUACCUUUAAUCAGGGCCGGACUGGCCCACCGGGAUACUGGGAAAUUUCCCGGUGGGCCGUCGGCACCUGGGGCCGGGCAGGCAGCUGGCUCUUCUAGCGGCCACAGGGGGAGCUCUUUUGGCUGCCACAGGGGGAGCUCUUUCGGCGGCAGCAGGGGGAGCUGGCUGUUCUGUCUCUGCUCCCCUGCCCUCGCGCGUUAGAAAGAGACCGGGACCGGAAUAUAACGUCAUAUUCCGGCCCGGUCCCAUUAAGCUGCGCGCUGGGGCGGGGGAGCAGAGAUAGAACAGCCAGCUCCCCCUGUGGCCGCCGAAAGAGCUCCCCCUGCGGCCACCAGAAGAGCCAGCUCCCCCAUGCCGCCGCCAUCAUACUGAGCUCCCCCUGCGGCCGACAGCACACAGGUAGAAAUUAUGUGUAUCAGUGUGAGUGUAUGUGUGUGUCUCUGUGUCAUUGUGUGUGUGUCUCUGUCUGUCAUGGUGUGUGUGUGUCUGUCUGUGUCAUGGUGUGUCUGUCUGUGUCAUGGUGUGUCUGUCUGUCUGUCAUGGUGUGUCUGUCUGUGUCAUGGUGUGUGUGUCUGUAUUUCAUGGUGUGUCUGUCUGUGUCAUGGUGUGUGUGUCUCUGUUUGUGUCAUAGUGUAUGUGUGUGUGUGUCUGUCUGUGUCAUGCAAUGUGUCUCUGUGUCAUUGUGUGUGUCUUUCUGUGUCAUGGUGUGUGUGUGUCUCUGUCAUGGUGUGUGUGUCUGUCUGUGUCAUGCAAUGUGUGUGUGUGCCAUUGUGUGUGUGUGUCUGUCAUGUAAUGUGUGUCUGUCUGUGUCACGGGUUGUUUGUGUCAUGGUGUGUGUGUUUGUCAUGGUGUGUGUGUGUGUGUCUGUCUGUGUCAUUGUGUGUGUCUUUCUGUGUCAUGGUGUGUGUGUGUCUCUGUCAUGGUGUGUGUGUCUGUCUGUGUCAUGCAAUGUGUGUGUGUGCCAUUGUGUGUGUGUGUCUGUCAUGUAAUGUGUGUCUGUCUGUGUCACGGGUUGUUUGUGUCAUGGUGUCUGUCUGUGUCACGGUGUGUGUGUGUCUGUGUCACGGUCUCUCUGUGUUGUGGUGUGUGUGUCUGUGUGUCAUGGUGUGUCUGUCUGUCUGUGCCAUGUAAUGUGUGUCUGUGUCACAGUGUUUGUGUGUUUGUGUCACGGUCUGUCUGUGUUAUCGUGUUUGUGUGUGUCAAGGUGUCUGUGUGUCUUUUUUAAGGUGUGUGUCUGUCAUGGUAUGUGUGUGUGUCUGUCACUGUAUGUGUGUGUCUCUGUCAUGGUGUGUCUGUGUUUCUGUCUGUGUCACGGUGUGUGUGUGUCUGUGUCAUGGUCUGUCUGUGUCAUGGUGUGUGUCUGUCAUGGUACAUGCUUUUUUCAAAUUUUUUGUAUGGAUACUUUUUAUUAUUGUAUAACGCUAAAGUAGCCCAUUUUGACAAGUCAUAUUCUAUAAACCUAAUGCCACCUCUUCUGAGAUUAACUCAAUAGGGCAAUGCUUUCUCCUGGGGCUCUUAGCAGUGCAAGACUAAAUAGGGCUGCCGCAUCAGGCACCUGUAACAGCGAGGGGUGAAAACCAGGGGAGUUAUGUUUUAUGAGCUUUGAAUUUGGUUGUUUAAUGAAUGAGUUGGCAAGCGCUCUGGAUUCUGCAUGUGUUCUUUAUUGAUUGGCUCCAGCAGUAUCCUUGUAAUGUAUGCAUGUAUAAGUGUCUAGUGAAUGGAACAUGUAGUUAGUGUGGGCUACAAUUGAGCAUACAUAUAAAUACUGAAAAUAAAGCACCCAUGGCCCUUUGUCUCAUCUGCAAUCAUGUAUGCUUGCAAAUAUAUCAACAGAUAUUUUUCACAAAAUUCUUGACAUGAGCUUUUGGGUACCAGUUUCAGUUUGAGUAUGUUAGCCUAACACCAGAAUGAGUAAGCAUUAUCCUGGUUUGGAUUUCAAAUGCUCUAUUUCCAUACAUAGAGUUGUACAACUUACAGAUCAAAGUGGCAGACAAUUAUCCUUGAUACAAGGGUUAAAAUGUUCCAUUAGUCCACUAGCUGUUGGCAUGUGAAAAUUCAGCCCUGGUGAGUAGACAUUAACCCCAGGUGAGUGUGCCUUGGGCCCUCCAAGCGUGCAGUGACACGUAUUUUUAAGGCUUGGGUAGUAGCAUAAGUACUUGACAUUUUGAAUCCUGCUAUAUACAGUUACUCCAUAGGUGUAAAUUUAACCAAUUUGCCCAAAUAUUUACUUAUAAAUCUGUUUAUUACAGCAAGAAGGUAACUAGAGAUAUCUUUGCCAGAAGCUCAAGGAAGCAAGGUGAAAGGUUAGUGUAGGACCCACCUGAGAGGUCUGCCUUGACGUGGCAGGUGGGCUAAACUCUCUCAUGGCCUUUGGAGAAACUAAAAAACCUCCAUUUGUUAAAAUAUGCAUAGGGAUUUGGGAAGAGCUCAGGUAACUUUUUUUUCUUUGGUUUUUACUGUACUAUUGGGGCUGAUGUGUACUAUGGUCGUUGCUGCUGGCAGGAGAGAUGGGAGUUUGAGCACAGGACUUGUUUUUUUGUAUUCACCCUUGUAUCACACAGCUAUGUUACAAUUCUGCCACCCAUCCCAUGUGUUCCUUAUUAGGGGUUAAUAAGCAUGUAGGGGUGUAUAUAUAUAUAUAUAUAUAAAUAUAAAAAAUACCCCUUUCUGUCUCAUUAGAGAUAUAUUUGCCAGAAGCUCAAGGAAGCAAGGUGAAAGGUUACUGUAGGACCUAACUGAGAGGUUUGCCUUGACGUGGCAGAUGGGCUAAACUCUCUCAUGGCCAUUGGAGAAACUAAAAAACCUCCAUUUGUUAAAAUAUGCAUAGGGAUUUGGGAAGAGCUCAGGUAACUUUUUUCUUUGGUUUUUACUGUACGUAUUGGGGCUGAUGAGUACUGUGGUCGUUGCUACCGCCCAGGAGUGAUGGGAGGUAGAGUGCAGGACUUGUUUGUUCAUGUUAAUAUUGAUACAUAUUUAGGUUUUACAGUGACGUGGGUGUGCUCCUGACAUGCUCCGACCUUCAAAGUGUAGCAUCACCUCUAUCUGCACCUAUCACAGUAGCACUAUGCAUGGUUACAAUAAUUACACAUAAAACAAGUAUAAACUCAGGACUAAAAAAAAGGAGGUGGAGGAUACUGGAGACAAUGCCUUUGUGUGCAUUGUCAGUAACACAAUCCACAUCACUGCUGAUGAUUGUGGCUGUGAGCAGGAUGACAAAGUGCAUGUGUGUUUACAGAGCUGUCCUAUGGGGUGUGCAUGUGGCUAUAUGUGACAGUAUAUGUGUAUAACUAUGAGCACCUGAUUGUGUUGUUUUAGACCAAACCAAGUAUUUGCUUGAAUAUCUGCCCCUGUCCAAAUGUCUUAAAUGUAAUAAAGUGUGCACGCUGAAGAAAUCCCACCAACACAAAAAAGUUCAGUUGAAUGAAAACUUCCAAGUGUAUUGUCAGGGGGCGGUGUAGCCCCUUAAAAGGGCAAAGAAUGCAAUGUAUGCAAAUACAGAAAGUAAACUUUUCAAUUGGUGAAGUGUUUUAGUAAAGUAGACAUUUAAUUGGUUAGGUGUUAAGUGUCUAAUCUUUAUGGACCUCCUCCAGAGGGUGUUGAUAUCAUCGUCAUCUUAGGUGUAACUCCGGAAGGAGAGGCCAUCUUACUACACGAGGGUCUUGGUCAAUGGGAGGGGGUGCUCUAGCAGCCAUUUUGAGUAAUAAAUGAACACAGGUAUACAAAGUAAAUAGACAUUUUACACACAUUCAUUUCUAUCCAUCACAGUGUCUCUCACGCCUACAAAAAUGCACACCUGAAUUCACACAUGGGCCUACAUGCAUGUUUUUAAAUCGAAUUAAACAAAUAUCACAUCCAUUACAUACAUAUAUCACACACAGUCAAUACAGCCAUAACAAUUACCACACACUGAGGCGGAGGCACAGACCAGAUUCCCAGCACACUUGAUCAGCAUAGAUUAGCACGUCCCUUGGGAGUGUGGCAACUUUAUAAUGUAGCAGCAGCAGCCAGCCCUUGCUGGAAGACGUUAAUCAAACCUUAUGGAAUCUGUUUACUUACUCAAUCAAGUGCCAGAUCUCUCCAGCUGUAGAAUUUUGAUUCAAUUCAAUCAUUAAACAAACCAGGAACCAAGUGUGAAAUGCAACAGUGUAGUUUAGCUACUGCAGACAGGCCAAGAUUAAAAUUCUAGCGUGUGCUGCACAGUCAUCUUUAAAAUUUGAGAUAUGGAUCUUUCUGACUUUAGUUGAAGUUGGGCGAAGGAAGGCCAACCCAAGAUGUGUCAAUAAAACAAAAUACCUUACUGACCUUGCUUCUUGUAACAUGCCUCAUUAUGUCCCUCCUGUAGCAGAUAGUACAAUAAGUAUAUUAUGAUAAAAUUGGUCAGGGCCGUCUUUAAUGCUGAUUGAACCCUGGGAAAGCAUUUGCUUGGGACCCCUGGUCCCCUCCCUCCCACCUUGUGGCAUGCAAACACGCCUUCCACUCAAAGACACACAUAAAGAAUACACAAAAAAAACACACACACAUAGAACAUAGACUUAGCCACACUAAAUAUACACACUGACACACAUACAAAUGCAAACACUGACACAAAUACAGAUACACACAUACACAAACUCAGAUAUGCACAGGUACAGACAAACAGAUACACAGACAUACAAAGACAGAUACACAGACACACAGGUGCAUAUACAGAUACACAGUGACACACAUACAGACACAAAGAAACACUCACUGACAAACAUGCAGACACACGCUAGCACACAUACAAAUAAACAGACACUCACCCUGACAUAUAUGCAGAUACACACAAUAACACACAUACAGCUACAUACACAGACACAAAUGCAAUAAAACAGACAUACACUAACACAUACAGAUGCACAGACACACACACUGACACACAUACAGAUACACAGACACACACAGAUACACAGGGGCACACACUGACCCACAUGCAGAUACACAGGCAAAUGCACAUACAUUUACACAUAUAGACAGAUACACACACAGAAACACAUACAGACAUACAGACAGAUAGACAGAUACACAGAUACCCAUUUUACAGUGCUACGGAAUAUGAUGGCUCUAUAUAAAUAAUAAAAUAAUAAUAAUACACAUACAGACAGAGAGAGAGAGACACAUACAGACACACAGAUACACAUAUAAACAGAGAAACACACAGAAACACACAUACAUACAGACAGAUACACACAUACAGACACACAGAUACACAUACAGACAGAUACACAUAUAGGCAGAUACACACACAGAAACACAGACACACAUGCAUAUACACAUACAGCCAGAUACACACAGAGAUACACAGACACACAUGCAUAUACACAUACAGACAGAUACACACAUAUAAACACACAUACACAUACAGACAGAUAUACACACAAAUAGACACUCAUGGAAAAUAUACAUUUUUAGUCACCCUCCUUUUGGCUGCAGAAAGGUGACUUCCCUGGGGUCCAGUGGCUGGCUGAGGCUGUUGGGAGUCGGGCUCUCUACCAGUCCACGCUCCCCCUACCUUUCUCCCUUCCAUGCGGAACUCUCUGUGUUAGCUAGAAAGGAAGUGACUGCACGUCCUCCAAGUGCUGUCCUCAUCACUGGAGGCCCGCUACGCUGUUAAAGCACUGCAGCGCUGAACGGGCUCCUGCAGACUCAUUGCCAUCAGGUGAAACUAAGAGCAUGGGCCACCCAAUGGGCCCCCUCUACGUGUGGCCUGCGGUAGUAAGGGGCAGUCUGUUCAUAUGAUUUUUAAUAUUAUGUUUACUUAGCCUCUACAUUUAGCAAAUAUGUUUAAUUGAGGUCUGAAAAAUAAAAUUACAUCUAGAAAUCCACACCUCUGCCUUUAUUUGCAUCCUAGUACUAGAUGCCUCCAUUUUUAUUCCCUGUCAAUCAUUGAUAUAAAUGCUGCUUUUUUCUGCCAUUAAACAUGGUUAGUGAAAGAGGAGAAAUUGUACCAAUCCUUGCGUUUUCCUCCUCAUUUCCAUUGUCUACCCUGGCUGUACCCCGACAGAACCGAAUUGUGAUGUCACCUGCCACAUCUUCAAUUUACAUUUGAAAAGAAUACAGAUCCUCACAUGGAAAUGGUUAAACAAUUUAAAAGUUAUAUUCAAUGUUUCAUUCAGUUAUGCCAUUACUAGAAAUGUGACAAUUCCCCUUAAAACCAUUCUGUCCGUUUCAGGGAAAAGUGACUGGGUUAUUCAUGAAAGUGAACAUUUUUGGAAUUCAAAGUGAAUUUCAAAAUUUAGGACAAAAGAACCAAAUUAGAAAAUUUUUCCAAGCUAAUUCUGUUUUGAGUUUGAUUAUUUUGCCCUUAAAUUUGAAAUUCACUUUACACAAAUCUGCUUAUUUAAGCCUCUAUACAUAUCGUUACAUAGUUACAUAGUUACGUAAUUACAUAGCUGAAAAGAGACUUGCGUCCAUCAAGUUCAGCCUUCCUCACAUAUGUUUUUGCUGUUGAUCCAAAAGAAGGCAAAAAACCUAGUCUGUAGCGCUUACAAUUUUGCAACAAACAAGGAAAAAAUUCCUUCUUGACCCCAAAAUAGCAGUCAGAUGUCUACUUGGAUAAAGCAGCUAUUACCCCACUAAUUAGAAACUAUAUCCCUGUAUGUUAUGUUUUUGCAAGUAUUUAUCCUAAUUUAGUUUAAACAUCUGUAUGGACUCUGAUAAAGCCACCUCUUCAGGCAGAGAAUUCCAAAUCCUUAUUACUCUUACUGUAAAAAAAACCUUUUCUUUGCCUUAGAUGAAAUCUCCUUUCUUACAGCCUAAAUGUGUGACCGUGUGUCCUAUGUAUAGGCCUGUUUAUGAAUAGAUUUUUAGAUAAUGGUUUGUACUGGCCCUGAAUAUAUUUGUAUAAUGUUAUCAUAUCCCCUCUGAGUUGUCGAUUUCCAAACUAAAGAGAUUUCAAUUUUUUAACCUUUUUUAUUUUUUUAAUACACGCUCUCCAUUUUAUUCAAGAGUAAACAUAGUCUGAUCCUGGCUAAGAGAAAAUAGCUAGUAACUAGUCCUUCCUCACAUUUAGCUAAAUUGUGGUCAUAUAAUAUAAAUAUAAUGUCUGUUUCAGUAUGUGUGUCUGUUAGUGUGUGUAUCUGUGUUCUUUUGUAUCAGUGUGUGUGUUUGUGUCUGUGUGUGUUUGUGUCUGUGUGUGUAUUCCUGUGGGUGGGAUUUGGAGGUGGACCCUGUGGGCGGAAUUGGAGGCGGGCCCCAGGGGGCCCAGACCCUGAGCUGAGUUAGGGGCCCCAAAAUUUCUGGUGGCGGCCCUGCUUUUCAGUAUGCCUUGAGUACUGAUAUGGAAACCACUGCCUUAGAUGCAUGCCCCUUAUGAAGAAGAAUUGUUGAAAAAAGAAAACGUGGCAAACGUGUGAUAACAUCUCUGUAUAGUAUACAGUAGUUUAGAUUACAAUAAAGAAGUCAUGUAAAUAUAUAUAUAUAUAAUCGUUUUUGUACAGGGUUAUUGACUAAAAUGUGAAUCUUUGGAAAUUCAAAGCGAAUUUUAAAUUUAAGUAAAAAGGAUCUAAACUGGAAAGAUUCUCCAAAUCAGCUGUGCUUCCAGUUCCGCUACUUUUGGCUUGAAAUUUGAAUUUCACUUUCAAUUCACUAUAAAUUGCCAACAAUUCUCAUUUUGGUAAAAAAAAAAAAAAAAUUUGAAAAAUGAUUUAUUAUUAGUGUUUAGAACAUAGUAACAUCAUUCCUUGUGUUACAAAUGGGCCAACCACAUUUUAUUUGUUAAGGCCCUUUAAAACCAUGGCGUUUAACACUGACCUUUUUCAACAAAACAUUUUUCUUAAAAAGGAGGAAUUUGUGUUUGUGGGCCACUGACAAAUAUGUGAAAAUCCAGUAUCAAAAUAAUAAAGGUCAGACGUGGACAACACAGUCUCUAAAUUCUCUUAAUAAAAACAAAAAAAUGGAGAUAACUACAGUAAAGAACAAUAAAUAGAAACAAAUGUAUGCAAAAUGAGAGAAUUAGAGGACAGAAUAAAGGUCGGUGUAGUCUACACAGUUCUACACAGUUCUCGCUUAUCUACAUGAUUGUAACUUCUCUGGAUACAUUUUAUUAUAUAUAUGUCCCCUGGAUUCCAUUUCCCUUGACAAAGAAUGUCAAAGAAGUAACAGUUGGUUUGUCAACCACCCCCUAGGACUGAUCACAUAACACUAUUGUUCACACAUAGCAUGUUCACAUAUUACACAUAAUUUUGGUCUGAAAAAGAUACAGUAUAUUGAGGCAGUCAUGGUUCUAAUGUAAUUUAGAACUGAUUAUUUCUCAACCAUACCGUUACAAUAUUUCCAAAUAUCAGUGUCAAGGCUGCUAUUCACCUGGUGUACCUGGUUCCCACCUGUCAUUAGUCCAUGUAUGUGGCAUUGCUAGCACUCAAAACAACCAUUGUUAAGGGAGCCCUACCACUAGUGAUGCUUACCUGUCCUUGAUAUAGGUUUCAACUUCAAAGUUCUGGCAACUAGUAAUGUAUUUCAUCAUACUCUCACCUUCUCAGUAUGCAUUCCAUUAUACAGUGCAGUCUCAACUUGCAUCAGGGCACUCUUGAUACUCUUGAUACCAUAACUACUGCAGCACACUGUAGUGGUUAUGGUGCUUGGAGUGUUCCUUUAACUCUUUGACUAAGACCACAAACAGCUUGAAAUAUUGCAAGAUUAUUUUAUAUUGAUUGUAGAACUAAUAUGGUCACUACAAUUGUUGCUAAAUUCAUAAUUUUAUUUAUCUUCUAGAUUUGUGUUUGGCGCAGUGCUGAAAAAGAUAGAAAAAAGUUAGAAAAGGAGCCUCAUCUGCAGGUUUCUGUCUGUUAUCAUCUUUGGAUUAGUUAUGUUUUGUCAUGUAUGUACGUAGUGGGGGAUUACGAUACCACAUAACAUAGAUAACCCCAAUAAAAAAAAACCCAAUAAUGACAGACAACUUAGUAUGGAUGAACAGGCCACAGCAUUUAUUAUAACAUAAAUAAAUGACUGCAUAACACAUCCAUAACUUUAUUAAUUAAACUCUUCUUUCUGUUAGAAAUAAAUAAUCAUAAAUUCACAUAUAUACAUAUAAUAACAAAACGUGCUAUGCAGAGACCCAACCGUCCUUGCCAAUAAACAUCCAGUGGUUCCUAAUCACCACUUCCUCUCACCUCCCCCCUCGUCAUAAAAAAUCCUUCCAAUGCCCGCCAUCAGCCGACCUUAUCCACGCUCGAUGGGCACGAUACCUCAGGCAACCUAAUGUUUAACCUUUGAAGCAGGGGAGGUUGAGACCUGCAAAACAUAAAAACUUAGUCCAUCCUUAGACAUAACCCCUCAAACUUGAUUGGCAAGUACAUAGCUGUGACUAACUGAAACUAAAAGGGGUGGGCGGGCGGGAAGCUGUUUGCUGGCCCGUAUCCCAAGUGGCACUGAGGUAAGACCUCGCCCACACUAACUUACAUUAAGCCUAAGCCCUCCCAUGCACACUUCCCAAGUCCCUCCCCUAUAUCUAUCCCCACACUCCUACAUGUGCCCUUGUCCGCUUAGCUGCGCUAUCUCCCCAGGGCCUGUGUGGUAGAAAGAGAGUGGAGCGCUUAUAAAAACCACAAUAAAUGUAUCAAAAGACUAAAACAAAGUGAUGCAAAUAUUGUGCAGUGAUAGUGCUAAAAGUGCUGGGGAACAUUGAUAACUUGUAUAGUCUAAAGUGUACCAAGUCUCUGAUUCAAAUUAAUUCAAUGAAAAUAUCAUAUGCAAACAAAACAAUGAACUUUUAAGUCCAAUUCAAACAGCGAUUUACAAUAUGUGAAACAAAAAGAUGAUAGAGGUUGAUACUUUCCAGUUUUUGAUGACAAUUAAAAGACCUAAAAAAUAAAAAUAUGAAUUUCAUAGUGCAGACAAUCUGAUAUUCAAAGUUAAAGAUCAAUACCAAUAGAGGUGAUGGAAGAAUUACCAACUCACAAGUGGGGAGGCUUUAAUAAUGUCUCAAUCUUGACAGCGUAUGGAGUCUUUAAGAUCAGGGUACUCCCACCCUACUUUGAGAGGCUUUCUUCCAAUUCCCUUGGAGUUGAUAUAUAAAACAGGAAAAGUGCAGAAAUAGUGUAAUAUGUCUUUAAGUCCAGAAAUCAAAUUUGAAAUGCACUCACUUGUAAAAGGGCCUUUUCCUAUAGGCUGUAUUUGCAAAGUGGACACCUAUUUAUUGGGGUGGUGUUACACUCCAAAGAAAUACAGGAAAUCUCCAAAUUAAGGAAUAUUCCAAUUUAUUAGACAAAUAAAGAUACAAAUAUAAAAUCACAAUAAAACAAUAAAUGGGGCUUGUCCAAAAAGUGUUUCACCUAUUCAGGCUUUCUCAAUCAGUAAUAAAGCCACUUGUGUAUUGGUGUUUAUAUAUCCGUAUAAUGAAUUAUUAAUCACGUCUUUCUGUGGCCAAAAUUCUCAAAUUCUGACGUGCGUUCCACCUUUCAGAAACAGAUAGUUCAAGCCUUGUUUUCACUAUGCCAUAAGCCCCAUUAGUCCACUCAGCAGAAUUCUCCCCUCCUUUCAUUCAAAGAUUGCCUCCACGUGUCAAACCUCAUUCUGACUCUAGUGGCGUCCAUCUUUGCAUUACAACCAUUGCAUUCCACCACUCGUUCUUAGUCAAAUCCACAUUCUGUGCAGUAGUAACUGGUGUGUUCUAUCAUACUAAGUGAAAGGCAAUCAGUGCAUAUAUUCUAUGGAGGUAUAAUACAAAGAUUAUUAUAUAGGAAAAAGAGAAAAUUGAAGAUAAAAAAAAAAUUAGAAACUAAAACAGAUAUAUUCCUGAUAACAACAAACAACAAAGUAAUCAUUCUAAAAAAAGUAACACAAUUUAGUACAAAAUGCAAGAAAUUGUAAAAAAUACAAGAGAUGGUACAAAAAUGGACAAUUUUCAUGUGCACUUACACUGAUCAACCACAACAUUAAAACCACAUUGCCUAAAAUUGUGUAGGUCCCCUCGUGCUGCCAAAACAGUUCUGAAAUUUCAAGACAUGGACUCUACAAGCCAUCUCAAUGUGUCCUGUGGUAUGUUUCACCAAGACAUUUGAAGCAAAUCCUUUAAAGGGACACAGUAGGCACUGUAUCUGCUUCAUCUCAUUAAACUGGUUAUAGUGUCUGGAGUCCCCUGGUACCAUCAUUUCUUUCAGCAUUAAACAGUUUUUAAUGUUGUAAUGUUUUAAUGCUAAACAAGAGUCCACGGUAGUCUAUCCCCUCUGUGCUGCUUUGGCUAAUAAGGAAGUAUUACCCUUAGAGGCAAUGGGCAGCUGUGAUGGGCUGAGAGUGUCAGCUGAUUGCUUUUAACCUGUCAGAGCUCCAACUGACGGUAUGAAUGGGUAUGACAACAAGGAAGUGUGUAAUCUCUGCCACAGCUACACAUACAGAAGGGGCCGGACUGUGGGUGGACAGGGACUCUUAUUUUGUGGCAUACUGCACAAACAUGGUGCAACACUGAACGGAGGGACAGUGCCAGGCCACUCCAGGCACUAUAACCAAUUCAAAGAGACAAAGUGGUUAUAGUGACUACAGUGUCCCUUUAAGUCCUAUAAUGUGCGAGGUGGGGCCUCCAUGGAUUGGAUUUGUUGUUCCAGCACAUCCCACAGAUGCUCAAUCGGAUUUAAAGGCCAAGGGCACUCUAACCAGUCUGUGGCUACAGAGUUUUCCAAGUUUUUCUGCAAUUUGAGCUACGGUAACUCUUCUGUGUGAUCGUGCCAGACAGGCAAGCCUUCGCUCCCCAUGUGCAUCAAUAAGCCUUGAGCUACCACGGCUCUGACGACUGUUCACCGGUUGUCCUUCCUUGCACCACAUUUGGUAGGUACAAAUCACUACAUAGCAGAAUCACCCCACAAGUCUUGCUGUUUUGGCGAUCUUCUGACUCAGUCAUUAAAGGACCACUAUAGUGCCAGGAAAAGAUACUCGUUUUCCUGGCACUAUAGUGCCCUGAGGGUGCCCCCACCAUCAGGGUCCCCCUCCCGCCCGGCUCUGGAAGGGGGAAAGGGGUAAAAACGUACCUUUUUCCAGCGCUGGGCGGAGAGCUCUCCUCCUCCGAUCCUCCUUCUCUCCUCCCGUCGGCUGAAUGCGCACGCGAGGCAAGAGCUGCACGCGCAUUCAGCCGGUCACAUAGGAAAGCAUUCAUAAUGCUUUCCUAUGGACGCUGGCGUGCUCUCACUGUGAAAAUCACAGUGAGAAGCACACAAGCACCUCUAGUGGCUAUCAAUGAGACAGCCACUAGAGGAAAUAGGGGAAGGCUUAACCCAUUCAUAAACAUAGCAGUGGUCUGGGUGCCUAGAGUGGUCCUUUAAGCUGUCAUGAUUUGUUCCUUGUCAAAAUCACUAAGAUCUUUUUGCUUGCUCAUUUUUCCUGCUUCAGACACAUCAAAUCCUGACUGUUCACUUGCUGUCUAAUAUAUCGCACCCCCUGACAGGUGCCAUUGUAAUAAUAUAAUCAAUUUUAUUCACUUCACCUAUUUGUGGCUGAUCCGUGUACACAGAAUACAAACUUGUGCAAUUUUACAUUUCUGCAUUUACCAGGCCACAACUGUAUGUGUUAAGAGAGUCCUGCUUCUUCACAAAUUAGCUUGACAAAAACAGAAAGGGAAAAUGUCUAAAGAUUAUUCAUACCAUAACCACUACAAUUAGCUGUACGACAAGCAACAAUGUUUCUGUUUCAACUCCUCCAAUGCAAUGUGUACCCAGGUUGUGUCUGGAAUAUAGGGAAGAGCUAACAAGUCCUUCCACGCUAUCUGUUUGUCCCCCGUGGCCCUUGUCAGAUCUCCUAUGCUAGAAUGAACCAAAUCCUAAAGUCAAUUGCUAAAUCUUUAAAAUGAAUUAAAAGAAAGCAGAGUAUGAACUUUUAGAUGUGCGUCAAUUCCAGAGAAGUGUCUUAUUACCUUUAAUCAGGGCCGGACUGGCCCACCGGGAUACCGGAAAAUUUCCCGGUGGGCCGUCGGCACCUGGGGCCGGGCAGGCAGCUGGCUCUUCUGGCAGCCGCAGGGGGAGCUCUUCUGCGGCUGCCAGAAGAGCCAGCUGCUUGCCCGGCCCCGGGUGCCGAUGACCCACCGGGAAAUUUCCCGGUAUCCCGGUGGGCCAGUCCGGCCCUGAUUAAAGGUAAUAAGACACUUCUCUUUUAGCGGCCGCAGGGGGAGCUCUUUCGGCGGCCGCAGGGGGAGCUGGCUGUUCUGUCUCUGCUCCCCCGCCAUCGCGCGCUAGAAAGAGACCGGGGCCGGAAUAUGACGUCAUAUUCCGGCCCGGGUCUCGUUAAGCUGCCUGUUGGGGCGGGGGAGCAGAGACAGAACAGCCAGCUCCCCUAGCGGCCGCCGAAAGAGCUCCCCCUGCGGCCGCCAGAAGAGACAGCUUCCCCAUGCCACCGCCAUCAGACUGAGCUCCCCCUGCGGCCGCCAGCACACAGGUAGAAAUUAUGUGUGUCAGUGUGAGUGUAUGUGUGUGUCUCUGUGUCAUUGUGUGUGUGUCUGUGUCUGUCAUGGUGUGUGUGUGUGUGUCUGUCUGUGUCAUGGUGUGUGUGUCUGUCUGUGUCAAGAUGUGUGUGUCUGUCUGUGUCAUGGUGUGUGUGUCUGUCUGUGUCGUGAUGUGUGUGUGUGUGUCUGUCUGUUUCACGGUGUGUCUGUCUGUGUCAUGGUGUGUGUGUGUCUGUCUGUCAUGGUGUGUCUGUCUGUGUCAUGGUGUGUUUGAGUCUGUCUGUGUCAUGGUGUGUGUGUGUGUGUGUCUGUCUGUGUCAUGCAAUGUGUGUCUGUGUCAUUGUGUGUGUCUGUCUGUGUCAUGGCGUGUGUGUGUCUCUGUCAUGGGGUGUGUGUCUGUCUGUGUCAUAUAAUGUGUGUCUGUCUGUGUCACGGGGUGUGUGUGUCUGUGUCACGGUCUCUCUGUGUUGUGGUGUGUAUGUCUGUGUGUCAUGGUGUGUGUGUCUGUCUGUGUCAUGUAAUGUGUGUCUGUGUCACAGUGUUUGUCUGUUUGCGUCACGGUCUGUCUGUGUUAUGGUGUUUGUGUGUGUCAAGGUGUGUGUGUUUGUGUCUUUUUUAAGGUGUGUGUCUGUCAUGGUAUGUGUGUGUCUGUCAUGGUAUGUGUGUGUCUCUGUCAUGGUGUGCCUGUGUAUCUGUCUGUGUCACGGUGUGCGUGUGUCUGUGUCACGGUCUGUCUGUGUCAUGGUGUGUGUCUGUCAUGGUACGUGCUUUAUGACAUUUUUUGUAUGGAUACUUUUUAUCAUUGUAUAAUGCUAAAGUAUCCCAUUUUGACAAGUCAGAUUCUAUAAACUUAAUGCCACCUCUUCUGAGAUUAACUCAAUAGGGCAAUGCUUUCUCCUGGGGCUCUUAGCGGUGCAAGACGAAAUAGGGCUGCCGCAUCAGGCACCUGUAACAGUGAGGGGUGAAAACCAGGGGAGUUAUGUUUUAUGAGCUUUGAAUUUGGUUGUUUAAUGAAUGAGUGGGCAAGUGCUCUGGAUUCUGCAUGUGUUCGUUAUUGAUUGGCUCCAGCAGUAUCCUUGUAAUGUAUGCAUGUAUAAGUGUUUAGUGAAUGGAACAUGUAGUUAGUGUGGGCUACAAUUGAGCAUACAUAUAUUAAAUACUGAAAAUCAAGCACCCGUGGCCCUUUGUCUCAUCUGCGAUCAUGUAUGCUUGCAAAUAUAUCGACAGAUAUUUUUCACAAAAAUGCUUGACAUGAGCUUUUGGGUACCAGUUUCAUUUUGAGUAUGUUAGCCUAACACCAGAAUGAGUAAGCAUUUUCCUGGUUUGGAUUUCAUAUGCUCUAUUUCCAUAUAUAGAGUUGUACAACUUACAGAUCAAAGUGGCAGACAAUUAUCCUUGAUACAAGGGUUAAAAUGUUCCAUUAGUCCAUUAGCUUUUGGCAUGUGAAAAUUCAGCCCUGGUGAGUAGACAUUAACCCCAGAUGAGUGUGCCUUGGGCCCUCCAAGCGUGCAGUGACAAGUAUUUUUAAGGCUUGGCUUAAGUUUGAGUCCUGCUAUANNNNNNNNNNNNNNNNNNNNNNNNNNNNNNNNNNNNNNNNNNNNNNNNNNNNNNNNNNNNNNNNNNNNNNNNNNNNNNNNNNNNNNNNNNNNNNNNNNNNUACAGUUACUCCAUAGGCGUAAAUUUAACCAAUUUGCCCAAAUAUUUACUUAUAAAUCUGUUUAUUACAGCAAGAAGGUAACUAGAGAUAUCUUUGCCAGAAGCUCAAGGAAGCAAGGUGAAAGGUUAGUGUAGGACCCACCUGAGAGGUCUGUCUUGACGUGGCAGGUGGGCUAAACUCUCUCAUGGCAAUUGGAGAAACUAAAUAAUCUCCAUUUGUUUAAAAAUGCAUAGGGAUUUGGGAGAGAGCGCAGGUAACUUUUUUCUUUGGUUUUUACUGUACUAUUGGGGCUGAUGUGUACUAUGGUCGUUGCUGCUGGCAGGAGAGAUGGGAGUUUGAGCACAGGACUUGUUUUUUUGUAUUCACCCUUGUAUCACACAGCUAUGUUACAAUUCUGCCACCCAUCCCAUGUGUUCUUUAUUAGGGGUUAAUAAGCAUGUAGGGGUGUAUAUAUAUAUAUAUAAAAAAAAAAAUACCCCUUUCUGUCUCAUUAGAGAUAUAUUUGCCAGAAGCUCAAGGAAGCAAGGUGAAAGGUUACUGUAGGACCUAACUGAGAGGUUUGCCUUGACGUGGCAGAUGGGCUAAACUCUCUCAUGGCCAUUGGAGAAACUAAAAAACCUCCAUUUGUUAAAAUAUGCAUAGGGAUUUGGGAAGAGCUCAGGUAACUUUUUUCUUUGGUUUUUACUGUACGUAUUGGGGCUGAUGUGUACAGGGGAGGGCUGGCAGCCUUCGGCCUAGGGGGCAAAACCAGUCAAGUGGCCCAUUGCACCACCAAAUCAGUGCAAUGGUGCCCACCUUUUCCUGGUUUUAUAACGGAUAUUGAUGUUAUGCUAACCAGUAGCUCUUUGCCAUACCCGCUCCUUCACGGCUCUGACUUUCAAUGUUGUCAGAGCGCAGGCUGAGAAUCUCUGAGCCUGUGCUCUGACUCACUAACUGAGCGCUGGAACCACGAGGGAGAGGCUAUAAUCUGACUGCAUCUACUGCUGGUGCGCACCAGUGGACCACCAGCGAAUCAUUUAAAUUGAAUAGGCCGGUGUCCCCAACUUGUGAGCUGUGUUGUCCGCCGGGCGCCUCUAUUGUGAUGGCACCCUGCGUAACCGCACAGCGUGCACACCCCAACGGCUGACCCUGCUGACACACAAUGAUGUUACUACUUAGAAAUCCCUCAAUAUUAAUACAGACAUCAGAGUAAACACCAAUAAACUGUGGAAACAGAGCUGAUCCCCCCCAAAUUUAUAAAGAUUUUCUUACUGGAUUUGUUGUAAGAUUAAAUCAUGCCUCCUCCUCUCUCUCUCCCAUGCGCUGCUCUGUAGGCUGGGAGGAAGUGAAGAGUAAUCACAAUCUCCCAGCACAGUGGCACCUGUGGCUGCAUGGGGAACAGCUGUAUUUGCCGCCCCCCAUGUGACAUCACAAUGCCCCACCUAUAUGAGCUGCCAUACGAACUAACGCCAGUGCUGCCCACAGUGUGUGUUUACAUUAAAAAGCCUGCAGGGACCAGCUAUAGACACCAGAACCACUUCAUUAAGCUGCAGUCGUUCUGGGAAAUAUAGUGUCCCUUUAAUGUGAGGUAAAUUAUAGAUUAGUGUCACUAAUAUUAUACUAGAUUGCUUACUUACAACCAGAUGAGGAUGAUGAUAGGCAGCAGUUUGGCUCCACUGGUCUGGUGUAGAACAGGAUCUCUGGAGGCUGUUUGCAACUGUGGUCACAAAAUUCAAUGUUCUGGGAGAAUUGGAAGCAGCUCAAUUUUUUGGGGCCCUUUACACAGCUCAAGGUCUGGGCCUCAGGGCCUGACAGUGAGUAUGCCCACAAGGCCCACUCAUAAGUCUCCCACUCAUAAGUCCCACUCAUAAGUCCACUUAUAUGUUCCACCCACCCAUGAGUUCGCUCACAGGGAGUGGAGUGUGUAGGGGAUGUGUUAUUUGUUAUUGUAGAGGAUCUAAUAUGUGUGCUUAUGGUAUGUAGUGUAUAGGGAUACCAGUUUGUGCAGGUGAUGCAGUGUGUUUGUGUGUAGUGGAAGCAGUGUGUAUUUGUGUAUAAGGAUGUAUUAUGUGUUUCUGGUUGUGUGUAAGGGAUGCAUUGUGUGAAUCUGUGUUUGUAUGCAUAAGGGAUGCAANNNNNNNNNNNNNNNNNNNNNNNNNNNNNNNNNNNNNNNNNNNNNNNNNNNNNNNNNNNNNNNNNNNNNNNNNNNNNNNNNNNNNNNNNNNNNNNNNNNNCCCCUUCACUUACUCCCACUCUUCACUUACUCUCCCCCCCCUCUUCACUUUCCUCCCCCCUUCUCACCUCUCCUCCCCUCCCGGCCAGACUGAUAGGAAGGUGCACACUCAGUGCGUGAAAACAGGAAACAGGUUACAGCCCAGCCGGACUGAUAGGAAGGUGUGCACACUCAGUGCGUGAAAACAGGAAACAGGUUGCAGGAAACAGAAACUCCUGUUCCACGCGGAACAGGAGUUUCUGUUUCCUGUAACCGGCCGGACUGACAGGAAGUGCACACUGAGUGUGCACCUUCCUAUCANNNNNNNNNNNNNNNNNNNNNNNNNNNNNNNNNNNNNNNNNNNNNNNNNNNNNNNNNNNNNNNNNNNNNNNNNNNNNNNNNNNNNNNNNNNNNNNNNNNNGGUUGUUGCUACCGCCCAGGAGUGAUGGGAGUUUGAGCGCAGGACUUGUUUUUUCGUGUUAAUAUUGUUACAUAUUUAGGUUUUACAGUGGGGUGGGUGUGCUCCUGACAUGCUGCGACCUUCAAAGUGUAUCAUCCUCUAUCUGCACCUAUCACAGUAGCACUAUGCAUGGUUACAAUAAUUACACAUAAAACAAGUAUAAACUCAGGACUAAAAAAAGGGAGGAGGAGGAUACUGGAGACCAUGCCUUUGUGUGCAUUGUCAGUAACACAAUCCACAUCACUGCUGAUGAUUGUGGCUGUGAGCAGGAUGACAAAGUCCAUGUGUGUUUACAGAGCCGUCCUAAGGGGUGUGCAUGUGGCUGUAUGUGACAGUAUAUGUGUGUAACUAUGUGCACCUGAUUGUGUUGUUUUAGACCAAACCAAGUGUUUGCUUGAAUAUCUGCCCCUGUCCAAAUGUCUUAAAUGUAAUAAAGUGUGCACGCCGGAGAAAUCCCAAUGACACAGAAAAGUUCAGUUGAAUGAAAACUUCCAAGUGUAUUGUCAGGGGGCGGUGUAGCCCCUUAAAAGGGCAAAGAAUGCAACGUAUGCAAAUAGAGAAAGUAAACUUUUCAAUUGGUUACGUGUUUUAGUAAAGUAAACAUUUAUUUGGUUAGGUGUUAAGUGUCUAAUCUUUAUGGACCUCCUCCAGAGGGUGUUGAUGUCAUCGUCAUCUUAGGUGUAACUCCGUAAGGAGAAGCCAUCUUACUACACGAGGGUCUUGGGAGGGGGUGCUCUAGCACCAUUUUGAGUAAUAAAUGAACACAGGUAUACAAAGUAAAUACACAUUUUACACACAUUCAUUUCUAUCCAUCACAGUGUCUCUCACUGUGGGACACCUGAAAAAAUACGCACCUACAAAAAUGCACACCUAAAUUCACACAUGGGCCUACAUGCAUGUUUUUAAAUCGAAUUAAACAAAUAUCACAUCCAUUACAUACAUAUAUCACACACAGUCAAUACAGCCAUAACAAAUACCACACACUGAGGCGGAGGCACAGACCAGAUUCCCAGCACACUUGAUCAGCAUAGAUUAGCACGUCCCUUGGGAGUGUGGCAACUUUAUAAUGUAGCAGCAGCAGCCAGACCUUGCUGGAAGACAUUAAUCAAACCUUAUGGAAUCUGUUUACUUACUCAAUCAAGUGCCAGAUCUCUCCAGCUGUAGAAUUUUGAUUCAAUUCAUUAAACAAACCAGGAACCAAGUGUGAAAUGCAACAGUCUAGUUUAGCUACUGCAGACAGGCCAAGAUUCAAAUUCUAGCGAAUUCACAGUCAUCCUUAAAAUUUGAGAUUUGGAUCUUUCUGACUUUAGUAGAAGUUGGGCGAGGGAAGGCCAACCCAAGAUGUGUCAAUAAAACAAAAUACCUUACUGACCUUGCCUCUUGUAACAUGCCUCAUUAUGUCCCUCCCGUAGCAGAUAGUACAAUAAGUAUAUUAUUAUUAAAUUGGUCAGGGCCAUCUUUAAUGCUGAUUGGACCCUGGGCAAGCAUUUGCUUGGGCCCCCUGGUCCCCUCCCUCCCACAUUGUGGCAUGCAAACACGCCUUCCACUCAAAGACACACAUAAAGAAAACACACAAAACACACACACACACAUAGUACAUAGACUUAGCCACACUUGUUUUUCACCUAGAGAAAAUAUACACACUGACACACAUACAAAUGCAAACACUGACACAAAUACAGAUACACACAUACACAAACUCAGAUAUGCACAGGUACAGACAAACAGAUACACAGACAUACAAAGACACAUACACAGACAAACAGGUGCAUACACAGAUACACACUGGCACACAUACAGACACAAAGAAACACUCACUGACAAACAUGCAGACACACGCUAGCACACAUACAAAUAAACAGACACACACCCUGACAUAUAUGCAGAUAUACACAAUAACACACAUACAGCUACAUACACAGACACAAAUGCAGUAACACAGACACACACUAACACAUACAGAUGCACAGACACACACACUGACACACAUACAGAUACACAGACACACACAGAUACACAGGGGCACACACUGACCCACAUGCAGAUACACAGGCAAAUGCACAUACAUUUACACAUAUAGACAGAUACACACACAGAAACACAUACAGACAGAAACAUAGAAUGUGACGGCAGAUAAGAACCAUUCGGCCCAUCUAGUCUGCCCAAUUUUCUAAAUACUUUCAUUACUCCCUAGUCUUAUCUUAUAGUUAGGAUAGCCUUAUGCCUAUCCCACGCAUGCUUAAACUCCUUUACUGUGUUAACCUCUACCACUUCAGUUGGAAGGCUAUUCCAUGCAUCCACUACCCUCUCAGUAAAGUAAUACUUCCUGAUAUUAUUUUUAAACCUUUGUCCCUCUAAUUUAAGACUUUGUCCUCUUGUUGUGGUAGUUUUUCUUCUUUUAAAUAUAGUCUCCUCCUUUACUGUGUUGAUUCCUUUAUAUAUUUAAAUGUUUCUAUCAUAUCCCCCCUGUCUCGUCUUUCCUCCAAGCUAUACAUGUUAAGAUCCUUUAACCUUUCCUGGUAAGUUUUAUCCCGCAAUCCAUGAACCAGUUUAGUAGCCCUUCUCUGAACCCUCUCUAAGGUAUCAAUAUCCUUCUGAAGAUACUGUCUCCAGUACUGUGUACAAUACUCCAAGUGAGGUCUUACCAGUGUUCUGUACAAUGGCAUGAGCACUUCCCUUUUUCUACUGCUAAUACCUCUCCCUAUACAACCAAGCAUUCUGCUAGCAUUUCCUGCUGCUCUAUUACAUUGUCUUCCUACCUUUAAGUCAUCAGAAAUAAUCACCCCUAAAUCCCUUUCCUCAAUUGUUGAGGUUAGAACUCUAUCAAAUAUUCUGUACUCUGCCCUUGGGUUUUUACGUCCAAGAUGCAUUAUCUUGCACUUAUUCACAUUAAAUGUCAGUUGCCACAAUUCUGACCAUUUUUCUAGUUUACCUAAAUCAUUUGUCAUUUGGCUUAUCCCUCCUGGAACAUCAACCCUGUUACAUAUAUUAGUAUCAUCAGCAAAAAGACAUACCUUACCAUCAAGACCUUCUGCAAUAUCACUAAUAAAAAUAUUAAAGAGAAUGGGUCCAAGUACAGAUCCCUGAGGUACCCCACUGGUGACAAGUCCAAGCUUUGAAUAUAUUCCAUUAAUUACAACCCUCUGUUGCCUGUCACUCAGCCACUGCCUUACCCAUUCAACAAUAUUGGAAUCCAAACUUAAAGAUUGCAGUUUUUUGAUAAGCCUUCUAUGUGCAACAGUGUCAAAAGCCUUACUGAAAUCUAGGUAAGCAAUGUCUACUGCACCACCCUGAUCUAUAAUUUUAGUUACCCAAUCAAAAAAAUCAAUAAGAUUAGUUUGGCAUGAUCACCCUGAAGUAAACCCAUGUUGUCUCUGAUCUUGAAAUUCAUGUGUUUUUAGAUGUUCAACAAUCCUAUCCUUUAACAUGGUUUCCAUCACUUUCCCCACUACUGAAGUAAGGCUUACUGGCCUAUAGUUGCCCGACUCCUCCCUAUUACCUUUCUUGAAAAUGGGCACAACAUUCGCUAACUUCCAAUCUUCUGGGACUACUCCUGUUAACAAUGAUUGGUUAAAUAAUUCUGUUAGUGGUUUUGUUAGUAUACCACUAAGCUCUUUUAAUAGCUUUGGGUGUAUUCCAUCAGGUCCCAUUGACUUAUUUGUCUUUACUCUUGACAGUUGAAAUAGAACCUCUUCCUCUGUAAACUCACGUGUAAUAAAUGACUCGUUUAUCCUUUUUCUCAACUGAGGUCCCUUUCCUUUAUUUUCAUCUGUAAAUACAGAACAAAAAUAUUCAUUGAGGCAGUCAGCUAGACCUUUAUCCUCUUCUACAUACCUUCCUUCUUUUGUUUUUAAUCUAACUAAUCCUUGUUUUACUUUUCUUUUCUCAUUUAUGUAUCUAAAAAACAUUUUAUCCCCCUUUUUUACUGACUGUGCUAUUUUCUCUUCUGUGUGUGAUUUGAAGCUCUUAUAACUUGCUUAGCCUCUUUGUGCCUAAUCUUAUAGAUCAUUUUGUCUUCCUCACUCUGGUUUUUUUUAUAAUUCCUAAAUGCUAACUUUUUGUUUUUAACUAUUUUGGCCACAUCUGUGGAGUACCACAGUGGUUUCUUGAAUUUUUUGCUUUUACUGACAAGCCUAAUGCAAUUUUCUGUUGCCUUCAAUAGUGUAACUUUUAAAUAAUCCCAUUACUCUUGGACUCCAUUUAAAUUGCUCCAGUCUGAUAAUGACUCAUCUACCCAUAUUCUAAUUUUAGAAAAGUCUGUUUUUCUAAAGUCUAAAACUUUUGUUUUUGUGUGGUAUGACUCAGUCACUGUUCUUAUAUUAAACCACACUGACUGAUGAUCACUGGAUCCUAAACUUUCACCUACAGUAAUACCUGAUACCAAAUCUCCAUUUGUUAACACUAAAUCUAGUAUGGCCUCUUUACGAGUUGGCUCCUCAACAACUUGUUUUAGAGACAAUCCCAGUAGGGAGUUUAGAAUAUGUGUGCUCCUGGCACAAGUAGCUAAUUUUGUUUUCCAAUUUACAUCAGGAAGAUUAAAGUCACCCAUGAUGAUAACUUCCCCCUUCAAUGUCAUUUUAGCUAUUUCCUCAACUAGUAGAUUAUCUAACUCUUCAAUUUGUCCUGGGGGCCUAUAAAUCACACCUACACGAGUUACUGUGUGAUUACCAAAUUCUAACGUAGCCCAAACGGACUCUAUGUUUGCCUCACUAACUUUUAUUAGGCUAGAUUUUAUGCUAUCCUUCACAUACAAGGCCACCCCUCCCCUUUCUUGCCUUCCCUAUCUUUCCUAUAUAAAGAGUACCCUGGUAUUGCUAUGUCCCAGUCAUUUUUCUCAUUGUACCAUGUCUCAGUAACAGCGACUAAAUCUACACUAUCAGUUGCCAUUAUUGCCACAAGUUCAUGGAUCUUUCACCAGAUAAUUUACAAAUCUCAGACUUCAAAAAUACAAUCUCCUGCCGCAAGAUAGAGAUCUGUCUACAGAUUAGACAACAACCAAACCUCCAAAAAGUGGAACGUGAAACAAAUGCAUAGCAAUUGUUACACUGAACUAAGUCUGCCAUUCCAAUUAGGAGAAUAAUUUAAAUCUAACAAAUCUUAACUUUGUAUUUAUCCUCCUGAAUACCUCAGAUUACCUCAAACUACACACUUAGAAACAUCACUUAGAAGUAGCACCAAGCUGUAUUAGACAAGCUAAUGACAACAAGCCUUAUAUAACUCCUAAAAUCACCACCCACUAGGAAUGUUUAACACCUGGGUAGGCCUCUGCUUAUUUGCAAACAAUAGCUAAUUAACCAGCAAUCAAUAGCAAGUAACUAAAUCAAAUCAAAUGCCUUAUAAUUACCAACAGGAAUUCAAACCUUGUGCAAUCAGUAACCUUUUCCUACAGAUGAAUCUUACCUGUAACAGUAGAAAAGAAAGCUCUUAGCACAACUCUUAGACAGUUGAAGCUUCUGUAAAACUCUCCAGAAUAUCUCCAACUACACACUUAGAAACAGCACUUAGAAGUAGCACCAAGCUAUAUUAGACAAGCUAAUGACAACAAGCCUUAUAUAACUCCUAAAAUCACCAACCACUAGGAAUGUUUAACACCUGGGUAGGCCUCUGCUUAUUUGCAAACAAUAGCUAAUUAACCAGCAAUCAAUAGCAAGUAACUAGCUUAAUCAAAUCAAAUGCCUUAUAAUUACCAACAGGAAUUCAAACCUUGUGCAAUCAGUAACCUUUUCCUACAGAUGAAUCUUACCUGUAACAGUAGAAAAGAAAGCUCUUAGCACAACUCUUAGACAGUUGAAGCUUCUGUAAAACUCUCCACAAUAUCUCCAACUACACAGAUAGACAGAUACCCAGAUACCCAUUGUACAGUGCUAUGGAAUAUGAUGGUGCUAUAUAAAUAAUAAAAUAAUAAUAAUACACAUACAGACAGAGAGAGAGAGACACAUACAGACACACAGAUACACAUAUAAACAGAGAAACACACAGAAACACACAUACAUACAGACAGAUACACACAUACAGACACACAGAUACACAUACAGACAGAUACACAUAUAGGCAGAUACACAGACACACAUGCAUAUACACAUACAGCCAGAUACACACAGAGAUACACAGACACACAUGCAAAUACACAUACAGACAGAUACACACAUAUAAACACACAUACACAUACAGACAGGUAUACACACACAAACAGACACUCAUGGAAAAUAUAAAUUUUUAGUCACCCUCCUUUUGGCUGCAGAAAGGUGACUUCCCUGGGGUCCAGUGGCUGGCUGAGGCUGUUGGGAGUCGGGCUCUCUACCAGUCCACGCUCCCCCCACCUUUCUCCCUUCCAUGCGGCACUCUCUGUGUUAGCUGGAAAGGAAGUGACUGCACGUCCUCCAAGUGCUGUCCUCAUCACCGGAGGCCCGUUACGCUGUUAAAGCGCUGCAGCGCUGACCGGGCUCCUGCAGACUCAUUGCCAUCAGGUGAAACUAAGAGCAUGGGCCACCCAAUGGGCCCCCUCUACAUGUGGCCUGCCGUAGUAAGGGGCAGUCUAUUCAUAUGAUUUUUAAUAUUAUGUUUACUUAACCUCUACAUUUAGCAAAUAUGUUUAAUUGAGGUCUGAAAAAUAAAAUUAGAUGUAGAAAUCCACACCUCUGCCUUUAUUGGCAUCCUAGUACUAGAUGCCUCCAUUUUUAUUCCCUGUCAAUCAUUGAUAUAAAUGCUGCUUUAUUCUGCCAUUAAACAUGGUUAGUGAAAGAGGAGAAAUUGUACCAAUCCUUGCAUUUUCCUCCUCAUUUCCAUUGUCUACCCUGGCUGUACCCCGACAGAACCGAAUUGUGAUGUCACCUGCCACAUCUUCAAUUUACAUUUGAAAAGAAUACAGAUCCUCACAUGGAAAUGGUUAAACAAUUUAAAAGUUAUAUUCAUUGUUUCAUUCAGUUAUGCCAUUACCAGAAAGGUGACAAUUCCCCUUAAAACCAUUCUGUCAGUUUCAGGGAAAAGUGACUGGGAUAUUCACGAAAGUAAACAUUUUUGGAAUUCAAAGUGAAUUUCAAAAUUUAGCACAAAAGAACCAAAUUAGAAAAAAAUUCCAAGCUAAUUCUGUUUUGAGUUUGAUUAUUUUGCCCUUAAAUUUGAAAUUCACUUUACACAAAUCUGCUUAUUUAAGCCUCUAUACAUAUCGUUACAUAGUUACAUAGUUACGUAAUUACAUAGCCGAAAAGAGACUUGCGUCCAUCAAGUUCAGGCUUCCUCACAUAUGUUUUUGCUGUUGAUCCAAAAGAAGGCAAAAAACCUAGUCUGUAGCGCUUCCAAUUUUGCAACAAACAAGGCAAAAAUUCCUUCUUGACCCCAAAAUAGCAGUCAGAUGUCUCCUUGGAUAAAGCAGCUAUUACCCCACUAAUUAGAAACUAUAUCCCUGUAUGUUAUGUUUUUGCAAGUAUUUAUCCUAAUUCAGUUUAGGCAGAGAAUUACAAAUCCUUAUUACUCUUACUGUAAAAAAAACCUUUUCUUUGCCUUAGAUGAAAUCUCCUUUCUUCCAGCCUAAAUGUGUGACCGUGUGUCCUAUGUAUAGGCCUGUUUAUGAAUAGAUUUUUAGAUAAUGGUUUGUACUGGCCCUGAAUAUAUUUGUAUAAUGUUAUCAUAUCCCCUCUGAGUUGUCGAUUUCCAAACUAAAGAGAUUUCAAUUUUUUAACCUUUUUUAUUUUUUUAAUACAUGCUCUCCAUUUUAUUCAAGAGUAAACAUAGUCUGAUCCUGGCUAAGAGAAAAUAGCUAGUAACUAGUCCUUCCUCACAUUUAGCUAAAUUGUGGUCAUAUAAUAUAAAUAUAAUGUCUGUUUCAGUAUGUGUGUCUGUUAGUAUGUAUCUCUGCAUGUGUGUGUGUGUGUGUGUGUGUGUGUAUCUGUGUUCUUUUGUAUCAGUGUGUGUGUUUGAGUCUGUGUGUGUUUGUGUCUGUGUGUGUAUUCCUGUGGGUGGGAUUUGGAGGUGGACCCUGUGGGCGGAAUUGGAGGCGGGCCCCAGGGGGCCCAGACCCUGAGCUGAGUUAGGGGCCCCAAAAUUUCUGGUGGCGGCCCUGCUGGUCAGUAUGCCUUGAGGACUGUUAUGGAAACCACUGCCUUAGAUGCAUGCCCCUUAUGAAGAAGGAUUGUUGAAAAAAGAAAACGUGGCAAACGUGUGAUAACAUCUCUGUAUAGUAUACAGUAGUUUAGAUUACAAUAAAGAAGUCAUGUAAAUAUAUAUAAAAUCGUUUUUGUACAGGGUUAUUGACUAAAAUGCGAAUCUUUGGAAAUUCAAAGCGAAUUUUAAAUUUAAGUAAAAAGGAUCUAAACUGGAAAGAUUCUCCAAAUCAGCUGUGCUUCCAGUUCCGCUACUUUUGGCUUGAAAUUUUAAUUUCACUUUCAAUUCACUAUAAAUUGCCAACAAUUCUCAUUUUGGUAAAAAAAAUAAAAAAAAAUUUGAAAAAUGAUUUGUUAUUAGUGUUUAGAACAUAGUAACAUCAUUCCUUGUGUUACAAAUGGGCCAACCACAUUUUAUUUGUUAAGGCCCUUUAAAACCUUGGCGUUUAACACUGACCUUUUUCAACAAAACAUUUUUCUUAAAAAGGAGGAAUUUGUGUUUGUGGGCCACUGACAAAUAUGAAGCCCAUGGAGCAACACAGGAGGGGAGUGGGCCUUGACAGGGCCAGAGAGUUGGCAGGUGAAGUUAAGGUCAAGGGGUGUGGAAAAGUAAUGGCUGGACAGGGGGGGGAGGAGAAUAAGGGUUCAAAUAACAGCCAAUUUGGUGAGCUGGCCUUUUUAAUCAAAAUCACACUUACUUGAUACUUGUCAGGUUUGUGUGGUCUGUUCUUUUUCUUACAGGGAUGGCUUCUGCCGAAGAAAUCUUGGCUGGUGUGAGAAGAAUGGUGGAAGAGAAGGGGAUGGCGUGGCUGCAGGAUCAACUGGGGGUCCCGAGCACGUCUGCUCCCCCCACUGCGGUGUCGGAGAGGAGGCCGACCAGGAGGGCAAGUCCGCCCCAACGACUCAGCCCGGGAGCACCGCCAGCGGCGAGGAGGAGUCCAGCGCCGCAAAGUGGGGAAAAGGCGGCCCAGGCGGAAGGACGGGCGUCAAGAGUCGGAGUGCGCCGGGCGGGCGCUAGUCGGAAGCCCGCCGGUGGGAGAAGGCCCCGCCGCAAGUAUGCGGGCGGGAGGCAGAAGGACACGGCUGGAUCCUGUACAGCUGGGAUGGCAGCCAGGCAGCAGGGCCGUGAUGGUCCGGAACUUCAGCGCCCCGGUGAGUCCGCCCCUAGUGGCGAUACUGAGGGGCAGGAGGAUGGGGUGCUUGAGGACAGCUCGACGCCAGCGCCCCCUCAGGUGACAGGUGGAGAGGCAGAUGGCAGGUCAGGGACGGGCUUAACCCUCACAGGGAAUAGGUCCAGGACAGGUAGCGGUGACAGGGGCAGCAGCGUCUCCGGGCAGACGGGAAUUGCGAGGGGGGGUGAAUCCCUGCCCUCAGGAAGUUGCCGGGAUGAGAGGAGAGGAGACGGCAGGUCAGCGACAGGAGGUUGCAGGGACAUGGAGGAGCCGCAGGGGCUGAGGAGGAAGGAGACAUGCAGAGGGGUCAGAGGCGAGCGGGAGCCCCCUAUGGGCCGCUCUCAGGCGCAGCAGGACAGGAGCUGGGCCAGGAGGCGAGGAGUGAGUAGCGAGCGGCGCAGUGAAGGGGACAGGAGCAGCACCCAGAGGAGGUCAGCAGAGCAGGGGAGGAGCAGGGACAGGAGCCAGUCCAGGAGCCACCGGAGCAGGCAGAGGUCAUGCACCAGGGAACGGAGGCUAAGAUGUAGGCGCAGUGCUUCCAGUUCAUCGGGCGGGAGUUUAAAGGACCAGCAGAGGAGGUCUUACGGCCGGGACGGUCAGGCAGCGAGACAGCGUAGCGAUAGUGACAGGAGGAAGGAACGCCGGGAGGAAAGGCGGGUAGGACAACACGUGGACAGACUACCCAGGUUAUAUUUUCCCGGCAGGUCGAGGAGCGUGACACCUACGGUCCCGAGGAGAGGCCAGGCGGAAAGGAGUCGGCGGCAACAGGAGUCUCCGGAGCCUGAAAUGGCGGACGGAAGGACAGCAACCCUGCGGCCGGCCACGGUCGGGGGCACUGGCGGUGAGUCACGAAGUACACCACACACUGGGUCCUUAUUGGGUUGCUUAAAAUCUUUCAUUAACUCCUGGGCGGGAGAUGAGGGGUCAACCCCGCAGUUUGGUAGGGUAUGGUCGCCAGAGGACGGGGGAGAUAAAGAACAAGGGGCGGAGAGGAUGGUGACACACAAGUCGGGUGCCGUCGAAACGGGGGACGGUGAGUCGGGAACCGGAAAGGCAGUCGGGUCUGGCCAACAGGUGGUCGGGGGUGGUGAGAUAGCGGACGUGGCACGGCAAAACGUGCAUGUGUCCUUCGCGGGACCACUAGGAUGUCACCUGAAAGCGGAGGUAAAAGAAAAAAUUGGGAAGGGGGAAUUCAUGGAAAUCUUCUCCUUACUUCCACUCGAGGAAUUUCUCGACUUGAAGGAAGAGGAUAAGAAGGACGCUAAAAAAGAAGAGGAGAAAAAGCGGCGGUAUCGGAAGAUACCCAAGACUUUUGGGAAUUGGCUCAGAGCCUUCUGUAUUUUGGCGAGCGUAGUCGGGGAAAAGCACCCAGAACGAUGUUCGCAGCUGUUUUGUUAUUUGGACGGGAUAGGGGACGCUUACAGGACUUAUGGGGGAUUAGCAUGGUGGCGGUACGACGAACAAUUCCGCCAACGGUUGGCAGCGAAUCCGAGUAUGAGGUGGGAUCAGAUGGACCUGCCUUUAUGGAUGAGAAUAAUGAUGGCCCAGAAAAAUGCGCCCUUUCAAGGGACGGCCGGUACGGCCACGGGAAGCGCUGUACCGGCCGGACAGAAGAAGGGGUUCUGUUGGCUGUUCAAUGAAGGGCAGUGCAAAUGGGGGGCAUCGUGUAGAUUUAAACAUGAAUGUUCCGGAUGCGGGGGAAAUCAUGGAGUCAACAGGUGUUUUAAGAAAGGAAAAUCUAACUUCGGGGGUGCAGCAGGGACAACAGCCACGGCAGUGGCGACUGGGAACGUCGCCGGUGAAGGUCGGCGCGAUGCUGCCGUGGUUAAGGCAGUACGGUAAUCAGGAAGAGGCGAGGUUCUUAUGGCGGGGGUUUACAGAGGGUUUUGUUAUCCCAUUCAAGGUCAAAGGUCCGGGAACCAUGUGUGCAAACCUUAAAUCAGUCCGGGACCACCCGGGGGUAGUGCGGGAAAAAUUAAUGAAGGAAGUCCAGAUGGGGAGGAUGGCGGGGCCGUUUCCGUCCCCGCCGAUAGAAGAUUUAAGGGUGUCUCCGCUGGGGGUGGUCCCUAAAAAGGAGGAAGGGAAAUUUCGCCUGAUACAUCACUUAUCGCACCCACGGGGGUCAUCGGUAAAUGAUGAUAUCGACGCGGCGCUGUGUUCCGUAUCCUAUGCAUCAUUCGAUCAUGCGGUCGAGUUGGUUCGGAGAGCGGGACACGGUGCACUGAUGGCAAAGGUGGACGUGGAAGCAGCAUUUCGGCUGCUCCCCAUUCAUCCAGGUUGUCACCACCUUUUGGGGUGCUUCUUCGAAGGGGGUUUCUUCAUAGACCUGUGUUUACCGAUGGGCUGUUCCAUCUCGUGUUCCUAUUUUGAAAAGUUUAGCACCUUUUUGGAAUGGGUGGUACGACGGGAGUCGGGUGGGGGAUCAAUCGUGCAUUACCUCGAUUUCUUGUGUGUAGGGCCGGAAGGAUCUGAGCGGUGUGGCCAGAUAUUGAGGGUGUUUCAAUGGAUAGCACACUCUUUUGGGGUUCCUUUGGCAGGGGAUAAGACGGUUGGCCCCACCUCAUGCCUUAGUUUCUUUGGCCUGGAGAUUGACUCUGUAAAAGGUGAAUGCAGACUGCCCGCGGACAAGCUACUUAAGCUUUGUCAGCUAGUGGACACAGCGUGGCAUGCGAGAAAAGUGACUUUGCGAGGGCUGCAGUCGCUAUUGGGGAGUCUUAAUUUUGCAUGCAGGGUGAUUCCGAUGGGCAGAGUUUUUUGUCGACGGCUGGCCCAGGCGACGAGCGGUGUGCGGUUGCCGAAUCAUUACGUGAAAGUUUCGGCGGAUAUGAGAGCGGACCUGGGGGUUUGGAAAAGGUUUCUAAGGGAAUUUAACGGUAUAGUGUUUUUUCGGGAGCCGGGAGUUUCCUCCAAGGACAUAGGCUUGUUUACAGACGCCUCCGGGAGCGUGGGGUUUGGGGCUUAUUUAGCGGGGCAAUGGUGCGCCGAGGAGUGGCCGGCGGAGUGGAAGACGAGCUCGCUGAUAAGGAACCUCGCGUUCCUAGAAUUUUUCCCGGUGGUAGUAGCGGUGGCGUUAUGGGGAAAGCAGCUCGCAAACAAAAAAGUAGUAUUUUACUCAGAUAACAUGGCAGUGGUCCAGGCUAUCAAUGGGUUGUCGGCAUCAUCUCCUGCAGUGAUACGGUUAUUAAGGCACCUGGUACUUUUAUGUAUGUCUAGCAAUAGUGUUCAGGGCAAGGCAUGUUCCAGGUUUCUUGAAUAUAGUGGCUGAUGCGCUUUCUCGUUCACAGUGGGAACGUUUUCGGGAAGCAGCGCCGGAGGCACAAGAGGAAGGAUUGGCAUGUCCGGCAGAAAUGUAGCAGCUCGGGACAUCAUGCUUGGGGAGUUCAUAAAGAAUUCCCUGGCACCGGGCACCUGGGCGGCAUAUGUGAAGGUUUGGCACGAAUGGGAAGAGUCGGUGGCACAAGUGGGAGGGGACUGUUCAGAGGAACAUCGGUUAGAUAUACUGUUAUGGGUACUGUGUCGACUAUUUGCCAGGAAGGCUUCACCAGCUAUGGUUGACAGGCACAUGUCGGCGUUGGCCUUCCUAUUUAAGUUUAAUGGAUGGGAGGAUAUAACGAAACAUUUCUUGGUCAGGCAAGCCAUAAGAGGUUUUCGGAGGGGUAAGAAAUCGGUGGAUACGAGGAGGCCAGUGUCAUUCGCGGUGCUGCAAGGACUAGUGGAGGUUCUACCGGCAUUAUGUUAUUCCAAAUAUGAAGUUGUGUUGUUUUCCGGGGCGUUUGUCUGGGCAUUCCGUAUUGGGGAGCUGCUUAGCACCAACAAAGCAGGGGUUGGUGGGAUUCGGUUGGGGGAUGUGACCAUUGGUGAAGAUAAGGUACAGGUCAAGUUGUGCCGCUCAAAGACGGACAUAUUCGGCAAAGGAAGCUUGGUAACAUUGUUCAAAUUGCCAGGGUCUAGGGUUUGCCCAGUGGCUUGUGGCGCCGAAUUCUUGGAAGUCCGCCCCGAGAAGGAAGGCUGUUUCUUCAUCCAUGCUGACGGUAAGGCUUUGUCCCGUUUUCAGUUCGUUAAGAUAUUUCGUGCAGGAUUGGGUAAGCUGGGCCUGGAACCCAUGCAUUUCGGGACACAUUCGUUUAGAAUUGGGGCCGCAACGGAGGCGGCUCGGUUAGGUCUGGGAGACGAGCGGAUCAAACAGAUAAGAAGAUGGGAGUCCAUUCGGUUCCGCUCAUACGUUAGACCGGACAAGUUGGUGUAAAAGGGGACUGGGGCGUGGUUUGUUAAGGGCUCUGCUGUUCACUGUUCUAUUUCUUUUAGGUCGUUUGGUAUGGCUGAUCGGACAUUCCUACGUUUAUUGGGCGCGGAGGAGGGCCGCGAUGAGAAGAGACGGAGCACAACUGGGCUUCCCGGUGGAGGCGGUGGUUCUCACUUGGUUGGGUUUCCAGGGUUUCGGUUGGCAGAGCAUCAGUAAGGAACUGUUCAAUAGGCUGGCAUGGGGGUCAGUCCCUAACGUAAUUCUGGUUCAUGGUGGGGGGAACGAUUUAGGCUUGAUCCCGCAGCGGGAACUGUUGAGGAGGAUGAAGAGGGAUCUGGAUCGGCUACGUAAGCUGGUUCCUGGCGUGGUAGUGGUCUGGUCCGAAAUGGUGCCUCGCUUUAAUUGGAGACACGCCAGGGAUUCGGCUGCGAUAGCGCGAAGUAGGGGUAAGGUCAAUAAGACCAUGGCGGUUUUCGUGAGGCGGAUGGGUGGCGUAGUUGUGCGUCACAAGGAGUUGGAAUGUAUGCUGCCCGGGUAUUUUAGGAUGGGGUUCAUCUAUCCCACGUGGGAUCGGAUUUACUUAAUUUGGGUUUUCAGGAUGGUAUUGCACAGGCCCUGUUUUUGUGUGGUGGGGGUCGCUCAUGUUCUUGAGGGGGUCAAGUCAUGUGCUGUGGCGGAAUAGGGCCUGGGUUAAAGAGGAUUUAGGUGGAAUAGGAAGUGGGCAGGCCAAGAUCUAGGCUGGACUAUGCCGGAGUGGAAAAUGGUUUGUAGGUUCUAGCUCGUUGGUGGCUACGAAUCUGGGGGUGUAGGGGUGUCUGGGUACACCCCUACAGUUAAACAUAUGGUUAUGGGGCCUCUUUGGUUAAACGUUAUGUAUUAUUGGAAUGUUUUAUUAUGUUAUUUGGUAGGGUCAUUGUCGGGGGUAUUGGGCAAGAAGGUCGGACAUAAUUAAUACUUGUGACAAUGACCCUAAAUUGUUAAAUUGUUGAAUUAAAAUUUUUCAUAAAGCUGUGGACUUUAUACUCCAACAGAAAUGGUGUCACAGAGUUAUUUUAUUAAGGUUUUAGCACAUGCCGAAUAACGACUGUGCACAUGUCAUGAAGCCCAUGGAGCAACACAGGAGGGGAGUGGGCCUUGACAGGGCCAGAGAGUUGGCAGGUGAAGUUAAGGUCAAGGGGUGUCGAAAAGUAAUGUCUGGACAGGGGGGGGAGGAGAAUAGGGUUUAAAUAACAGCCAAUUUGGUGAGCUGGCCUUUUUAAUCAAAAUCACACUUACUUGAUACUUGUCCAUCCCACCCUCCCUUUGUGUUCGGUUGUCUUGUUUGGUAGGUAGUUUCCCGUUUGGUCACAGCGGCGGGAAUAGGGCCUGGGUUAAAGAGGAUUUAGGUGGAAUAGGAAGUGGGCAGGCCAAGGUCUAGGCUGGACUAUGCCGGAGUGGAAAAUGGUUUGUAGGUUCUAGCUCAUUGGUCGCUACGAAUCUGGGGGUGUAGGGGUGUCUGGGUACACCCCUACAGUUAAACAUAUGGCUAUGGGGCCUCUUUGAUAGGCCAUGGGUUAAACGUUAUUGUAACUCCGACUGAGUACCCUCCGUUGACGGAUGCUCCUAGCGCUUCCUGAGGACUCCAAGCACUGCAGCAGACACCACAACCACCGCAGACUCCGCAACCGCCGUAUCUUGACUGGAGUCUCGCCGUCUUCCUUCCACCCUGGAUCAGCUUCUGUCCUCCAGGACUGUGUGGGAAAGAACUCUUCCUUCCACCCUGUAUGAACCUCCAGCAUCCAGGACUGUGUGGUGAAGACCCCUCCUCCAAGGAGAGCGUGUCAGGAACAAGCUCUUAAAAGAGCUAAGUGAUUCAAGCUCAGGGGAGCAUGCAGAGCAUAGCAACCCCCAGUGUGAUUAUAACAGCUCCCUCCAAUAACGAGACAAGGCUACGUUUAGAGGGAUCAAGAAGAACUGUCAAAACCUUUAUUUCCCCUGAGACCAGCCAAUAUGGUCACCACAAUAACAUUGUUGUGAAACCUCAAUAAAAUCACAAACAGACAAACCAUAUCAAGCAACACACAGUGAAUUAUCACAACACAAUGGCACAUUUUAAAAGGUGGAGGGAGACAAUAUUUAACAGUAAAUAUCUCACCUGCCUGCAAAAUUAGCAAUAUGCAAAUCUACCCGAAUAUGCAAAUGAACCAGUCUUGCAAUUCAGGUAGUGCAUAUUGCUGUUGCAACCAACAGAGAGCACUAGACAAGCUCCAUAGCCAAACCCACCUAGUUGGUAGCAAACCUCAGCAAUACAAGAGAGCAGGCAAUACAUUACACAGUACAUACACACACACUAUAAACAAUUACAUUACACACACCCUGCACCUAUAAUGGGUACAGGGUGACUAAAACAUAAGAUAAAUAAAGCAGCCUACAUAAAUAGUCUAAAAAAAAGGAUAAAAGGUGGGUGAAUAAACAAUAUAGACUAUUGGUAAACCAAGUGCAGGCAAGCCUCUGUAAAUUGGAUACUCCAAGUCCAAUAAGAAACAGCAAAUAUAUACAAAUUAACAGGGCGCCACAAUCACUAAAUAGGUAAAUAUAUAAAGGGAAGAAUCAAAUAUUUAUCCAAUAGCUGAAUAAAAUAGUAUUUUAUUAAUACAAAAUGAAUAAAAUCAUGGCACAACAAAGUGCUCAAACAUAUAAUAAAUAGGAACCCAUAGGUAUAGCAGCUCACUGGUGUAUAAUGCUAGAUAGGCAAUAAAGUGCAAAUGCUAAAGUGCACAAAAAUGGAAAAAGUGCAAAUAAUGGUGCUAAAAAAGCAUCCAAUUCAUAUCACAUAAGCAUAAUCAUAGCCUUAAACAUGUCCAGAAUGCAAAAAUAGACAGUUAGCACAUAAAAGCAGUAUAGCCACUAAUACCACAAUUCAGGGUCCCAAAGUACUGGUUGCUCAACGCGUUUCGUCGCUAGACUUCCUCAGGAGCUUCUGUCGUCUUCCUCCAUCUUCCUCUUUUUAAAUCUGCCGGUUCGUCCGUCGGCCGUCGUGAUCGCGCAUGCGCGCCUACGUCACCGCGCACGACGUCAUACGUCAUGACGUAUACGCGGCUAGUACGCGCAUGCGCAACCACAGUGGAACGCAAUAAAACUUUAUUGUUCAUCUACACGGUCACAUUUAGAGCGAUUAAAUAGAAAAAAACGCUCGAUUAUUCUGUAGACCGGAUUCACAUACCCUGCCUGCCCCCUACUAACCCCUAACAGAGGAGUACUAUAUAAACAGAGAGGGGAAAUAUAAAUUGGACAGGUAAUCAAAAGAGGGUUAAUACGAAGGAGGUAUAAAAGUAUAUAUACUACACAAAAUAUAAUAUUAUAAACAACAAUAUGUUAGAAAAAUAUGUAAGAAAAAUACAUUAAGGAAAAUAUAGGGGAAAAAAAAUAUAUAUAGGGAAAAAAAUCUCCAUUGUGAAAAGAGAAUGAGUCCAUUUAUAUUUCCAAAAUGACCGUCAUGGCAUACAACACAAAAGGUCUUACAAUGAUAAAUUACCUAAAUAUUGAUAUCAAUAUAAAUGUACAUAAGUAGUAUUGUAAAAGUAAUAUUGCAUGAUAUCAAAGUGUGGACAACAUCAUAAACUAAUAACCAAAUAGACACAAAUAUAGAUAUAAGAGAUAUAUCUCUAUAUAUGAGGCAAAUAGCAAUAUUAAUAAAAGGUGAACACAUAUAAAUCUAAACAGAGGACAUUGUUCAUAUAGCUUGUUAUAAUAUCAGAGUAUGGAGAACAUCAUAUAAAAAUUAAUAAUAAAUAAUAAUAACCAGAUGAACAUAGAAAUAGGUAUAAAAAAUGUAUCUAUAUAUAUAUAAAGUGCAUCACAAUAAUAAAGAAAGACAAACGUAUAAAUCUUGACAAAAAAGCAUUAUUCAUAUAGCUCGUGAUGACACAUGGUGAGUGAAGAAGGCAUAUAAAAAAGGUAUAUAAAAAAGGUAUAUAAAAAAGGUAUAUAAAAUCCUAAAAAAGGGAACACAAGAAGAGGACAAAAUUAAAAUCAUCAUUAAAUUAAUCUAUAAAGGCUAGUAUAUCCAAAUCAGUAUUCAAUCCUGAGGGAACAGAAGAUUUCAUUUUAUAUAUCCAUUCAGUUUCUUUCAUAGCUAGCCUUUUUUCCAUGUCACCACCUCUCCAAUGAGGUAAAAUUAUAUCGAUCCCAAUACAAAUAAAAUUUUUAAAAUCAAAAUCCUUACAAGUAUUACAAUGUCUAGGUACACUAUGUUUCUCAUUUUUAUUCUUGAUCCCAUUAAAAUGUUCAAGUAAUCUAGUAUGUAAUUUUCUAAUCGUCCGUCCAAUAUAUUGGACCCCACAUUUACAUUGCAACAAAUAUACUACAAAUUUACUAUGACAAUUAAUAAAAUGUUUAAUUUUAAAAGUUUCAUUAGUCACCGUACUAGAAAAUUCCAUGGUCUUAUUCUUCUGAAAUUUGCAUGUAUUGCAUCUACCACAUUUAAAAAAGCCAUUAGGUCUUUCUAUUAGAAAAUUCGUCUUCUCGAUCUCAACAGUUUUUUUAGGCAAAAUACUGGGGGCUAAAAUAUUCUUCAAAUUGUUAGAUCUUUUAUAGAUUACUCUGGGGUUCUGAGGUAAAAUCUUUUUUAAGAGGAAAGAUAUUCUAAUGAAUAACAAAAAGAUUAAGAAGGAUGCUGGGAAACAGUCUGAAUUUGCGUUUUUAACAAAAUUUAGCAAUAAAGCCAAUCUAAUAGAGAAGUCUAUUAAGAAGAAUUGGCCCAUUUUACUGCAAGAUAAAUUUUUAAAAAAGAUUUUACCUCAGAACCCCAGAGUAAUCUAUAAAAGAUCUAACAAUUUGAAGAAUAUUUUAGCCCCCAGUAUUUUGCCUAAAAAAACUGUUGAGAUCGAGAAGACGAAUUUUCUAAUAGAAAGACCUAAUGGCUUUUUUAAAUGUGGUAGAUGCAAUACAUGCAAAUUUCAGAAGAAUAAGACCAUGGAAUUUUCUAGUACGGUGACUAAUGAAACUUUUAAAAUUAAACAUUUUAUUAAUUGUCAUAGUAAAUUUGUAGUAUAUUUGUUGCAAUGUAAAUGUGGGGUCCAAUAUAUUGGACGGACGAUUAGAAAAUUACAUACUAGAUUACUUGAACAUUUUAAUGGGAUCAAGAAUAAAAAUGAGAAACAUAGUGUACCUAGACAUUGUAAUACUUGUAAGGAUUUUGAUUUUAAAAAUUUUAUUUGUAUUGGGAUCGAUAUAAUUUUACCUCAUUGGAGAGGUGGUGACAUGGAAAAAAGGCUAGCUAUGAAAGAAACUGAAUGGAUAUAUAAAAUGAAAUCUUCUGUUCCCUCAGGAUUGAAUACUGAUUUGGAUAUACUAGCCUUUAUAGAUUAAUUUAAUGAUGAUUUUAAUUUUGUCCUCUUUUUGUGUUCCCUUUUUUAGGAUUUUAUAUACCUUUUUUAUAUACCUUUUUUAUAUACCUUUUUUAUAUGCCUUCUUCACUCACCAUGUGUCAUCACGAGCUAUAUGAAUAAUGCUUUUUUGUCAAGAUUUAUACGUUUGUCUUUCUUUAUUAUUGUGAUGCACUUUAUAUAUAUAUAGAUACAUUUUUUAUACCUAUUUCUAUGUUCAUCUGGUUAUUAUUAUUUAUUAUUAAUUUUUAUAUGAUGUUCUCCAUACUCUGAUAUUAUAACAAGCUAUAUGAACAAUGUCCUCUGUUUAGAUUUAUAUGUGUUCACCUUUUAUUAAUAUUGCUAUUUGCCUCAUAUAUAGAGAUAUAUCUCUUAUAUCUAUAUUUGUGUCUAUUUGGUUAUUAGUUUAUGAUGUUGUCCACACUUUGAUAUCAUGCAAUAUUACUUUUACAAUACUACUUAUGUACAUUUAUAUUGAUAUCAAUAUUUAGGUAAUUUAUCAUUGUAAGACCUUUUGUGUUGUAUGCCAUGACGGUCAUUUUGGAAAUAUAAAUGGACUCAUUCUCUUUUCACAAUGGAGAUUUUUUUCCCUAUAUAUAUUUUUUUUCCCCUAUAUUUUCCUUAAUGUAUUUUUCUUACAUAUUUUUCUAACAUAUUGUUGUUUAUAAUAUUAUAUUUUGUGUAGUAUAUAUACUUUUAUACCUCCUUCGUAUUAACCCUCUUUUGAUUACCUGUCCAAUUUAUAUUUCCCCUCUCUGUUUAUAUAGUACUCCUCUGUUAGGGGUUAGUAGGGGGCAGGCAGGGUAUGUGAAUCCGGUCUACAGAAUAAUCGAGCGUUUUUUUCUAUUUAAUCGCUCUAAAUGUGACCGUGUAGAUGAACAAUAAAGUUUUAUUGCGUUCCACUGUGGUUGCGCAUGCGCGUACUAGCCGCGUAUGCGUCAUGACGUAUGACGUCGUGCGCGGUGACGUAGGCGUGCAUGCGCGAUCACGACGGCCGACGGACGAACCGGCAGAUUUAAAAAGAGGAAGAUGGAGGAAGACGACAGAAGCUCCUGAGGAAGUCUAGCGACGAAACGCGUUGAGCAACCAGUACUUUGGGACCCUGAAUUGUGGUAUUAGUGGCUAUACUGCUUUUAUGUGCUAACUGUCUAUUUUUGCAUUCUGGACAUGUUUAAGGCUAUGAUUAUGCUUAUGUGAUAUGAAUUGGAUGCUUUUUUAGCACCAUUAUUUGCACUUUUUCCAUUUUUGUGCACUUUAGCAUUUGCACUUUAUUGCCUAUUUAGCAUUAUACACCAGUGAGCUGCUAUACCUAUGGGUUCCUAUUUAUUAUAUGUUUGAGCACUUUGUUGUGCCAUGAUUUUAUUCAUUUUGUAUUAAUAAAAUACUAUUUUAUUCAGCUAUUGGAUAAAUAUUUGAUUCUUCCCUUUAUAUAUUUACCUAUUUAGUGAUUGUGGCGCCCUGUUAAUUUGUAUAUAUUUGCUGUUUCUUAUUGGACUUGGAGUAUCCAAUUUACAGAGGCUUGCCUGCACUUGGUUUACCAAUAGUCUAUAUUGUUUAUUCACCCACCUUUUAUCCUUUUUUUUUGUCUAUAUAUUUUAUACCUUCGGGUAUAAUUGCUUACUCCAUUAGGUGUGGUGUGAUUGAACACUUUUCUGCAAUUACUUCUCCUGAUUUGUAUUUAAGAUCACUUGUGAUAUGGCUUAUUGUAGACUUAUGACUACAACUAUGAGAGAUGCAAGGAAUAGACGUAUUGAAAGUCUAUUCUCUAGAGAAUCUACAACUAAUCACAAGGUAAAUAAUUUUUCAUUUCAAAAAAUGGAGAGGCUAGCAGAAAAGGAGGUUAAGAAAUGGUGGGAGAUUAAAUAUCUCCAACAGUAUUUAAAAUUAGGGAUUAUCCCCAGAGGGUUAAGAAUUGAAAAAGAACCUGCAUUUGGCCAAGAGAACUUAGAUUUUAUGACUAAGUGGAAUGAUACCCUUGACAAUUGUUCAAAUCGGUUAAUGGAAAUCCUGGUAAAAUACCAGGAAGAUUGUCUGAGAAAUAUAGAGGAGGAGAUCCACUCAGUGGAAUCUGAGAUUAAUAUGGCCUUUGAUGAAGAAACAAUAAAAGAAAAUAGUAAGUUAUUAAAUAAAAAUGUAGAAAAAUUAGAGGAAAAGAUUUUAAACAUUAAGGAAAAUAAAUUGAGUAGAGAUAAAGAUGAUUAUAAAAAAGGUAUACAAAGAGAAUGGAGAAAAAAGAGACCUAGAGGUUUCCAAAAUAACAGAGAUUAUCAUGAGAAUAGACCUCAUAAAUAUAAUGACGGCUUUAGAGGAGGGCAAGAUAGAAAUAUCGUCCAUAGAAAUCCUAAUUAUAAGAAAAACAGAGAUGGAUUUUCAUCUCCUAAGAGGAUUAGAAACUAUGAGGAACAAAAUAGGAUAGUGAGACGAAAAGAUAUUUCAAGUAAUAUGGCGAAUAGCAGAAAAAAAGAUGGAUCAUACAAUCAGAGGAAUAGCGUAAGGGAUAGGCCCUUUAUUCAGAGUAAUGUGGGAAACGGCAGAACAAGAGAGAGAUAUGAUCAAUCCGAGAUUUUUUUAGAGAACCAAUCCAGACAGGGACAGAAUGUCUGGACUCACAGAAACCGGUUCUCCCCCCUACAAACCCUCCAAACACCCUCCAAGAAAAGAAGACUUUUGGGGGCAACAGGAGGACUAGGGGAAAUAGAGGAAGGGGAAAUGUCGGAUUAAACAUUAAAACGAGUAUGGAAGGCAUUUUUAAUUUAUCUAAGGUGAUUUUUACUAAAGAACAAUUAGAGGUUUUUAAUAAAGGAUUAAAAUUUGCUCCACAAACAGAUCCCAAUAUGUUUGAACUUUUUAUAGAUAUGCAGAAAUUUUUAAGAAAAUUAACUAUUAAGAGAUUUUUUGAGAAGAAAAAUGAUGGAGGCACCAUUUAUAGUGAUACACAGAAUGAUCAAAGGACAGACGUUAGCUUGAGUGUAUCUAGGGCACCUGGAAUUGUACACUCUGGUCUAAAGAAUAAAUCCAAAUUUUUCCCUACUUGGGAAAAGGGGGACCAUAUACCAGUGUUCUGUGAAAUGGUGAUGAGUGAAUUCGAAAAAUUAUCUAAGAAUAAGGGUAAAGAUAAUUUAACCAAGAAAGAAAAACAAGCUUUAAAAGAAUUAAAAGAUAAUAAGGACAUAGUAAUCAGGCAGGCUGACAAAGGUGGAGGUAUUGUCAUCCUUAAUAGAAUUGAUUAUAUGACGGAGUCAAUGAGGAUAUUGAGUGAUUCAGAUACUUAUAAGGUUUUAAAGAGUAAUCCCACAGGUAAAUUUAAGGGAGAAUUACAUGAUAUUCUAUUAGUAGGUUUGGACAAUGGGAUUAUAAAUAAGGAUGAGUUUAAUUAUCUAUUUGUUAAUUCACCUAAAACAGCUGUUUUCUAUUACUUACCUAAAGUACACAAAUGUUUGGAAUCUCCACCAGGGAGACCUAUUAUCAGUGGGAUUGGGUCUUUAACAAAUAAUAUUUCACAGUAUAUUGAUUUCUUUUUACAGAAAUAUGUGGUUUUAGCUCAAUCUUACACCAAAGACUCCGUCCAGAUUAUCAAGGAAUUGGAGGGGCUUGAAUGGAAAGAUGAGUACCUCUGGGUAACAGUCGAUGUCACCUCCUUAUACACUGUGAUUGACCAUGAGAAGGGUAUUGAAGCAGUACGAAAUGUCUUGAGAUGUGAUCCAGAUAUGAAUCCGGGGCAGGCUAUUUUUGUUCUAGACCUCAUUCGAUUUAUUUUAUUUCAUAAUUAUUUUUGGUUUGAAGGGUUAUAUUACCUCCAAACCUGUGGGACUGCAAUGGGCACCAGGUUCGCACCAAGUUAUGCCAAUAUUUUUGUGGCUGAUUGGGAGUUGAACCAUAUUUGGCAGAAUAAUCCAUUUGGUGCGAACCUGGUGCAAUGGAGAAGGUAUAUUGAUGAUGUUUUAAUUAUUUGGAAGGGAGAUAGGAGUCUCUUAAUUGAAUUUUUAACGUAUAUCAAUUCUAAUUUAUAUGGUUUGAGAUUUACUGAAGAAAUCCAUGAUACACAUAUCAAUUUUCUUGAUCUUACCCUUUUUAUAAAAGAUAAAAGAAUUUUUAGCAAAACAUUUUUUAAACCGACAGAUGGUAAUGGUUUUAUUGAAUUUUCUAGUUGCCACCAUUAUAAAUGGUUGACUAAUAUCCCUAAAGGCCAACAAUUGAGACUAUAUAGGAACUGCACUGAGAAAGAAGAUUUUGAGAAACAAGUGCAAGUUCUGAACAGGAAAUUUUUAGAUAGGAAUUAUCCAGAACAGCUUCUAUUUAAUACACAAAAGCUGGUAGAAGGUUAUCAGAGGAAAGAUAUUCUAAUGAAUAACAAAAAGAUUAAGAAGGAUGCUGGGAAACAGUCUGAAUUUGCGUUUUUAACAAAAUUUAGCAAUAAAGCCAAUCUAAUAGAGAAGUCUAUUAAGAAGAAUUGGCCCAUUUUACUGCAAGAUAAAUUUUUAAAAAAGAUUUUACCUCAGAACCCCAGAGUAAUCUAUAAAAGACCUAACAAUUUGAAGAAUAUUCUAGCCCCCAGUAUUUUGCCUAAAAAAACUGUUGAGAUCGAGAAGACGAAUUUUCUAAUAGAAAGACCUAAUGGCUUUUUUAAAUGUGGUAGAUGCAAUACAUGCAAAUUUCAGAAGAAUAAGACCAUGGAAUUUUCUAGUACGGUGACUAAUGAAACUUUUAAAAUUAAACAUUUUAUUAAUUGUCAUAGUAAAUUUGUAGUAUAUUUGUUGCAAUGUAAAUGUGGGGUCCAAUAUAUUGGACGGACGAUUAGAAAAUUACAUACUAGAUUACUUGAACAUUUUAAUGGGAUCAAGAAUAAAAAUGAGCUUCCUACAACCCCCACCCAACCUACGACACAGACAGGACACAGACCGCGGACAGAUCCCCUGACUGGACUGAGACCCAAGGACGAAACGAUGCGGCCACACUCACACACAGGCACGAAGGCACUGGUGCCGGACUGUCUCUCUGUCCUCUCCAUAAACGCCAGAGGUCUCAAUAAACCGGAGAAGCGCUCAGGAGCGCUGAGAGACUUCCACGCUCAACGAGCCUCGAUAGUACUAAUACAGGAGACACACUUCAAGGGCGGGUCCAGGCCCAAACUGACAAACCAUCACUACCCCACGGGAUAUUACAGCGACUAUCACGCAGGAAGGUCCAGAGGCACGGCCAUUCUAGUUCACAAACAUAUACCUUUUGUAGAAACGGGCCAGCUGACGGACAGGGAAGGCAGAUUCCUCUUCCUAAAGGGCACAAUAGCAGGACAGGCCUAUACAUUCGCGAACGUCUACGCCCCGAACACCCGACAAUACAGAUUCCUGGCACACACACUUAGGAAACUAAGGCCCUUCACGGAGGGAAUCCUCAUAGUGGGGGGUGACCUAAACGUAGCGCUCAAUCCGCGGUGGGACACCUCCGCCGGACGAUCGUGGGUCCCGGCGCAAAACCUAAACUCAAUCAAGACCCUUCUAACUCGCCACCAGCUGAUAGACUGCUGGAGGGCCUAUCACCCGGACGAGAGGGAUUAUACGUUUUUCUCCCACGUGCACAACACUUACACCAGGCUAGACUACCUUUUUACCACGCACUACCAUUUACCAAUAACUAACGCUGCAGAACAUGGGGUGGCGACAUGGUCAGACCACGCGCCGGUAACCCUAACACUCUCGUCCCCCCUGUACAGACCCCGGCACAACAAAUGGAGGCUUAACGAAUACCUCCUUACUAGGCCCGACUUCACGUCCGAGGUCAACGACACACUCAAAGAAUACUUUGAGAUGAACACAACUGAACACACCUCACCGACCAUUAGAUGGGAGGCACACAAGAGCGUGAUACGAGGACACUUCAUCCGUCAGGGGUCCACCCUUAAAAAGCAGACAGAUAGUCGCCUGACGGAACUAGUGACCGAAAUACACAGGGUGGAAACACUCAACAAAACCACCCAACAAACGGCACACCAGGCGACACUACUACGUCUCAGACGGGACCUGACGAGCCUCUUACAAAGGAAACACCACAGAGACAUAACCAGACAUAAGGCCUUCUUCUUACUUCACGGCAAUAAAAGCGGUAAGCUACUGGCCAGAAUGUUAGCCAAACAGAGACAAAGAACGUACAUCGAUAAAAUGAGAGACGGGCAGGGCACCCUGCACCACCUACCCUCUAAAAUCCUCGACAUAACGCGGGAAUACUACGCGAACCUAUACGCCCUCCCCCGGCCCCUCCUAGACACGGCGAAAGACAGACUGCGGGAGAAAAUACAAGCCUACCUGUCAGCCCACCCCCCCCCGUCCAUAGACCAGGUAACCGCAGAAAGCCUAGACGAACCAAUUUCGAUAGAGGAACUAGCCUAUGCCAUUAAAGUGACAAAACAGGGUAAAAGCCCCGGUCCAGACGGGCUCCCGUUAAAGUAUUAUAAAACGUUCGCGGAACAUCUAUACCCCCCUCUCCUAGACACCCUGAACGCACUAAGGGAAGGACAUCACCUGCCAAAACAGUCACUGACCGCACACAUCGCACUCAUCCCGAAGGAAGGUAAGGACAGGGAACACUGCGGGAACUACAGGCCCAUCUCACUUAUCAACUGCGACGUCAAACUGUUAGCAAAGAUACUGGCCACACGCCUCCAGACACACAUCCCCACUCUAAUACAUCCAGACCAGGUUGGCUUCGUCAUGGGCCGCGAAGCAAGAGACAACACGAUCAGGGCACUGACGCUCAUGCACAGACGUAAUUGCGGGGACGAAGGCGUUCUACUGCUGUCCACGGACGCAGAGAAGGCCUUCGACAGAGUCGACUGGCAAUACAUGUUCCACACACUGGCCCACACUGGGCUGGGACCGCACUUCCGGAGAUGGGUCGAGGCACUGUACGACGGCCCCACAGCCCACAUCAUAGUAAACGGAGCCCUGACGGGUGACUUCCCUAUCACCAACGGCACACGGCAGGGGUGCCCCUUGUCACCCCUGCUUUUUGUGCUGACACUCGAACCCUUCCUGACGCACAUACGACAGGACGCAGCAAUCAGGGGCAUUGGACAUGGAGACACACAACACAAAGUCGCGGCAUACGCCGAUGACCUCCUCUUCUUUAUCACUAACCCGGAGGUCUCGCUCCCGAAUAUCCUGAAGGCCUUCAAGACCUUCGGAGAGAUAUCCAACCUCAAGAUCAACUUCACAAAAUCAUACAUCUUGAACGUUAGUAUACCAGAACACAGAGCCUCCCCCUUAAAGCAGAGCCACACAUUCCAAUGGGCACAACAUCAAAUACAAUACCUAGGCACAUGGCUGACGAGGAGGGAACCUGAUCUAUUCAGACACAACUUCAUCCCCCUGCUAAACAGGUUCCGGAAAGACCUGUCGGACUGGGCAUACCCACACAUAUCCUGGCUGGGCAGGGUCCAGGUUAUAAAAAUGAACCUGCUCCCACGCCUACUAUAUCUCAUGCAAGCCCUACCCAUUACCAUCCCCAGAUCAUUCUUUCAGGCCCUGCGACAGGAAACCGGGAAAUACAUUUGGGACCGCAAAAGACCGAGGAUCAAACUAGCCGCACUGACGUUGCCCAAGGACAGGGGGGGACUGGCCAUACCAGACUUCUCCCUGUACUACGAAUCCUGUCAACUCCAACGAAUUAUGGAGUGGACAAAAGAGAAGGUGCAUAAGAGAUGGAAAGAGGUAGAGGAAACGGAUGCGGGGAUACCGCUGUCCAUCGCCCCAUGGCUGGGGAGGGGAGGGAGCGGGAGACAAGGCACACCCUACACAACCGCAACCCUACGGGCAUGGGAGAGAGUAGCACAGAGAUGCAGACUAGCACCAUUCCCAUCCCCCCUUCUCCCUCUCACGCAUAACGACAGCUUCCCACCGGGGCUAGACCCCAACGCAUUCAGGGACUUAAUCCGACAUAAACCACCUAGACUACACCACCUGCUGGCAGGCACGGAAUGCAAAACACUUCCGACCCUAUUAGAGGGAGCAACCCCCACCCUCCUACACCACCUAAAACACAGACAACUACAGAGCUAUGUACACACCCUCCCGGGGGGCACGGCACGGAAACGUGAUCCUACCACAUUUGAAAGAAUGUGUAUGGACCCAGACCCGCAACCACACGGGUUCUCACUCAUUUACUCCAUGCUACAGAGGGAAACACCAACGGAGAAACCCAAAUUCAUGGGGAGAUGGGAACAAACAUUGGGGAAAACCUUCACAGACGGGGACUGGGAAAAGAUAUGCUAUUUAACGCAUCACUGCUCAGUCUUCAGCAAAACACAAGAAACGGUGUUUAAACUGUUAACGAACUGGUACUGCACCCCGAUCGCACUCCAUGCCAUGGACCCGGAACACACGGAUCUCUGCUGGCGGUGUAAUAGAGAGGCCGGCACAGUACUCCACCUGUGGUGGACCUGCGAAGCCAUAAAGCCCUUCUGGCGGAGUAUACACGGCUUCCUCAAAACCUUCUCAGACACGCCACCCCCCUUCCUCCCAGAACAUAUGCUCCUUCACCAUACAAGGUCACCUAGAACGAGAUACAAGCACUCACUAACCAUUAGAAUCCUAAACGUUGCCAAACAAUUGAUCCCUCAAUUCUGGAAGCAACAAACGACACCCCCGUUGACAUCCUGGUUCUCCCAAAUGGAGGAACUCAGAGCCAUAGAGGAACUCAUUAUGACCGCAUCCAACUCCUCGAAUAAGUACACGGACAUAUGGACCCACUGGAUACUGACUACCACCAAGGCAGAAUUCACAAACAGGCUCCAAUAUGACACAUAAGGACAAAGUGACGAAGCCGCAUAGACCGACAAAUACAGAGACGACUUAGACAGACGCGACCCAGACGCGGACGCACCCCGACCCCCCUACCUCCCUAGACGCCACUACCCGGACAUCCCCCAACCCCAAAUACUGCAUGCGAACAGACAAGUACUUGGCACACGCCAAGGACAACAUAAGAGAAGACUUAUAAGGCCUUCGGGAAGACACUCACCCCUCCACGAGGGGACAAUAGAACAGAAGACACCCACAUGCACGCACUACAGAUCAGGCCGCGGGACUUAACGUGAGACUCAAAGGGGCCAGCGGACCCACCCUGACACUUGGAGUUUACUGGAGGUAAUACCUGACCGCCUUACUGCAACGAGACACACGGGCCCGACNNNNNNNNNNNNNNNNNNNNNNNNNNNNNNNNNNNNNNNNNNNNNNNNNNNNNNNNNNNNNNNNNNNNNNNNNNNNNNNNNNNNNNNNNNNNNNNNNNNNUCUGUGUCAUGCAAUGUGUGUCUGUGCCAUUGUGUGUGUGUCUGUCAUGUAAUGUGUGUCUGUCUGUGUCAUGGUGUGUCUGUGUCAUGGUGUGUGUUUGUUUGUCAUGGUGUGUGUGUGUGUGUGUGUCUGUCUGUGUCAUGUAAUGUGUGUCUGUCUGUGUCACGGUGUGUGUGUGUCUGUGUCAUGGUCUCUCUGUGUUGUGGUGUGUGUGUCUGUGUGUCAUGGUGUGUGUGUCUGUCUGUGCCAUGUAAUGUGUGUCUGUGUCACAGUGUUUGUGUGUUUGUGUCACGGUCUGUCUGUGUUAUGGUGUUUGUAUGUGUCAAGGUGUGUGUGUGUGUCUUUUUUAAGGUGUGUGUCUGUCAUGGUAUGUGUGUGUGUCUGUCAUGGUAUGUGUGUCUCUCUGUCAUGGUGUGUCUGUGUUUCUGUCUGUGUCACGGUGUGUGUGUGUCUGUAUCAUGGUCUGUCUGUGUCAUGGUGUAUGUCUGUCAUGGUACGUGCUUUUUUGACAUUUUUUGUAUGGAUACUUUUUAUCAUUGUAUAAUGCUAAAGUAUCCCAUUUUGACAAGUCAGAUUCUAUAAACUUAAUGCCACCUCUUCUGAGAUUAACUCACUAGGGAAAUGCUUUCUCGCUUUCCAGAAUAUCUCCAACUACACAGAUAGACAGAUACCCAGAUACCCAUUGUACAGUGCUAUGGAAUACGAUGGCGCUAUAUAAAUAAUAAAAUAAUAAUAAUACACAUACAGACAGAGAGAGAGAGACACAUACAGACACACAGAUACACAUAUAAACAGAGAAACACACAGAAACACACAUACAUACAGACAGAUACACACAUACAGACACACAGAUACACAUACAGACAGAUACACAUAUAGGCAGAUACACAGACACACAUGCAUAUACACAUACAGCCAGAUACACACAGAGAUACACAGACACACAUGCAAAUACACAUACAGACAGAUACACACAUAUAAACACAUAUACACAUACAGACAGGUAUACACAGACAAACAGACACUCAUGGAAAAUAUAAUUAUUUGGUCACCCUCCUUUUGGCUGCAAAAGGUGACUUCCCUGGGGUCCAGUGGCUGGCUGAGGCUGUUGGGAGUCGGGCUCUCUACCAGUCCACGCUCACCCUACCUUUCUCCCUUCCAUGCAGCACUCUCUGUGUUAGCUGGAAAGGAAGUGACUGCACAUCCUCCAAGUGCUGUCCUCAUCACCGGAGGCCCGCUACGCUGUUAAAGCGCUGCAGCGCUGACCGGGCUCCUGCAGACUCAUUGCCAUCAGGUGAAACUAAGAGCAUGGGCCACCCAAUGGGCCCCCUCUACGUGUGGCCUGCCGUACUAAGGGGCAGUCUAUUCAUAUGAUUUUUAAUAUUAUGUUUACUUAGCCUCUACAUUUAGCAAAUAUGUUUAAUUGAGGUCUGAAAAAUAAAAUUAGAUGUAGAAAUCCACACCUCUGCCUUUAUUGGCAUCCUAGUACUAGAUGCCUCCAUUUUUAUUCCCUGUCAAUUCAAAGUGAAUUUCAAAAUUUAGCACAAAAGAACCAAAUUAGAAAAAAAUUUCCAAGCUAAUUCUGUUUUGAGUUUGAUUAUUUUGCCCUUAAAUUUGAAAUUCACUUUACACAAAUCUGCUUAUUUAAGCCUCUAUACAUAUCGUUACAUAGUUACAUAGUUACGUAAUUACAUAGCCGAAAAGAGACUUGCGUCCAUCAAGUUCAGGCUUCCUCACAUAUGUUUUUGCUGUUGAUCCAAAAGAAGGCAAAAAACCUAGUCUGUAGCUCUUCCAAUUUUGCAACAAACUAGGCAAAAAUUCCUUCUUGACCCCAAAAUAGCAGUCAGAUGUCUCCUUGGAUAAAGCAGCUAUUACCCCACUAAUUAGAAACUAUAUCCCUGUAUGUUAUGUUUUUGCAAGUAUUUAUCCUAAUUCAGUUUAAACAUCUGUAUGGACUCUGAUAAAGCCACCUCUUCAGGCAGAGAAUUACAAAUCCUUAUUACUCUUACUGUAAAAAAACCCUUUUCUUUGCCUUAGAUGAAAUCUCCUAUCUUCCAGCCUAAAUGUGUGACCGUGUGUCCUAUGUAUAGGCCUGUUUAUGAAUAGAUUUUUAGAUAAUGGUUUGUACUGGCCCUGAAUAUAUUUGUAUAAUGUUAUCAUAUCCCCUUUGAGUUGUCGAUUUCCAAACUAAAGAGAUUUCAAUUUUUUAACCUUUUUUAUUUUUUUAAUACACGCUCUCCAUUUUAUUCAAGAGUAAACAUAGUCUGAUCCUGGCUAAGAGAAAAUAGCUAGUAACUAGUCCUUCCUCACAUUUAGCUAAAUUGUGGUCAUAUAAUAUAAAUAUAAUGUCUGUUUCAGUAUGUGUGUCUGUUAGUAUGUAUCUCUGCGUGUGUGUGUGUGUGUGUGUGUGUGUGUGUGUAUCUGUGUUCUUUUGUAUCAGUGUGUGUUUGUGUCUGUGUGUGUUUGUGUCUGUGUGUGUAUUCCUGUGGGUGGAAUUUGGAGGUGGACCCUGUGGGCGGAAUUGGAGGCGGGCCCCAGGGGGCCCAGACCCUAAGCUGAGUUAGGGGCCCCAAAAUUUCUGCCAACAAUUCUCAUUUUGGUAAAAAAAAAAAAAAAAAUUUGAAAAAUGAUGUAUUAUUAGUGUUUAGAACAUAGUAACAUCAUUCCUUGUGUUACAAAUGGGCCAACCACAUUUUAUUUGUUAAGGCCCUUUAAAACCUUGGCGUUUAACACUGACCUUUUUCAACAAAACAUUUUUCUUAUAAAGGAGGAAUUUGUGUUUGUGGGCCACUGACAAAUAUGUGAAAAUCCAGUAUCAAAAUAAUAAAGGUCAGACGUGGACAACACAGUCUCUAAAUUCUCUUAAUAAAAACAAAAAAAUGGAGAUAACUACAGUAAAGAACAAUAAAUGGAAACAAAUGUAUGCAAAAUGAGAGAAUUAGAGGACAGAAUAAAGGUCGGUGUAGUCUACACAGUUCUACACAGUUCUCGCUUAUCUACAUGAUUGUAACUUCUCUGGAUACAUUUUAUUAUAUAUAUGUCCCCUGGAUUCCAUUUCCCUUGACAAAGAAUGUCAAAGAAGUAACAGUUGGUUUGUCAACCACCCCCUAGGACUGAUCACAUAACACUAUUGUUCACACAUAGCAUGCUCACAUAUUACACAUAAUUUUGGUCAGAAAAAGAUACAGUAUAUUGAGGCAGUCAUGGUUCUAAUGUAAUUUAGAACUGAUUAUUUCUCAACCAUACCGUUACAAUAUUUCCAAAUAUCAGUGUCAAGGCUGCUAUUCACCUGGUGUACCUGGUUCCCACCUGUCAUUAGUCCAUGUAUGUGGCAUUGCUAGCACUCAAAACAACCAUUGUUAAGGGAGCCCUACCACUAGUGAUGCUUACCUGUCCUUGAUAUGGGUUUCAACUUCAAAGUUCUGGCAACUAGUAAUGUAUUUCAUCAUACUCUCACCUUCUCAGUAUGCAUUCCAUUAUACAGUGCAGUCUCAACUUGCAUCAGGGCACUCUUGAUACUCUUGAUACCAUAACUACUGCAGCACACUGUAGUGGUUAUGGUGCUUGGAGUGUUCCUUUAACUCUUUGACUAAGACCACAAACAGCUUGAAAUAUUGCAAGAUUAUUUUAUAUUGAUUGUAGAACUAAUAUGGUCACUACAAUUGUUGCUAAAUUCAUAAUUUUAUUUAUCUAUAGAUUUGUGUUUGGCGUUUGGAUUAGUUAUGUUUUGUCAGUGUGGUAGAAAGAGAGUGGAGUGCUUAUAAAAACCACAAUAAAUAAAACAAAGUGAUGAAAAUAUUGUGUAGUGAUAGUGCUAAAAGUGCUGGGGAACAUUGAUAACUUGUAUAGUCUAAAGUGUACCAAGUCUCUGGUUCAAAUUAAUGCAAUGAAAAUAUCAUAUGCAAACAAAACAAUGAACUUUUCAAGUCCAAUUCAAACAGUGAUUUACAAUAUGUGAAACAAAAAGAUGAUAGAGGUUGAUACUUUCCAGUUUUUGAUGACAAUUAAAAGACCUAAAAAAUAAAAAUAUGAAUUUCAUAGUGCAGGCAAUCUGAUAUUCAAAGUUAAAGAUCAAUACCAAAAGAGGUGAUGGUAGAAUUACCAACUCACAAGUGGGGAGGCUUUAAUAAUGUCUCAAUCUUGACAGCAUAUUGAGUCUUUAAGAUCAGGGGACUCCCACCCUACUUUGAGAGGCUUUCUUCCAAUUCCCUUGGAGUUGAUAUAUAAAACAGGAAAAGUCCAGAAAUAGUCAAAUAUGUCUUUAAGACCAGAAAUCAAAUUUGAAAUACACUCACAUGUAAACGGGCCUUUUCCUAUAGGCUGUAUUUGCAAAGUGGACACCUAUUUAUUGGGUGGUGUUACACUCCAAAGAUAUACAGGAAAUCUCCAAAUUAAGGAAUAUUCCAAUUUAUUAGACAAAUAAAGAUACAAAUAUAAAAUCACAAUAAAACAAUAAAUGGGGCUUGUCCAAAAAGUGUUUCACCUAUUCAGGCUUUCUCAAUCAGUAAUAAAGCCACUUGUGUAUUGGUGUUUAUAUAUCCGUAUAAUGAAUUAUUAAUCACGUCUUUCUGUGGCCAAAUGGAUCCGACGUGUGUUCCACCUUUCAGAAACAGAUAGUUCAAGCCUUGUUUUCACUAUGCCAUAAGCCCCAUUAGUCCACUCAGCAGAAUUCUCUCCUCCUUUCAUUCAAAGAUUGCCACCACGAGUCAAACCUCAUUCUGACUCUAGUGGCGUCCAUCUUUGCAUUACAACCAUUGCAUUCCACCACUCGUUCUUACACAAUUUAGUACAAAAUGCAAGAAAUUUUAAAAAAUACAAGAGAUGGUACAAAAAUUGACAAUUUUCAUGUGCACUUACACUGAUCAACCACAACAUUAAAACCACAUUGCCUAAUAUUGUGUAGGUCCCCUCGUGCUGCAAAAACGGUUCUGAAAUUUCAAGACAUGGACUCUACAAGCCCUCUCAAUGUGUCCUGUGGUAUGUUUCACCAAGACAUUUGAAGCAAAUCCUUUAAGUCCUAUAAUGUGCGAGGUGGGGCCUCCAUGGAUUGGAUUUGUUGUUCCAGCACAUCCCACAGAUGCUCAAUCGGAUUUAAAGGCCAAGGGCACUCUGACCAGUCUGUGGCUACAGAGUUUUCCAAGUUUUUCUGCAAUUUGAGCUACGGUAGCUCUUCUGUGUGAUUGGGCCAGACAGGCAAGCCUUCGCUCCCCAUGUGCAUCAAUAAGCCUUGAGCUACCACGGCUCUGACGACUGUUCACCGGUUGUCCUUCCUUGCACCACAUUUGGAAGGUACAAAUCACUACAUAGCAGAAUCACUCCACAAGUCUUGCUGUUUUGGAGAUCUUCUGACACAGUCAUUAUUUGUUCCUUGUCAAAAUCACAAAAAAUGUUUUGCUUGCUCAUUUUUCCUGCUUCAGACACAUCAAAUCCUGACUGUUCACUUGCUGUCUAAUAUAUCGCACCCCCUGACAGGUGCCAUUGUAACAAUAUAAUUUUAUUCACUUCACCUAUUUGUGACUGAUCAGUGUAUGCAGAAUACAAACUUGUGCAAUUUUAAAUUUCUGCAUUUACCAGGCCACAACUGUAUGUGUUAGGAGAGUCCUGCUUCUUCACAAAUUAGCUUGAAAAAAAUAGAAAGGGAAAAUGUCUAAAGAUUAUUCAUACCAUAACCACUACAAUUAGCUGUACGACAAGCAACAAUGUUUCUGUUUCAACUCCUCCAAUGCAAUGUGUACCCAGGUUGUGUCUGGAAUAUAGGGAAGAGCUAACAAGUCCUUCCACGCUAUCUGUUUGUCCCCUGUGGCCCUUGUCAGAUCUCCUAUGCUGGAAUGAACUAAAUCCUAAAGUCAAUUGCUAAAUCUUUAAAAUAAAUUAAAAGAAAGCAGAGUAUGAACUUUUAGAUGUGCGUCAUUUCCAGAGAAGUGUCUUAUUACCUUUAAUCAGGCCCGGACUGGCCCACCGGGAUACCGGGAAAUUUCCCGUUGGGCCGUCGGCACCUGGGGCCGGGCAGGCAGCUGGCUCUUCUGGCGGCUGCAGGGGGAGCUCUUUCGGUGGCCGCAGGGGGAGCUGGCUGUUCUGUCUCUGCUCCCCUGCCCUCGCGCGCUAGAAAGAGACCGAGGCCGGAAUAUAAUGUCAUAUUCCGGCCCUGGUCUCAUUAAGCUGCGCGCUGGGGCGGGGGAGCAGAGACAGAACAGCCAGCUCCCCCUAUGGCCGCCAAAAGAGCUGCCCCUGCGGCCGCCAGAAGAGCCAGCACCCCCAUGCCGCCGCCAUCAGACUGAGCUCCCCCUGCGGCUGCCAGCACACAGGUAGAAAUGAUGUGUGUCAGUGUGAGUGUAUGUGUGUGUCUCUGUGUCAUUGUGUGUGUGUCUCUGUCUGUCAUGGUGUGUGUGUGUGUGUGUCUGUCUGUGUCAUGAUGUGUGUGUCUGACUGUGUCAAGGUGUGUGUGUCUGUCUGUGUCAUGGUGUGUGUGUGUCUGUCUGUGUCGUGAUGUGUGUGUGUGUCUGUCUGUGUCAUGGUGUGUCUGUCUGUGUCAUGGUGUGUGUGUGUCUGUCUGUCAUGGUGUGUCUGUCUGUGUCAUGGUGUGUGUGUCUCUGUUUGUGUCAUGGUGUGUGUGUGUGUGUCUGUCUGUGUCAUGCAAUUUGUGUGUCAUUGUGUGUGUCUGUCUGUGUCAUGGUGUGUGUGUCUCUGUCAUGGCGUGUGUGUCUGUCUGUGUCAUGCAAUGUGUGUCUGUGCCAUUGUGUGUGUGUCUGUCAUGUAAUGUGUGUCUGUCUGUGUUACGGUGUGUCUGUGUCAUGGUGUGUGUUUGUUUGUCAUGGUGUGUGUGUGUCUGUCUGUGUCAUGUAAUGUGUGUCUGUCUGUGUCACGGUGUGUGUGUGUCUGUGUCACGGUCUCUCUGUGUUGUGGUGUGUGUGUCUGUGUGUCAUGGUGUGUGUGUCUGUCUGUGCCAUGUAAUGUGUGUCUGUGUCACAGUGUUUGUGUGUUUGUGUCACGGUCUGUCUGUGUUAUGGUGUUUGUAUGUGUCAAGGUGUGUGUGUGUGUCUUUUUUAAGGUGUGUGUCUGUCAUGGUAUGUGUGUGUGUCUGUCAUGGUAUGUGUGUCUCUCUGUCAUGGUGUGUCUGUGUUUCUGUCUGUGUCACGGUGUGUGUGUGUCUGUAUCAUGGUCUGUCUGUGUCAUGGUGUAUGUCUGUCAUGGUACGUGCUUUUUUGACAUUUUUUGUAUGGAUACUUUUUAUCAUUGUAUAAUGCUAAAGUAUCCCAUUUUGACAAGUCAGAUUCUAUAAACUUAAUGCCACCUCUUCUGAGAUUAACUCACUAGGGAAAUGCUUUCUCGCUUUCCAGAAUAUCUCCAACUACACAGAUAGACAGAUACCCAGAUACCCAUUGUACAGUGCUAUGGAAUACGAUGGCACUAUAUAAAUAAUAAAAUAAUAAUAAUACACAUACAGAGAGAGAGAGACACAUACAGACACACAGAUACACAUAUAAACAGAGAAACACACAGAAACACACAUACAUACAGACAGAUACACACAUACAGACACACAGAUACACAUACAGACAGAUACACAUAUAGGCAGAUACACAGACACACAUGCAUAUACACAUACAGCCAGAUACACACAGAGAUACACAGACACACAUGCAAAUACACAUACAGACAGAUACACACAUAUAAACACACAUACACAUACAGACAGGUAUACACAGACAAACAGACACUCAUGGAAAAUAUAAUUUUUUAGUCACCCUCCUUUUGGCUGCAAAAGGUGACUUCCCUGGGGUCCAGUGGCUGGCUGAGGCUGUUGGGAGUCGGGCUCUCUACCAGUCCACGCUCCCCCUACCUUUCUCCCUUCCAUGCAGCACUCUCUGUGUUAGCUGGAAAGGAAGUGACUGCACAUCCUCCAAGUGCUGUCCUCAUCACCGGAGGCCCGCUACGCUGUUAAAGCGCUGCAGCGCUGACCGGGCUCCUGCAGACUCAUUGCCAUCAGGUGAAACUAAGAGCAUGGGCCACCCAAUGGGCCCCCUCUACGUGUGGCCUGCCAUACUAAGGGGCAGUCUAUUCAUAUGAUUUUUAAUAUUAUGUUUACUUAGCCUCUACAUUUAGCAAAUAUGUUUAAUUGAGGUCUGAAAAAUAAAAUUAGAUGUAGAAAUCCACACCUCUGCCUUUAUUGGCAUCCUAGUACUAGAUGCCUCCAUUUUUAUUCCCUGUCAAUCAUUGAUAUAAAUGCUGCUUUUUUUCUGCCAUUAAACAUGGUUAGUGAAAGAGGAGAAAUUGUACCAAUCCUUCCGUUUUCCCCCUCAUUUCUAUUGUCUACCCUGGCUGUACCCCGACAGAACCGAAUUGUGAUGUCACCUGCCACAUCUUCAAUUUACAUUUGAAAAGAAUACAGAUCCUCACAUGGAAAUGGUUAAACAAUUUAAAAGUUAUAUUCAUUGUUUCAUUCAGUUAUGCCAUUACCAGAAAGGUGACAAUUCCCCUUAAAACCAUUCUGUCCGUUUCAGGGAAAAGUGACUGGGUUAUUCACGAAAGUGAACAUUUUUGGAAUUCAAAGUGAAUUUCAAAAUUUAGCACAAAAGAACCAAAUUAGAAAAAAAUUUCCAAGCUAAUUCUGUUUUGAGUUUGAUUAUUUUGCCCUUAAAUUUGAAAUUCACUUUACACAAAUCUGCUUAUUUAAGCCUCUAUACAUAUCGUUACAUAGUUACAUAGUUACGUAAUUACAUAGCCGAAAAGAGACUUGCGUCCAUCAAGUUCAGGCUUCCUCACAUAUGUUUUUGCUGUUGAUCCAAAAGAAGGCAAAAAACCUAGUCUGUAGCGCUUCCAAUUUUGCAACAAACUAGGCAAAAAUUCCUUCUUGACCCCAAAAUAGCAGUCAGAUGUCUCCUUGGAUAAAGCAGCUAUAACCCCACUAAUUAGAAACUAUAUCCCUGUAUGUUAUGUUUCUGCAAGUAUGUGUCUUAAUUCAGUUUAAACAUCUGUAUGGACUCUGAUAAAGCCACCUCUUCAGGCAGAGAAUUACAAAUCCUUACUACUCUUACUGUAAAAAAACCUUUUCUUUGCCUUAGAUGAAAUCUCCUUUCUUCCAGCCUAAAUGUGUGACCGUGUGUCCUAUGUAUAGGCCUGUUUAUGAAUAGAUUUUUAGAUAAUGGUUUGUACUGGCCCUGAAUAUAUUUGUAUAAUGUUAUCAUAUCCCCUCUGAGUUGUCGAUUUCCAAACUAAAGAGAUUUCAAUUUUUUAACCUUUUUUAUUUUUUUAAUACACGCUCUCCAUUUUAUUCAAGAGUAAACAUAGUCUGAUCCUGGCUAAGAGAAAAUAGCUAGUAACUAGUCCUUCCUCACAUUUAGCUAAAUUGUGGUCAUAUAAUAUAAAUAUAAUGUCUGUUUCAGUAUGUGUGUCUGUUAGUAUGUAUCUCUGUGUGUGUGUGUGUGUGUGUGUGUAUCUGUGUUCUUUUGUAUCAGUGUGUGUUUGUGUCUGUGUGUGUUUGUGUCUGUGUGUGUAUUCCUGUGGGUGGGAUUUGGAGGUGGACCCUGUGGGCGGAAUUGGAGGCGAGCCCCAGGGGGCCCAGACCCUAAGCUGAGUUAGGGGCCCCAAAAUUUCUGGUGGCGGCCCUGCUGGUCAGUAUGCCUUGAGGACUGAUAUGGAAACCACUGCCUUAGAUGCAUGCCCCUUAUGAAGAAGGAUUGUUGAAAAAAGAAAACGUGGCAAACGUGUGAUAACAUCUCUGUAUAGUAUACAGUAGUUUAGAUUACAAUAAAGAAGUCAUGUAAAUAUAUAUAUAAUCGUUUUUGUACAGGGUUAUUGACUAAAAUGCGAAUCUUUGGAAAUUCAAAGCGAAUUUUAAAUUUAAGUAAAAAGGAUCUAAACUGGAAAGAUUCUCCAAAUCAGCUGUGCUUCCAGUUCCGCUACUUUUGGCUUGAAAUUUUAAUUUCACGUUCAAUUCACUUUAAAUUGCCAACAAUUCUCAUUUUGGUAAAAAAAAAAAAAAAAAAAUUGAAAAAUUAUUUAUUAUUAGUGUUUAGAACAUAGUAACAUCAUUCCUUGUGUUACAAAUGGGCCAACCACAUUUUAUUUGUUAAGGCCCUUUAAAACCUUGGCGUUUAACACUGACCUUUUUCAACAAAACAUUUUUCUUAAAAAGGAGGAAUUUGUGUUUGUGGGCCACUGACAAAUAUGUGAAAAUCCAGUAUCAAAAUAAUAAAGGUCAGACGUGGACAACACAGUCUCUAAAUUCUCUUAAUAAAAACAAAAAAAUGGAGAUAACUACAGUAAAGAACAAUAAAUGGAAACAAAUGUAUGCAAAAUGAGAGAAUUAGAGGACAGAAUAAAGGUCGGUGUAGUCUACACAGUUCUACACAGUUCUCGCUUAUCUACAUGAUUGUAACUUCUCUGGAUACAUUUUAUUAUAUAUAUGUCCCCUGGAUUCCAUUUCCCUUGACAAAGAAUGUCAAAGAAGUAACAGUUGGUUUGUUAACCACCCCCUAGGACUGAUCACAUAACACUAUUGUUCACACAUAGCAUGCUCACAUAUUACACAUAAUUUUGGUCAGAAAAAGAUACAGUAUAUCAAGGCAGUCAUGGUUCUAAUGUAAUUUAGAACUGAUUAUUUCUCAACCAUACCAUUACAAUAUUUCCAAAUAUUAUUGUCAAUGCUGCUAUUCACCUGGCGUACCUGGUUCCCACUUGUCAUUAGUCCAUGUAUGUGGCAUUGCUAGUACUCAAAACAACCAUUGUUAAGGGAGCCUUAUCACUAGUGAUGCUUACCUGUCCUUGAUACAGGGAGUGCAGAAUUAUUAGGCAAGUUGUAUUUUUGAGGAUUAAUUUUAUUAUUGAACAACAACCAUGUUCUCAAUGAACCCAAAAAACUCAUUAAUAUCAAAGCUGAAUAUUUUGGAAGUAGUUUUUAGUUUGUUUUUAGUUUUAGCUAUGUUAGGGGGAUAUCUGUGUGUGCAGGUGACUAUUACUGUGCAUAAUUAUUAGGCAACUUAACAAAAAACAAAUAUAUACCCAUUUCAAUUAUUUAUUAUUACCAGUGAAACCAAUAUAACAUCUCAACAUUCACAAAUAUACAUUUCUGACAUUCAAAAACAAAACAAAAACAAAUCAGUGACCAAUAUAGCCACCUUUCUUUGCAAGGACACUCAAAAGCCUGCCAUCCAUGGAUUCUGUCAGUGUUUUGAUCUGUUCACCAUCAACAUUGCGUGCAGCAGCAACCACAGCCUCCCAGACACUGUUCAGAGAGGUGUACUGUUUUCCCUCCUUGUAAAUCUCACAUUUGAUGAUGGACCACAGGUUCUCAAUGGGGUUCAGAUCAGGUGAACAAGGAGGCCAUGUCAUUAGAUUUUCUUCUUUUAUACCCUUUCUUGCCAGCCACGCUGUGGAGUACUUGGACGCGUGUGAUGGAGCAUUGUCCUGCAUGAAAAUCAUGUUUUCUUGAAGGAUGCAGACUUCUUCCUGUACCACUGCUUGAAGAAGGUGUCUUCCAGGAACUGGCAGUAGGACUGGGAGUUGAGCUUGACUCCAUCCUCAACCCUAAAAGGCCCCACAAGCUCAUCUUUGAUGAUACCAGCCCAAACCAGUACUCCACCUCCACCUUGCUGGCGUCUGAGUCGGACUGGAGCUCUCUGCCCUUUACCAAUCCAGCCACGGGCCCAUCCAUCUGGCCCAUCAAGACUCACUCAUUUCAUCAGUCCAUAAAACCUUAGAAAAAUCAGUCUUGAGAUAUUUCUUGGCCCAGUCUUGACGUUUCAGCUUGUGUGUCUUGUUCAGUGGUGGUCGUCUUUCAGCCUUUCUUACCUUGGCCAUGUCUCUGAGUAUUGCACACCUUGUGCUUUUGGGCACUCCAGUGAUGUUGCAGCUCUGAAAUAUGGCCAAACUGGAGGCAAGUGGCAUCGUGGCAGCUGCACGCUUGACUUUUCUCAGUUCAUGGGCAGUUAUUUUGCGCCUUGGUUUUUCCACAUGCUUCUUGCGACCCUGUUGACUAUUUUGAAUGAAACGCUUGAUUGUUCGAUGAUCACGCUUCAGAAGCUUUGCAAUUUUAAGAGUGCUGCAUCCCUCUGCAAGAUAUCUCACUAUUUUUUUACUUUUCUGAGCCUGUCAAUUCCUUCUUUUGACCCAUUUUGCCAAAGGAAAGGAAGUUGCCUAAUAAUUAUGCACACCUGAUAUAGGGUGUUGAUGUCAUUAGACCACACCCCUUCUCAUUACAGAGAUGCACAUCACCUAAUAUGCUUAAUUGGUAGUAGGCUUUCGAGCCUAUACAGCUUGGAGUAAGACAACAUGCAUAAAGAGGAUGAUGUGGUCAAAAUACUCAUUUGCAAAAUAAUUCUGCACUCCCUGUAUGUAUUUCAACUUCAAAGUUCUGGCAACCAGCAAUGUAUUUCAUCAUACUCUCACCUUCUCAGUAUGCAUUCCAUUAUACAGUGCCAUAGUCUCAACUUGCAUCAGGGCACUCUUGAUACUAUAACUACUACAGCAAAUCCUUUAAGUCCUAUAAUGUGCGAGGUGAUGCCUCCAUGGAUUGGAUUUGUUGUUCCUGCACAUCCCACAGAUGCUCAAUCGGAUUUAGAGGCCAAGGGCACUCUGAUCAGUCUGUGGCUACAGAGUUUUCCAAGUUUUUCUGCAAUUUGAGCUACGGUAGCUCUUCUGUGUGAUCGGUCCAGACAGACAAGCCUUGGCUCCCCAUGUGCAUCAAUAAGCCUUGAGCUACCACGGCUCUGACAACUGUUUACCGGUUGUCCUUCCUUGCACCACAUUUGGUAGGUACAAAUCACUACAUAGCAGAAUCACCCCACAAGUCUUGCUGUUUUGGAGAUCUUUUGACACUGUCAUUAUUUGUUCCUUGUCAAAAUCACUAAGAUAUUUUUGCUUGCUCAUUUUUUCUGCUUCAGACACAUCAAAUCCUGACUGUUCACUUGCUGUCUAAUAUAUCGCACCCCCUGACAGGUGCCAUUGUAACAAUAUAAUCAAUUUUAUUCACUUGACCUGUUUGUGGCUGAUCAGUGUAUGCAGAAUACAAACUUGUGCAAUUUUACAUUUCUGCAUUUACCAGGCCACAACUGUAUGUGUUAAGAGAGUCCUGCUUCUUCACAAAUCAGCAUGAAAAAAACAGAAAGGGAAAAUGUCUAAAUAUUAUUCAUACCAUAACCACUACAAUGAGCUGUACGACAAGCAACAAUGUUUCUGUUUCAACUCCUCCAAUGUAAUGUGUACCCAGGUGGUGUCUGGAAUAUAGGGAAGAGCUAACAAGUCCUUCCACGCUUUCUGUUUGUUCCCUGUGGCCCUUGCCAGAUCUCCUAUGCCAGAAUGAACUAAAUCCUAAAGUCAAUUGCUAAAUCUUGAAAAUAAAUUAAAAGAAAGCAGAGUAUGAACUUUUAGAUGUGCGUCAUUUCCAGAGAAGUGUCUUAUUACCUUUAAUGGUGGACAUAUGCUUGUGUAUCGGCUCUAAUUAAUCAUUACAAGGGAAUCAUUAUUUGUUUAUUUUUUAAAAUAAUAAUAAUCUUGACCUAAACUGAUAUAGUAUUAAUUAUAGUACGGCAACCCCUUUCAUUUACAAUUUGUGCAUACAUGGAAAAACUAAUGAGCAAUGAAAUAAGCCUGGAUGUCCUAGGAACUAUUCCUAAGAAUUAUCAGUAUUCAUUGCACAGAUGUUGAUUGUGUUAAAUGGGCAAAAAUCAAGUGUGUGUUUGUAUGAGUGUGUGUGUAAAUAAUGCAGAGUGUGUUCAUUAUAUACACACACACUCUGCAUUAUAUACACACACACUCUGCAUUACAUACACACACACAGUGGCGUACAUAACAGGGUCGCAGGGGUCGCAGCUGCGACCGGGCCUGGCCCACCAGGGGGUCCGGCCGCCCCUGCGACCCAGUAUGCACACACUGGGCCAGCCUCUUCUCCAGGGGGGCCCAGGAGCCGGCCACCUCAGGGCCCCUUGAGGCUGGCCCUGCUGACACCCGGCAGGCAGGCGGGAGAGCGCGCGAGGGAGCACUCUGCUCUGAGUGCUUCCUCUUCAGCUCCUUUGCGCACCGAACAGAUACGGGAGCCGGAAGAUGACGUCAUCUUCCGGCUCCCGGCAUCCCUACACGGUGCGCGAUGGAGCUGAAGAGGAAUCACUCAGAGCAGAGUGCUUCAUCGUGCGCCGGCCACCCAGACAGCCAGCCCGCCAGCCCGCCGGGGUCUGCAGCACCACUGGACCCCAGGGCAUCCCCCCAGCACUCCAAAAGGUAAGGAGGCUGGGGGGAUUAUAUUAAAAAAAAUGUGUUUGUGUGUGUGUGUUAGUGUGUGUGUGUUAGUGUAUCUGUUAGUGUGUCUGUUAUUGGGUGUGUGUCUACUAGUGAGUGUCAGUGAGUGUGUUACUGAGUGUGUUUGAUGUCUGUUAUUGAGUGUGUGUUUGUCAGUGAAAGUGUAUGUUUUGUAAGUGAGUGUGUAUGUAUGUCUGUCACUGAGUGUGUGUCUGUCAGUAAGUGUGUGUGUCUCUUAGCUAGUGUGUAUGCAUCUGUUUCGUGAGAGUGUGUGUGUGUGUCUUAAGCAUUUACCUUUCUCUGGAUUCCCUUGGCGCUGGGGAUCCCUCUGUAUCUCAGCUCGGAAUGCACAUGUGCAGCAAAAGGUGCGCGCGCAUUUAAACCGCCCAUAGAAAAGCAUUACUCAAUGCUUUCCUAUGGACGUUCUGUGUCUUCUCACUGUGAUUUUCACAGUGAGAAUCAUGGAAGCUCCUCUAGCGGCUGUCAAUGAGACAGCCACCAGAGGCUGGAUUAACCCUCAGUGAAACAUAGCCGUUUCUCUGAAAUGGCUAUGUUUUCAGCUGCAGGGUUAAAACAAGAGGGACCUGGCACCUUUAAAGGACCACUAUAGGCACCCAGACCACGUCAGCUUAAUGAAGUGGUCUGGGUGCCUGGUCCAGCUAGGAUUAACCCUUUUUUUUAUAAACAUAGCAGUUUCAGAGAAACUGCUAUGUUUACACUGAGGGUUAAUCCAGCCUUUAAAGCCUCUAGUGGCUGUCUCAUUGACAGCCACUAGAGGCGUUUGCGUGCUUCUCACUGUGAAAAUCACAGUGAGAAGACGCCAGCGUCCAUAGGAAAGCGUUGUAAAUGCUUUCCUAUGAGACUGGCUGAAUGCGCGCGUGGCUCCUAGUAGGAAGGAGAGGAGGAGGAAAGCUCCCUGCCCGGCGCUGGAGAAAGGUAAGAUUUUAACCCCUUCCUCUCCCCAGAGCCCGGCGGGAGGGGGUCCCUGAGGGUGGGGGCACCCUCAGGGCACUAUAGUGCCAGGAAAACGAGUAUGGUCCUUUAAGUGUGUGUGCAUACCGCGGUCGCAGGGUCGCAGCCCUGCAACCCCUGCAACCCCUGCGACCAGGUGCCCGCCGCCAUGUGUUGGGAGGGGGUGGGGCCCACGGAUCAAUUUUCGCACCGGGGCCUCAUGGGUCAUGUGUACGCCACUUCACACACACUCAUACAAACACGCACUUUGCAUUAUAUACACACACACUCUGCAUUAUAUGCACACACACACACUCUGCAUUAUAUACACACACACUCAUACAAACAAACACUCUGCAUUAUAUACACACACUCUCUGUGUGUAUAUAAUGCAGAGUGUGUAUGUGNNNNNNNNNNNNNNNNNNNNNNNNNNNNNNNNNNNNNNNNNNNNNNNNNNNNNNNNNNNNNNNNNNNNNNNNNNNNNNNNNNNNNNNNNNNNNNNNNNNNUAUAUAAUGCAGUCUGUGUUUGUGUGAAUGUAGUGUGUGUGUGUGUGUAAACUGGUUGGGGGAGGGCAUGUUUAUUAUUUAAAUUUUUAAAUUUUAUUUUAAUAUUGUUAUUUUCAUAUUUUUUAUUUUAUUUUAAUAUUUUUAUUAUUUCAAUAAUUUAUUAUUAUUAUUUUUUUGUCCCUCCUCCCUGCCUGUUGCCUGGCCAGGGAGGGGGGGCUAUAUUAUUCCCUGGUGGUCCAGUGGCAUGGGCUGUGCAGUGGUUUACCUUUGUAGGCUGGUUACGAGCUCUUACUUACCUUUGUAGCAGCUCCAGUCAGCUCCCUGUCAGCUCCGUGCAGCUCCCCCAUUCAGCUCACAGUGUAAGUCUCGCGGUAUGACGGCCGUGGGUGUCGCAAGACUUACACUGUGAGUUGAACGGGGAGCUGCACAGAGCUGACAGGGAGCUGACCGGAGCUGCUACAAAGGUAAGUAAGAGCUCGUAACCAGCCCCCAACAGGGCCGCCGGGCUUGUAAUGAGCUUGACUCGAGUAUAAGCUGAGUGGGGCUUUUUCAGCAAAAAAAUGUGCCGAAAAACUCGGCUCAUACUCGAGUAUAUACGGUAGUUUAUAUAUAAUGGCAUUUGAUGUUUUUCAGUUAUGUUGUUAUUUAUCUACAAUAAAGUAUCAAUCCCUAAAACAAAUCAUCAAACUGAUUAUUUUAACCCCUUAAAGGCAGAGGCAAUUGUACACGUUUUGAGCAACACAGUAUGUAAACAAAACCUGGAAUUUGACUAUAUGUCUGUUCAACCAUAAUUUACCUCUUUCAUAUUAAGUGCACCCACACUUAUUAUAUAUCAUUUUGUGUAGGAGAAAAAAGGCUUUCAUUUUACAGCAAAUAUUUAUGUAUGAAACAUAAAUUUAUAUUAAUAAAAUCUAAAAAAAGAGUGAGAAAUUAUAACAACGUGUUAUUCUUUUAGUUUUGCUUGGCAUUUUAACUGUGAAUGUCAUAAUACUGUUUGUUUUUGAGGAGGUGAGUACCUGCUGGCUCCCAGGGCUGAAAGCUGCUAUGGCAUCCUAUGCCAACGCUGCUUUAAAGCCUAAUAAAUGCAGGUCGGCAUAGAACACCAUAACGGCGUUGUCGGGUUAAAAUAACCAUUUGGAGUUUUCUUGUAAACCUAUCAUAUAUUUGCCAAUUUCUGAAUUUUUAUGCAAGUACAAAUUGCCCUAUAAUAGCGACUAAAAAUCAUGUGUCUAGAAAGGAAAAAAGACAGCAAAGAGGUUAGCUGGCAUCUUCUCUCCAACUGCUCUGAAAUAUCAAAGAGAAAAAAUUGCAGGGGCAAUUUCCGAUAAAGUUUCAAAUACUUGCCACGAUCUACAAGUUGAUUCUGAAUAUUGGGCUUCCCCAAUCUAGUUUAAAGGACCACUCCAUACCACAAAAGCAAUUCAGCUUGCUGAAGUGCUUUAUGGGUGAGGAGUAUCCUCAUUUAACCCCAGUUUAUAAAAGCGCUGAUUUCUAUGAGAUUUGGGAAAUAGUGAUCACAAUAUGGUAAAUAAACUCAAAAAAGCAAAAGCAAGUGGGGUAUACUAAAACAUAUAAUUUAAAAAAAGCCAAUUUCAAUAAGAUUAGGGCAGCUCUACAACAUAUCGACUGGCAUAAACUCCUUAGUGAUAAAAACACUGAGGAUAAAUGGAAACUAUUCAAACAAAUAUUAGAAAGGUACAUUUCUCAGUAUGUACCAUAGGGUAAUAAAUGUAAAAGAAACAAAUUAAAACCAAUAUGGCUUAGUAGAGAAGUAAAACGAGAUUAAAAAUAAGAAAAGGGCAUUUAAAGCAUUUAAAUCAGACAAAUCAGAGGCAUCCUAUUUAAGAUGUAAGGAAGCCAAUAACACUUGCAAAAAGGCAAUUAAAAUGGCUAAACUAGAAAACGAGAAAUUGAUAGCUAAAGAAUGCAAAAUCAACCCCAAAUUUUUUUUCAAGUACAUCAAUUCUAAAAAAACAAAAAAUUAAAGUGUAGGUACACUGGAAACAGAGUUGGGUUUAUUAGCUAAUGAAGACCAGGAAAAAGCAGAAAUUUUAAAUAACAAUUUUUCUUCAGUAUAUAUAAAUGAGGAUCCUAUGGCAAGAGAUAUGCAAAUGAUUAAUGCAAAAAACUUGCAGAUAACUUGUGAUUGGAUAACUCGAGACAAGAUGCUACAGCUAUUGAAGAAAAUUAAUGUAAAUAAAGCUCCGGGGCCUGACGGUAUUCACCCACGAGUNNNNNNNNNNNNNNNNNNNNNNNNNNNNNNNNNNNNNNNNNNNNNNNNNNNNNNNNNNNNNNNNNNNNNNNNNNNNNNNNNNNNNNNNNNNNNNNNNNNNGAUUUCUGGUCUUAAAGACAUAUUACACUAUUUCUGCACUUUUCCUGUUUUAUAUAUCAACUCCAAGGGAAUUGGAAGAAAGCCUCUCAAAGUAGGAUGGGAGUGCCCUGAUCUUAAAGACUCAAUAUGCUGUCACGAUUGAGACAUUAUUAAAGCCUCCCCACUUGUGAGUUGGUAAUUCUACCAUCACCUCUAUUGGUAUUGAUCUUUAACUUUGAAUAUCAGAUUGCCUGCACUAUGAAAUUCAUAUUUGUAUUUUUUAGGUCUUUUAAUUGUCAUCAAAAACUGGAAAGUAUCAACCUCUAUCAUCUUUUUGUUUCACAUAUUGUAAAUCACUGUUUGAAUUGGACUUGAAAAGUUCAUUGUUUUGUUUGCAUAUGAUAUUUUCAUUGCAUUAAUUUGAAUCAGAGACUUGGUACACUUUAGACUAUACAAGUUAUCAAUGUUCCCCAGCACUUUUAGCACUAUCACUACACAAUAUUUGCAUCACUUUGUUUUAGUCUUUUAAUACAUUUAUUGUGGUUUUUAUAAGCGCUCCACUCUCUUUCUACCACACUGACAAAACAUAAUUAAUCCAAAGAUGAUAACAGACAGAAACCUGCAGAUGAGGCUCCUUUUCUAACUUUUUUCUAUCUUUUUCAGCACUGCACCAAACACAAAUCUAGAAGAUAAAUAAAAUUAUGAAUUUAGCAACAAUUGUAGUGACCAUAUUAGUUCUACAAUCAAUAAAAAAGAAUCUUGCAACAUUUCAAGCUGUUUGUGAUCUUAGUCAAAGAGUUAAAGGAACACUCCAAGCACCAUAACCACUACAGUAUGCAGUAGUAGUUAUGGUAUCAAGAGUGCCCUGAUGCACCCCGAUGUAAAUAGUCAAAUGGUUUGACAACUACAGAGCACUGUUUUGGUCAUGAUACUUGGAGUAGCCCUUUUAAUUCUCAGAAACACUUACAGCAUAAUAAUGCAAUACAGUAGAAACAGUGGGUUUUUCUUUAUAUUCACGCUGGGGCUCCCCCUUCUCAUCUCCUACUUUGUCAGUCAUAAAAUGUAUGUUUUGUUAUUCUUCCCACAAAAAACAGAACUCUGAACAAUGCCUGUAGUCCCUUAGAGUUAAAAUAAUCAAGAAAUAAUUCACUAGUAAAGAAAUCAUUUUAGUUUUUACUUACAGACUUGUUACUGAAUCAGAAUAAAGUAAAACUGAGAGAGUUGUUUACUGCUGGUCUAACCUACAGCAACAGCAAGUAAAUCUCAUUCAAUUUGGUUUCUUAAUUAAGAAAUUCACUGUAAACAACUAACUAAAAACACAGGUAGAAGUCAGCACUCGGAAAAGCACGUACGCAUGUAGAGUCGUGUGCUCAUGCCUUAGGCCCAUCCAAAAAUAGAAGCAAAUUUAACUUUUAGACAACAAAUAUUUCUACUUUAUAUCACAACUUUUCAAGCAGCCAGGUAUAUUUGGUGUUAGGAAUAGUUUUAUUUAAUUUAGAUAUUUAAUAGCAAGUUGUUUGAAGGUAAAUAAAACUAAAAUGCACUUAUCCAAACUAAAUUUGCCAAGAAUCUUGAUAAGUCAACAAAACAGCAAUGUUUGAAAUUCAUUGAUUAAAGGUACACUCUGAACACUAAUACAACUCUAGUGCAUUUGAUAUUUUUCUUUGCCUCAUUAAUGUGCAGUAUUUUUUGCAUGUACAAAUCUUUAUAUUUUUUGCACAAAAAAAAUGUUUUGCAAAAUACUGCCCCAUAAGUCUUUAGAUAGUUUUUAGAGAGUUGAAGGAAUAUGCUGCAGAGGAAUGAUUAUUGAAAUCGGCUACAAAAGGGGUGGCAUCCAAAAAUGUUGAAACACAUAUCAAGGGCAGGUAAGCAUCACUAGUGAUAGGGCUCCCUUAACAAUGGUUGUUUUGAGUGCUAGCAAUGCCACAUACAUGGAUUAAUGACAGGUGGGAAUCAGAUACGCCAGGUGAAUGGCAGCCUUGACAAUAAUAUUUGGAAAUAUUGUAACGGUAUGGUUGAGAAAUAAUCAGUUCUAAAUUACAUUAGAACCAUGACUGCCUCGAUAUUCUGACCAAAAUUAUGUGUUAAAUGUGAGCAUGCUAUGUGUGAACAAUAGUGUUAUGUGAUCAGUCCUAGGGGGUGGUUAGCAAACCAACUGUUACUUCUUCGACAUUCUUUGUCAAGGGAAAUGGAAUCCAGGGGACGUAUAUAUAAUAAAAUGUAUCCAGAGAAGUUACAAUCAUAUAGAUAAGCGAGAACUGUGUAGAACUGUGUAGACUACACCGACCUUUAUUCUGUCCUCNNNNNNNNNNNNNNNNNNNNNNNNNNNNNNNNNNNNNNNNNNNNNNNNNNNNNNNNNNNNNNNNNNNNNNNNNNNNNNNNNNNNNNNNNNNNNNNNNNNNUAAUUCUCUCAUUUUGCAUACAUUUGUUUCCAUUUAUUUUUCUUUACUGUAGUUAUCUCCAUUUUUUUGUAUUUUAUUAAGAGAAUUUAGAGACUGUGUUGUCCACGUCUGACCUUUAUUAUUUUGAUACUGAAUUUUCACAUAUUUGUCAGUGGCCCACAAACACAAAUUCCUCCUUUUCAAGAAAAAUGUUUGUUGAAAAAGGUCAGUUUAAACGCCAAGGUUUUAACCCCUUAAGGACACAUGACAUGUGUGACAUGUCAUAAUUCCCUUUUAUUCCAGAAGUUUGGUCCUUAAGGGGUUAAAGAGCCUUAACAAAUAAAAUGUGGUUGGCCCUUUUGUAACACAAGGAAUGAUGUUACUAUGUUCUAAACACUAAUAAUAAAUCAUGUAUAUUUUACAUGUACAGGUUUUUUUUUUUGUUUUUUUUUUUACCAAAAUGAGAAUUGUUGCCAAUUUAUAGUGAAUUGAAAGUGAAAUUCAAAUUUCAAGCUAAAUUAGCAGAACUGGAAGCACAGCUGAUUUGGAGAAUCUUUCCAGUUCAGAUACUUUUUCCUUAAAUUUAAAAUUCACUUUGAAUUUCCAAAGAUUCGCAUUUUAGUCAAUAACCCAGUACAAAAAACUAUGUUAUAUAUAUAUAUAUUUACAUGACUUCUUUAUUGUAAUCUAAACUACUGUAUACUAUACAGAAAUGUUAUCACAAGUUUGCCACGUUUUCUUUUUUCAACAAUCUUCUUCAUAAGGGGCAUGCAUCUAAGGCAGUGUUUCCCAACCCAGUCCUCAAAGCACACCUACCAGUCCAGGAUUUAGGGAUUACCCAGUUGUGUCUAAGGUGUUUUUUUUCUUCUUUGUAAAAACACCUUAGACACAACUGGGUAAUCCCUAAAUCCUGGACUGGUAGAGGUGCCUUGAGGACUGGGUUGGGAAACACUGAUCUAAGGCAGUGGUUUCCAUAUCAGUGCUCAAGGCACACUGAUGAGCAGUGCAGCCACCAGCUCAGUUCAGGGUCUGGGCCCCCUGGGGCCUGCCUCCAAUCCCGCCCACAGGGUCCGCCUCCAAAUCCCACCCACAGGAAUACACACACAGACACAAACACACACACUGAUACAAAAGGACACAGAUACACACACACAGAUACAUACUAACAGACACACAUACUGAAACAGACAUUAUAUUUAUAUGAUAUGACCACAAUUUAGCUAAAUGUGAGGAGGGACCAGUUACUAGCUAUUUUCUCUUAGCCAGGAUCAGACUCUGUUUACUCUUGAAUAAAAUGGAGACCAUGUAUUAAAAAAAAAAGGAUAAAAAAUUGAAAUCUCUUUAGUUUGGAAAUCGACAACUCAGACGGGAUAUGAUACCAUUAAACAAAUAUAUUCAGGGCCAGUACAAACCAUUAUCUAGAAAUCUAUUCAUAAACAGGCCUAUACAUAGGACACAAGGUCACACAUUUAGGCUGGAAGAAAGGAGAUUUCAUCUAAGGCAAAGAAAAGGUUUUUACAGUAAGAGUAAUAAGGAUAUGGAAUUUUCUGCCUGAAGAGGUGGCUUUAUCAGAAUCCAUACAGAUGUUUAAACUGCAAUUGGAUAAAUACUUGCAAAAACAUAACAUACAGGGAUAUAAUUUCUAAUUAGUGGGGUAAUAGCUGCUUUAUCCAAGGAGACAUCUGACUGCUAUUUUGUGGUCAAGAAGGAAUUUUUUCCUUGUUUGUUGCAAAAUUGGAAGCGCUACAGACUAGGAUUUUUGCCUUCUUUUGGAUCAACAGCAAAAACAUAUGUGAGGGAGGCUGAACUUGAUGGACGCAAGUCUCUUUUCAGCUAUGUAAUUACGUAACUAUGUAACGAUAUGUAUAGAGGCUUAAAUAAGCAGAUUUGUGUAAAUUGAAUUUCAAAUUUAAGGGCAAAAUAAUCAAACUCAAAACAGAAUUAGCUUGGAAAAUUUUUCUAAUUUGGUUAUUUUGUCCUAAAUAUUGAAAUUCACUUUGAAUUCCAAAAAUUUUCACUUUGGUGAAUAACCCUGUCACUUUUCCCUGAAACGGACAGAAUGGUUUUAAGGGGAAUUGUCACCUUUCUGGUAAUGGCAUAACUGAAUGAAACAUUGAAUAUCACUUUUAAAUUGUUUAACCAUUUCCAUGUGAGGAUCUGUAUUCUUUUCAAAUGUAAAUUGAAGAUGUUGCAGGUGACAUCACAAUUCGGUUCUGUCGGGGUACAGCCAGGGUAGACAAUGGAAAUGAGGAGGAAAACGUAAGGAUUGGUACAAUUUCUCCUCUUUCACUAACCAUGUUUAAUGGCAGAAAAAAGCAGCAUUUAUAUCAAUGAUUGACAGGGAAUAAAAAUGGAGGCACCUAGUACUAGGAUGCAAAUAAAGGCAGAGGUGUUUUUUUUCUACAACUAAUAUUAUUUUUCAGACCUCAGUUAAACAUAUUUGCUAAAUGUAGAGGCUAAGUAAACAUAAUUUUAAAAAUCAUAUGAAUAGACUGCCCCUUACUAACGCAGACCACACGUAGAGGGGGCUCAUAGGGUGGCCCAUGCUCUUAGGACCACCUGAUGGCAAUGAGUCUGCAGGAGCCCAGUCAGCGCUGCAGCGCUUUAACAGCGUAGCGGGCCUCCGGUGAUGAGGACAGCACUUGGAGGACGUGCAGUCACUUCCUUUCUAGCUAAGACAGAGAGUGCCGCAUGGAAGGGAGAAAGUUAGGGGGAGCCUGGACUGGUAGAGAUCCGACUUCCAACAGCCUCAGCCAGCCACUGGACCCCAGGGAAAUCACCUUUCUGCAGCCAAAAGGUAGGAAACAGGAGGGUGACUAAAAAUUUAUAUUUUCCAUGUGUGUCUGUUUGUUUGUGUAUAUCUGUCUGUGUAUAUGUGUUUAUAUGUGUGCAUCUGUCUGUAUGUGUAUAUGCAUGUGUGUCUGUGUAUCUGUGUGUGUAUCUGGCUGUAUAUGUAUAUGCAUGUGUGUCUGUGUAUCUGUGUGUGUAUCUGCCUAUAUGUGUAUCUCUCUGUAUGUGUAUCUGUGUGUCUGUAUGUGUGUAUCUGUCUGUAUGUAUGUGUAUUUCUCUGUUUAUAUGUGUAUCUGUGUGUCUGUAUGUGUCUCUCUCUCUGUCUGUAUGCGUAUUAUUAUUUUAUUAUUUAUAUAGCGCCAUCAUAUUCCAUAGCACUGUACAAUGGUUAUCUGUGUAUUUUUGUGUAUUCUUUAUGUGUGUCUUUAAGUGGAAGGCGUGUUUGCAUGCCACAAGGUAGGAGGAAGGGGACCAGGGGGCCCAAGCAAAUGCUUGCCCAGGGUCCAAUCAGCAUUGAAGAUGGCCCUGACCAAUUUUAUCAUAAUAUACUUAUUGUACUAUCUGCUACAGGAGGGACAUAAUGAGGCAUGUUACAAGAAGCAAGGUCAGUAAGGUAUUUUGUUUUAUUGACACAUCUUGGGUUGGCCUUCCCUCGCCCAACUUCUACUAAAGUCAGAAAGAUCCAAAUCUCAAAUUUUAAGGAUGACUCUGCAGCACACGCUAAAAUUUGAAUCUUGGCCUGUCUGCAGUAGCUGUGAACGAAACUAGACUGUUGCAUUUCACACUUGGUUCCUGGUUUGUUUAAUGAUUGAAUUGAAUCAAAAUUCUACAGCUGGAGAGAUCUGGCACUUGAUUGAGUAAGUAAACAGAUUCCAUAAGGUUUGAUAAACGUCUUCCAGCAAGGGCUGGCUGCUGCUGCUACAUUAUAAAGUUGCCACACUCCCAAGGGACGUGCUAAUCUAUGCUGAUCAAGUGUGCUGGGAAUCUGGUCUGUGCCUCCGCCUCAGUGUGUGGUAUUUGUUAUGGCUGUAUUGACUGUGUGAUAAAUGUAUGUAAUGGGUGUGAUAUUUGUAGUGGGCAUUUAAUUCGAUUUAAAAAAAUGCAUGUAGGCCCAUGUGUGAAUUCAGGUGUGCAUUUUUGUAGGUGUGUAUUUUUUCAGGUGUACCACAGUGAGACACACUGUGAUGGAUAGAAAUGAAUGUGUGUAAAAUGUCUAUUUACUUUGUAUACCUGUGUUCAUUUAUUACUCAAAAUGGCUGCUAGAGCACCCCCUCCCAUCGACCAAGACCCUCGUGUAGUAAGAUGACGUCUCCUUCCGGAAUUACACCUAAGAUGAUGAUGACAUCAACACCCUCUGGAGGAGGUCAAUAAAGAUUAGACACUUAACACCUAACCAAUUAAAUGUUUACUUUACUAAAACACUUAACCAAUUGCAAAGUUUACUUUCUGUAUUUGCAUACGUUGCAUUCUUUGCCUUUUUAAGGGGCUACACCACCCCCUGACAAUACACUUGGAAGUUUUCAUUCAACUGAACUAUUCUGUGUCAGUGGGAUUUCUUCGGCGUGCAUGCUUUAUUACAUUUAAGACAUUUGGACAGGGGCAGAUAUUCAAGCAAACACUUGGUUUGGUCUAAAACAACACAAUCAGGUGCACAUAGAUAUACACAUAUACUGUCACAUACAGCCACAUGCACACCCCUUAGGAUGGCUCUGUAAACACACAUGCACUUUGUCAUCCUGCUCACAGCCACAAUCAUCAGCAGCGAUGUGGAUUGUGUUACUGACAAUGCACACAAAGGCAUUGUUUCCAGUCUCCUCCUCCUCCCCUUUUUUAGUCCUGAGUUUAUACUUGUUUUAUGUGUAAUUAUUGUAACCAUGCAUAGUGCUACUGUGAUAGGUGCAGAUAAAGGAUGAUACACUUUGAAGGUCGCAGGAUGUCAGGAGCACACCCACCCCACUGUAAAACAUAAAUACGUAACAAUAUUAACACGAAAAAACAAGUCCUGCGCUCAAACUCCCAUCACUCCUGGGCGGUAGCAACGACCACAGUACACAUCAGCCCCAAUAGUACGGUAAAAACCAAAGAAAAAAGUUACCUGAGCUCUUCCCAAAUCCCUAUGCAUAUUUUAACAAAUGGAGGUUUUUUAGUUUCUCCAAUGGCCAUGAUAGUGUUUAGCCCACCUGCCACGUCAAGGCAAACCUCUCAGUUAUGUCCUACAGCAGUGAUGGCGAACCUAUGGCACGCGUGCCACAGGUGGCACGCCGGGCCCUUUCUGUGGGCACGCGGCCAAAGGUCCGCCAUCAAUGCAGAGUAGGCGCCUGUCUGCCCGGCAGGCGCCUACUCUGCUUCCGGGUCGGGAGGCAGGGGGAGGGCUCUAGGAAGCAGCUCCCCUGUCCUCCCGCGCGAUGCUGUGGAGCGUUGCCGCGCGUUACCAUGGCAACGCUCCACACAGCAUUGCGCGAGAGGACAGGGGAGCUGCUUCCUGGAGCCCUCCCCCUGCAGUGCUUACCACCACCGGACCACCAGGGAUGGCUGUGUGUCCCCCUCCCCCCCCCACUUCAUUAAAGGUAAGAAGGAGGGGGGGGUUAUACUGACACACAGCACCCUUAUCCCCCCCAGCAGUAACCCCUACCCUCCCCAGCAGUAACCCCUACCCCCCCCAGCAGUAACCCUUACCCCCCCAGCAGUAACCCCUACCCCCCAGCAGUAACUCCUACCCCCAAGCAGUAACCCCUGCCCAGCAGUAACCCCUACCCCCAGCAGUAACCCCCACCCCCAGCAGUAACCCCCACCCCCCAGCAGUAACCCCCACCCCCCAGCAGUAACCCCUACCCCCCAAGCAGUAACCCCUGGGCCCAGCAGUAACCCCUCACCCCUCCUCCAGCAGUAACCCCCACCCCCCCACAGCAGCAACCCCUACCCCCCAGCAGUAACCCCUACCCUCCCCACUAGCAGUAACCCCCUACCCUGCCCAGCAGUAACCCCUCUCACCUCCAUACAGCAGUAACCCCUACCCUGCCCAGUUACAGUAACCCCUACCCCUCCCAGCAGUAACCUCUACCCCCCAGCAGUAACCCCUACCCUCCCAGCAGUAACCCCCUGCCCAGCAGUAACCCCCUACCCCUCCCCAGCAGCAACCUCACCCCCCAGCAGUAACCCCUACCCCCAGCACCCCUACCCUGCCCAAAGGUAACCCCACCCCCCAGCAGUAACCCCACCCUGCCCAGCUGUAACCCCCUACCCCCAGCAGUAACCCCUACCCCCAUACACAGUACCCCUACCCCCCCAACAACAGUAACCCCUAUCCCCCAUACACAGUACCCCUACCCCCCCCAGCAGUAUCUCCCCUAACCCCCAUAUGCAGUACCCCUAACCCCCCAUAGCAGUACCCCCUAACCCCCAGCAGUACCCCUACCCCCCCAGCAGUACCCCUUACACAUAUAGCACACACACACAGCACCCCCCACACACACACACAGCACCCUAACCCCCAGCAGUACCCCUACCCCCCCAGCAGUACCCCUUACACAUAUAGCACACACACACAGCACCCCCCACACACACACACAGCACCCCUCACAUACAACACUCACACACACACGCACCCCCCACCUCAAUGCAGUAUGUGUGUAUUCAGCAGUCUGUGUGUGUGUGCGUGUAUUCAGCAGUCUGUCUGUGUUUGCGUGUAUUCAGCUGUCUGUGUUUGCGUGUAUUCAGCUGUCUGUGUUUGCGUGUACUCAGCAGUCUGUGUUUGCGUGUACUCAGCAGUCUGUUUGCGUGUACUCAGCAGUCUGUGUGUGUGUGUACUCAGCAGUCUGUGUGUGUGUGUACUCAGCAGUCUGUGUGUGUGUGUGUACUCAGCAGUCUGUGUGUGUGUGUGUGUGUGUACUCAGCAGUCUGUCUGUGUGUGUACUCAGCAGUCUGUCUGUGUGUAUUCAUCAGUCUCUGUAUUCAGCAGUCUUGUGUGUGUGUAUUCAGCAGACUGUGUGUAUGUAUUCAGCAGUCUGUCUGUGUAUGUAUUGCAUUUGUUGGAGAUACUAAUAAAUAUAAGCUUAAUUUUAUCUAUUUAUAUCAUUAUUUAAAAUUUGUAUAAUUGAACUCUGUGUUCUUUUAAAACAAAAGUUAUUAGUUCGGACAACAGUACGAGUUGUUUUUAUCUAAACUUAAACCUCAGUAUUUGGGUUUAAUUGCCGUGUUGGCACUUUAAGGAGAAAAAAUGUUGGCAUGUAUUGCGGUUUGGGCACUCGGGCUCAAAAAGGUUCGCCAUCACUGUCCUACAGUAACCUUUCACCUUGCUUCCUUGAGCUUCUGACAAAUAUAUAUCUAAUGAGACUGGAGCCCACAGAACAGCUCAGUGGAGGAGUGGGCCUUGACAGGGCCAGAGAGUGGGCAGGGAAAAGGGGUGGGUUUAGGCUAAUGCAGCGUGGGGGUGGUCUAAGGACAGAUAAAUAGCGGCCAUCUCAGAGAGUGGCCAUUUUAAUCUGAGCUUCACUCACCUGUUAAUUGUGACAGGUCUGUGAAGUUCUUCUUUUUGUCUUAUCUGCAGGUCAUGGUGUCGCUGGUGGAGAUUCUGGACGGAAUUCGGGCGGCAGUGAGAGACAGGGGCCUGGCAUGGCUUCACGGACAGCUGGGAACGGCCGUCACACCCCAAGAUGCACCAAACCGGAGGCCGGCGCGGAGGACAAGGCCACCCCAGCGGCUGAGCCCGGGUGUAGCGCCUGCUGCCCGGGUGGAGGAGGAGCCCCUCAGCGGGAGAAAGGGAGGUGGCAGGUUCGGGAGGCAAAAUGGCGGAGGUACCCGGAGUGCGGCCGGUGCCAUCAAGCAAGGCGGCCGUUCAGGCGAGGACGGCCGAAAAACAGGGGCCGCAAAUGAGGAAAGCGCCCCGCACAGGGGCGGCUGGCAGGAAGGCGGGAGCGUUGGCGGCUUGCGGCACGGCCGGGAAGGCGGCCAGGACAGAGGGCGGCCACGUGGCCGGGAGGCACAGCACCACCGGUCCGGGUGAGUCGAACUGCAGGGGGGCCACUGUCAGUCAGAGGGGUGAUAGUGCUGCUGGCUCCUCGGCACAGGCGGUCCCCCAGAUGGCUGGGGGUGAAAGGGACAGCGGGAGGUCACAAGGGGCGGCCAUUAGUGGGGCCAGGGACAGCUGCAGCGAUGGAAUGAGGGUGGAGGAGCGCCGCAGGGUCAGCCAGGGCCGACAAGGAGCGACUGGAGGCGUGGAGUGACCAGGCAGCAGAGGUCAGCGCGGGGCCAAGCAGGGCGGCUACUGGAAAGCCAGGCAUAGAGGUCAGCGGGGAGUUACAGGGGCCACCGGGGGUUUCAGAGAUGCGCGGGAGGGCCCGUCGGGCAGCUCCCAGGGUCAGCAAGCCAGCAGUAUCGGUCCAUGGAGAGAACGGAGGGAAGAGCGGCACAGGGCUAGCGCCAGGCGCAGCAGCGACAUGAUCAUGGCAGGGAGACUGGGGAGCCGUUCACACUACAGGCGCAGCGAGUCUAGAUCCAGUUGCAGAGAGGAGAGGAGGAGGUCCAGGUCCGAAGAAAGUGGGAGGUAUAGUCGGCGCAGCGCAUCAGGUUCCUCUGAACAGAGUUGCCAGUAGCGGCGGAGCAGAGCAGACAGCAGGGGCAGUCGGAUGGCAGAGAGGAGAGGAGCGCGGGGAGAAAGUAAAGAGCGUAGGGAGGAAGGGUGGGCAGGGGGCUUAUCCGGCAGACUGCCCAGGUUAUCUUCUCCUUACAGGUCGCGGAGUAAUACACGCGGCGGGAUCGGGCAGGCAGGAGUCGGCGGCGUCUGGAUGCUCCGGGGCCUAGCAAGGUGGACGGAAGGACAGCAAACCCGCGGCCUGAAGCGGCCGGGGGCAACAGCGGUGAGUCCACAACUGCACUAAAUUCAGGAACCUUCAUAGGCUGUUGGAAAUCGUUUUUGGAAUCUUGGUCAGGGGAGGGGGACCCACUUCAGUUCGGUAGGGUAUGGGCAUCAGGGGGUGACAAGGGGGCAGAAGCCGGGAGAGUGGAGCCGUUCGCAUGGAGAACUAGUGGCUGGGAGUCGGGAAGCGCUUCUACAUCGGUGGAGACGCCGGAGAGGGUAGGGGAGAAAACCGUGGGGCACGGUGACAUCUCAGAGGCAGCGCGACAAAAUGUGCACGUAUCUUUCGCGGGCCCCUUGGGUUGUCACUUGAAGGUUCAGGUAAAGGAGAAACUCUGGAAAGGGGAAUUUGUGGAAAUAUUUUCACUUCUUCCCUUGGAGGAAUUUCUGGAUUUGAAGGAAGAGGAUAAGAAAGAUGCUAAGAAAGAGGAGGAGGAGAAGAGGCGGAGGUAUCUUAAGUGUGACGAGAGCAAUCUCGCCACAUUGCAUUGGAGAAGCCUGGUUGCUCGCCUGUUGCCUUUAGACUAUGGCCCCAUGUUAAAAGACAUAUUUUUUAACUGCAGAAAAGAUUUAUUCGUUCUUUUCUGCCUGGUGUUCGGUAGAUUCAAUCUACCGAACAACCGCACGAAUGACUGGACUACCUGGGAGCUGGAGUGUGCCGGCAAUUAGCCUCCCUGAAGCUGCGGUUAACCGCAGCUUAAUUGACGAAUGCUGGGUGGCUGCCAUUCGUAUCACGAACACGAGGUUGCGGCCAUUUUAAACAUGCGAAUGCACAGCGGUGUUCGACGCUUAAUUCAUGGAACUGAAAUCGGACACAGUUUUGCGCGAACACCGCUGAAGCCGCCGACCUCCCUUCUUGGUCGGUGAAAGUGCACGAACGGCCCGGCAUUCGGUAGUUUUGUUUGAAUGUAUUAUACCCCAGAUAGGAAUCCCAUGGAGCCCAUUCGCAUGAGAACUGACUGUGUAAAGACUUUAGCUCCACGGCGAUUAAACUGUAUUUGUGUGGUCUGAGCGCCAUUCGCUUAAUAAUGUGCGCUCAGACCUGAGCUAUCUGGGGAUAUGUUAAAUGUAUGCUUUUAAUGUUAGGUGUCUCACAUAGUGUAUUUUAAUAGUAAUUUGUGUUGUAGUAUCCCCACGUGCAUAAUAGCGAUUUGCCUUUGUCUGGGAGAUAAUUGAAUUACUUCUCAAUUAUCUCCAAGGCAGAGGGGAGGAAGCCAGGAUGCAUUGUGGGAAUAUAAUGUGACUGUGUGUCCUAUUUGUCUACUUGUCUGUCUUUUGUCACAGUCUCCCAUUUGGUCCCCUAGGGAGUGUCCACCAGGUGGGAGACCUGCAUAAAUACUGGGCAGGUAGCCCUCAUUAAACCAGACCACUGCUUGACCCUCAACACAGAGCCUUGUCUCAUCUUUGGGGGGAUUUACUGAAUGCUGAUAGAGACUGAUUGCUAGGAGUGUAAGCCGCUUGGAUGCUUUUCCUAUUCGUCUGCUAGCAGCGAUUCGUAUGGUUCCAGUUCGUGUGUUUGUAGUGCUCUAUUGUAGGCCGUUCGGUAGUUUGGAGCAUUCCCUUAUUGGCAGUUCAUGAGUUUGGUGUUUUACAAUAGCUGUGCCUGCAUCUCUGGAAAGGGGGACGAUCGCCUAAACGGUUUUUACCCCUUGUGUGCAAAACGGUCCGUUACAAUUGAUGGCAAGCGGCGGGAUCGUUCCCACAGCCAGAAGGACAGCUACAGGAGACACCAUUCCAAGGAAUUUACAAUUUGAGGGCAACACAUGUCUGAGUACAGCGACCCUGACAGCACCAGGAUGGAACCAGCAGUGGCGUACAGCUACUCUAGAAGAGAGUUUGAUAAUAUGAUGGAAUUGCGGCUGAAGUUCUUUGGACCCAAACCACCGGAGAAAUGCGUGCAGUCCAUGAGGAACCUAGUGUUCAAGAAUCUGCAACACCGGGCAGAAAGAGAAGGUCAGCUGACAUGUUGGGAAGAACUCCAGCAGCAGGUACUGCAGGGAAUUGGGAGCCCAGUCUCCAUUCCCCAGCGGCAGUGUGAUAUGCCGGGAAUUGGGAGCCCAGUCUCCAUUCCCCAGCGGCAGUGUGAUAUGCCGGGAAUUGGGAGCCCAGUAUCCAUUCCCCAGCGGCCGUGUGAUCUGCAGGGAAUUGGGAGCCCAGUCUCCAUUCCCCAGCGGCAGUGUGAUAUGCCGGGAAUUGGGAGCCCAGUCUCCAUUCCCCAGCGGCAGUGUGAUCUGCAGGGAAUUGGGAGCCCAGUCUCCAUUCCCCAGCGGCAGUGUGAUAUGCAGGGAAUUGGGAGCCCAGUCUCCAUUCCCCAGCGGCAGUAUGAGUUAUUGGGAAUUGGGAGCCCAGUCUCCAUUCUCCAGCGGGAGAUAUUGCAGGGAAUUGGGAGCCCAAGCUCCAUUCCCCAGCGGCAGAAUGAUUUAUUGGGAAUUGGGAGCCCAGUCUCCAUUCCUCAGCGGCAGAGUGUCCUACCGGUAAUAGAGAGCCCAGUCUCCUUUCCCCAGCAGCAGGACUCUGUAUUGGGAGCAGAGACAGUCGGUCUCCCUCCUCCGCGGCGGGGGAGACAGUAAGCCCCACAACUGUGCAGAUGGGACCGUGGUCUCUGCACGUCCAGCACAGGGGGUAGGGACGGUCGGUUCUGCCCCCCAGCAACAGGGCUGUUUAGCCAAAGGGGAGACAGUCGGUCUCCAGCAGCAGAGCUGUGUAUCUAAAGGGGAGACAGUCAGUCUCCAGCAGCAGAGCUGUGUGUCCAAAGGGGAGACAGUCGGUCUCCAGCAGCAGAGCUGUGUAUCUAAAGGGGAGACAGUCUGUCUCCCCCUCCAACAACCAGGCUUCAACCAGGCUACCCUCCCAGUAGCGCUGGCAACAGGGCAGAGUACCGCUGAUCUCUGCCCACGCAGCAACCCACCAAGUCAGCAUACCCGUACCCAGCACAGCCGUGGUGAGGCACCUGGACAUGGACAAGCUUCUCCUCUACCCAGGUGUAGUAACCAUUUAUUGUGGGUGGGCUGUGCUGUUGAUUGUGUUUUGUGGGUGGGAUGCUGGACUAACAAGGGCACUGACCGGCAGGAGGUCAGAUACCCUGUUAGUCUGUUUAGAAAAGGGGAGAGAUGUGACGAGAGCAAUCUCGCCACAUUGCAUUGGAGAAGCCUGGUUGCUCGCCUGUUGUCUUUAGACUAUGGCCCCAUGUUAAAAGACAUCUUUUUUAACUGCAGAAAAGAUUUAUUCGUUCUUUUCUGCCUGGUGUUUGGUAGAUUCAAUCUACCGAACAACCGCACGAAUGACUGGACCACCUGGGAGCUGGAGUGUGCCGGCAAUUAGCCUCCCUGAAGCUGCGGUUAACCGCAGCUUAAUUGACGAAUGCUGGGUGGCCGCCAUUCGUAUCACGAACACGAGGUCGCGGCCAUUUUAAACAUGCGAACGCACAGCGGUGUUCGACGCUUAAUUCAUGGAACUGAAAUCGGACACAGUUUUGCGCGAACACCGCUGAAGCCGCCGACCUCCCUUCUUGUUCGGUGAAAGUGCACGAACGGCCCGGUGUUCGGUAGUUUUGCUUGAAUGUGUUAUACCCCAGAUAGGAAUCCCAUGCCCAUUCGCAUGAGAAACUGACUGUGUAGAGACUUUGGCUCCAUGGCGAUUACACUGUAUUGGUGUGGUCUGAGCGCCAUUCGUUUAAUAAUGUGCGCUCAGACCUGAGCUAUCUGGGGAUAUGUUAAAUGUAUAGUUGUAUUGUAAUGUGUCUCACAUAGUGUAUUUUAAUAGUAAUUCGUGUUGUAGUAUCCCCACGUGCAUAAUGGCGAUUUUCCUUUGUCUUGGGAGAUAAUUGAAUUACUUCUCAAUUAUCGCCAAGGCAGAAGGGAGGAAGCCAGGAUGCAUUGUGGGAAUAUAAUGUGACUGUGUGUCCUAUUUGUCUACUUGUCUGUCUUUUGUCACAGUCUCCCAUUUGGUCCCCUAGGGGAGUGUCCACCAGGUGGGAGACCUGCAUAAAUACUGGGCAGGUAGCCCUCAUUAAACCAGACCACUGCUUGACCCUCAACACGGAGCCUUGUCUCAUCUUUUGGGGGAUUUACUGAACGCUGAUAGAGACUGAUUGCUAGGAGUGUAAGCCGCUUGGAUGCUUUUCCUAUUCGUCUGCUAGCAGCGAUUCGUAUGGUUCCAGUUCGUGUGUUUGGAGUGCUCUAUUGUAUGCCGUUCGGGAGUUUGGAGCAUUCCCUUAUUGGCGGUUCGUGAGUUUGGUGUUUUACAAUAGCUGUGCCUGCAUCUCUGGAAAGGGGGACGAUCGCCUAAACGGUUUUUACCCCUUGUGCGCAAAACGGUCUGUUACAGUAAGAUACCAAAGUCCUUCGGGAACUGGCGUAGGGCGUUUUGCAUACUGGCGAGCGUUAUUGGUGAAAAGCGCCCAGACUGCUGUUCGCAGCUUUUCUGCUACCUCGACGGUAUAGGGGAUGCGUACCGGACGUACGGGGACUAGCCUGGUGGAAGUAUGACGAACAGUUUCGUCAGCGACUGGCGGCGAAUUCAUCCAUGGACCAAAUGGACCUGCCGCUAUGGAUGCGGAUAAUGAUGGCGCAGAAAAACACGCCCUUUCCAGGGGCAGCCGGCGCGGCCUCCGGGGGCGCAGUGUCGGCUGGACAGAAGAAAGGUUUUUGCUGGGCGUAUAACGAGGGACAAUGCAAGUGGGGAGCUGCGUGUAGAUUCAGGCACGAGUGUUCAGGUUGCGGGGGGAAUCAUGGUGCCAAUAGAUGCUUCAAGAAGGGUAAGCCUAACGUGGGAGGGGGAGCAGCUUCCACUGGGGUUGUCGCCGAUGAGGGUUGGUGCGAUGUUGCCAUGGCUAAUGCAAUACGCUGAUCAAGACGCUGCCGAGUUUUUAUGGAGGAGUUUCAGGGAAGGCUUUAGGAUCCCAUUUAAAGCGAAGGGGCCAGGGGGGAUAAGUUUGAACCUCAAGUCGGUUAAGGAGCAUCCAGGGGUGGUGAGGGAGAAGUUGACUAAGGAAGUCCAAUUGGGUAGCAUGGCAGAGCCGUUUUUGGCCCCGCCUGUGUCGGAUUUGCGGGUGUCUCCACUUGGGGUGGUCCCCAAGAAGGAGGCGGGCAAAUUCCGUUUGAUUCAUCACUUGUCACACCCGAGAGGGGCUUCGGUGAAUGAUGACAUCGACGCGGACCUGUGCUCAGUCUCCUAUACAUCAUUCGACAAGGCAGUCGAGUUGGUUCAGAGGGCAGGGCACGGGGCGCUGAUGGCAAAGGUUGAUGUGGAGGCAGCUUUUAGGCUGCUUCCCAUACAUCCAGACUUAGAAACAUAGAAACAUAGAAUGUGACGGCAGAUAAGAACCAUUCGGCCCAUCAAGUCUGCCUAAUUUUUUAAAUACUUUCAUUAAUCCCUAGCCUUAUCUUAUAGUUAGGAUAGCCUUAUGCCUAUCCCAGGCAUGCCUAAAUUCCUUUACUGUGUUAACCUAUUCCACUUCAGCUGGAAGGCUAUUCCAUGCAUCCACUACCCUCUCAGUAAAGUAAUACUUCCUGAUAUUAUUUUUAAACCUUUGUCCCUCUAAUUUAAGACUAUGUCCUCUUGUUGUGGUAGUUUUUCUUCUUUUAAAUAUAGUCUCCUCCUUUACUGUGUUGAUUCCCUUUAUAUAUUUAAAUGUUUCUAUCAUAUCCCCCCUGUCUCGUCUUUCCUCCAAGCUAUACAUGUUAAGAUCCUUUAACCUUUCCUGGUAAGUUUUAUCCCGCAAUCCAUGAACCAGUUUAGUAGCCCUUCUCUGAACCCUCUCUAAGGUAUCAAUAUCCUUCUGAAGAUACGGUCUCCAGUACUGUGUACAAUACUCCAAGUGAGGUCUCACCAGUGUUCUGUACAAUGGCAUGAGCACUUCCCUCUUUCUACUGCUAAUACCUCUCCCUAUACAACCAAGCAUUCUGCUAGCAUUUCCUGCUGCUCUAUUACAUUGUCUGCCUACCUUUAAGUCAUCAGAAAUAAUCACCCCUAAAUCCCUUUCCUCAAUUGUUGAGGUUAGGACUCUAUCAAAUAUUCUGUACUCUGCCCUUGGGUUUUUACGUCCAAGAUGCAUUAUCUUGCACUUAUCCACAUUAAAUGUAAGUUGCCACAAUUCUGACCAUUUUUCUAGUUUACCUAAAUCAUUUGCCAUUUGGCUUAUCCCUCCUGGAACAUCAACCCUGUUACAUAUCUUAGUAUCGUCAGCAAAAAGACAUAACUUACCAUCAAGAUCUUCUGCAAUAUCACUAAUAAGACUGUCAUCACUUGCUGGGAUGUUAUUUCGAGGGUGGGUUUUUCGUGGAUUUAUGCCUGCCCAUGGGCUGUUCCGUAUCAUGCGCCUACUUCGAAAGGUUUAGUACGUUUCUGGAAUGGGUGGUGCGCAGGGAAUCAGUGGGUGGCGCAGUGGUGCACUAUUUGGACGAUUUUUUAUUCGUCGGUCCGCGGGACUCUCAGCGGUGUGUGCAAGUGCUGAGGGUUUUCCAAUGGGUAGCGCUGGCAGAGGAAAAGACGGUGGGCCCCACCCCGUGCAUUAGCAUUUUGGGGCUGGAGAUUGAUUCGGUACAAGGGGAGUGCAGGCUGCCCAAUGACAAACUGCAGAGUUUGCGGCUCCUAGUACACACGGUCAAGGGAGCUAGGAAGGUAACCCUGAAGGGGCUACAUUCGCUGGUAGGGAGUCUUAACUUCGCAUGCAGAGUCAUCCCCAUCGGGAGGGUUUUCUGUAGACGGUUAGCCCAAGCGACGAGCGGGGUGCGGGCCCCGUCCCAUUAUAUUAAAGUGUCGGCAGAAAUUAAGGAUGAUCUGGGGGUAUGGGACAGGUUUUUACGCGACUUUAACGGAAAAGUAUUUUUCCGGUGGCCGGUGUCCUCGUCGGAUGCUAUGGGGCUUUUUACUGAUGCGUCGGGCUGCAUUGGUUUUGGCGCCUUCCUGGCAGGAAAAUGGUGUGCUGAGAGGUGGCCCGAGUCGUGGAAGGCGAGCCCGCUUAUCAGGAACCUAGCAUUCUUGGAAUUUUUCCCUCUUGUAGUGGCGGUGGCGCUAUGGGGUUCAGAGCUAGCCAAUAAGAAAGUCAUAUUUUACUCCGACAACAUGGCAGUGGUGCAAGCGAUCAAUAGCCUGUCCGCAUCCUCACCACCGGUGGUGCGCCUGUUGCGGCAGUUAGUACUUCUUUGUAUGUCCUUUAACGUGGUAUUCAAAGCUAGGCACAUCCCUGGGUUUAAGAAUGUAGUGGCUGACGCGCUGUCUCAUUUUCAGUGGGAACGUUUUCGGGAAGUGGCACCGGGCGCGAAGAGACACGAGCAAGCAUGCCCGGUCAAAAAGUGGCAACUCGGGACCGCCUGCUUGGGGAGUGCAUAAGGAAAUCGAUGGCGCCUGCCACAUGGUUCACGUACGUUAAGGUCUGGAAAGCGUGGGACGAGACGGUGGUGCAGGUAAGGGGUGAGCAACAUAGGGACUGGCAGCUGGACACGCUGCUAUGGUUGCUUUGCAGGUUGUUUACGAGACAGGCAUCGCCUGCCAUGGUUGACAGACACAUGUCUGCUUUGGCUUUCUUCUUUAAGUUCAAUGGGUGGGAAGAUGUCACAAAGCAUUUCCUGGUCAGGCAGGCGAUUAAAGGUUUCCGGAGAGGGAAGAAGACGCUAGAUACGAGGAGGCCAUUGUCUCACAGGUUGGGGGAGGCGCUGCAUGAAAUUUGCCUCUCGCCAUUCGAAGUGGCGUUGUUCGCAGGGGCGUUUGUUUGGGCCUUUUUCUGAGCUUUUCAGAUAAGUGAGCUGGUAAGUGUGAAUAAAGCAGGAGUAGGGGGCUGCAGCUCCAGGAUGUGGCAAUAGGCACUGACAGCGUACGAAUAUGGCUGGGCAGAUCCAAAACUGACGUUCUUGGCAAAGGUUGCUCAGUGGUGUUGCUCGGGUUACCGGGAUCCAAAGUAUGCCNNNNNNNNNNNNNNNNNNNNNNNNNNNNNNNNNNNNNNNNNNNNNNNNNNNNNNNNNNNNNNNNNNNNNNNNNNNNNNNNNNNNNNNNNNNNNNNNNNNNCAGUGGCAAGGGGCGCGGAGUACUUAGUUCUACGCCCGCAGGUAACAGUUGUUUUUUCUUGCACGAGGAUGGUACGGCGCUGUCACGUUUUCAGUUCACAAGGGUUUUCCAGCUGGGAUUACAGAGGCUGGGCUUGGAGCCUAUGCAGUUUGGUACUCAUUCGUUCCGUAUUGGGGCAGCAACAGAGGCAGCGAGGUUGGGUUUGGGAGACGAGAGGAUCAAACGGAUAGGGAGAUGGGAAUCUUUACGCUUCAGAUCGUACGUGAGACCGGACAGGUUGGUUUGAAAUGAGGAAGUUGUGAUUGGGGAGGUGAGAGUAAAUUCGGCAUCAUGGCACUAACAUUUGUUUCGUUACAGGUUGGAGAGUAUGGUUAAUCGGCCACUCGUUUGUAUAUUGGGCACGGAAGAGAGCCGCAGUUAGAAGAAACGGAACACAGCUGGGCUUUCCGCAAGACCGGGUGGCGAUAUCAUGGUUUGGUUUUCGGGGGUUUAGUUGGUAGUGUUUAAGUAACAUGUUGUUUAGAAAAGUGACAGGGGGGUCCGUGCCGGAUGUAGUAGUGGUUCACGGCGGCGGGAAUGAUUUAGGGCUUAUCCCACAAAGAGAAUUGGUAAGGAGGAUGAAAAGGGCCAUGGAUCGGCUCAUGGGGCUGGUUCCUGGCGUGGUGGUGGUAUGGUCCGAAAUGGUGCCCCGUUUCACGUGGCGGCAUGCCAGGGAUCCAGUUGCAGUGGCCCGAUGCAGGAGUAAAGUGAAUAGGGCCAUGGCGGUCUUUAUUAGGCGUUUGGGCGGUGUCGUAGUGCGACACCGGGAGUUAGAGGGCAUGUUGCCCGGUUACUUUAGGAGGGAUGGUGUACACCUGUCGGAUGUAGGGAGCGAUUUACUUAAUUUGGGUUUUCAGGAAGGCAUUAGUCAGGCCCUGUUUCUGUGUGGUGGGGGUCGUACAUGUCCUUAAGGCAUCAAGUCAUGUGCUAGGGCGGAGCAGGGCGUGGUUAAGUUGGAAGUUGGAUGGAAUUGGAAAUGGACAGGCCAAGGCCUAGGCUGGAGUAGGCCAGAUGGAAGUGAGUGUUGGUAGGUUCAAGCUCUUCGGUGGCUACGAACCUAGGUGGGUAGGGGUGUCUGGGUACACCCCUACAGUUAACAGUUUGGUUAUGGGGCCUCUUUGGUGGGCCGGGUGUUAUAAGUAAAUGUUAUUGGAAGGUUAACUAUUAUUCAAAGUGGUAGGGUCAUUGUCAUGGGUAUUGUGCGGGGGGAUAGUAACAGAGUGUCAGUGAUGACAAUGACCCUAAUAUGUUAAUUUGCAUAUAUUUAAUAAAAAUUUAUAAAGCUGUGGACUAAGGAUAAAACGGUGUCCGAGUCUUAUUUAAUUCAUAUUUAAAAUAGCACCUGCCGAAUAACGACGGUGCCUAUGUCAUGGAGCCCACAGAACAGCGUUGUGGAGGAGUGGGCCUUGACAGGGCCAGAGAGUGGGCAGGGAAAAGGGGUGGGUUUAGGGUAAUGCAGCGUGGGGGUGGUCUAAGGACAGUUAAAUAGCGGCCAUCUCAGAGAGUGGCCAUUUUAAUCUGAGCUUCACUCACCUGUUAAUUGUCCCUUCCACCCUCCCUUUAUGUUGAGAGGUGUUCCCGUUUGGUCAAAGCGGCGGGAACAGGGCGUGGCAAAGUUGGAAGUUGGAUGGAAUUGGAAAUGGACAGGCCAAGGCCUAGGCUGGAGUAGGCCAGAUGGAAGUGAGUGUUGGUAGGCUCAAGCUCUUCGGUGGCUACGAACCUAGGUGGGUAGGGGUGUCUGGGUACACCCCUACAGUUAACAGUUUGGUUAUGGGGCCUCUUUGGUGGGCCGGGUGUUAUAAGUAAAUGUUAUUGGAAGGUUAACUAUUGUUCAAAGUGGUAGGGUCAUUGUCAUGGGUAUUGUGCAGGGGGAUAGUAACAGAAUGUCAGUGAUGACACUAAUAUGUUAAUUUAUAUAUAUUUAAUAAGAAUUAAUAAAGCUGUGGACUUUAUACUCCAACAGGAUAAAACGGUGUCCGAGUCUUAUUUAAUUCAUAUAAAAAUAGCACCUGCCGAAUAACGACGGUGCCUAUGUCAAGAAAGGAGUAUUUUUUUAAAUUAUUUUUUUAUAUACACCCCUACAUGCUUAUUAACCCCUAAUAAGUAACACAUGGGAUGGGUAGCAGCAUUGUAACAUAGCUGUGUGAUACAAGGGUGAAUACAAAUACAAAAAAACAAGUUCUGUGCUCAAACUCCCCUCACUCCUGGGCGGCAGCAACGACCAUAGUACACAUCAGCCCCAAUAGUACAGUAAAAACCAAAGAAAAAAGUUACCUGCGCUCUUCCCAAAUCCCUAUGCAUAUUUAAACAAAUGGAGAUUAUUUAGUUUCUCCAAUGGCCAUGAGAGAGUUUAGCCCACCUGCCACGUCAAGACAGACCUCUCAGGUGGGUCCUACACUAACCUUUCACCUUGCUUCCUUGAGCUUCUGGCAAAGAUAUCUCUAGUUACCUUCUUGCCACUCACUAGGGGGGUGCCCGGGGCAGACUGCAAUGCCCCUCCUACGCCCAUCGUCGAGACCGGCGGUCUGCAGCUCCGCAGUGUGCAGAGCUGCAGACCAUGUGUCUUGCGAGCACUGCCCAAUCAGAGCGUUGCCACGGGUUACCAGCGGAGCUGCAGACCGGAAUUGAUGGCCACCGGACCACCAAGGAGCCCACCGGACCACCAGGCAGCCCCCACUGGACCACCAGGGUUUUAAGGUAAUUUUUUAGUCCUCCCUGCAUUACCCCCCUUCUGCUCAUCACCCCCCUCCUCUCACCCCCACCUCCCAUCCCUCCCCCUCUCACUCAUCAUCACCCCCUCUCCCUCCUCAUCACCCCCCUCCCUCUCCUCAUCACCCCUCCCUCCUCCUCAUCACCCCUCCCUCUCAGUCACCCUCCAUCUCCUCAUCACCCCCUCCCUCUCCCAAUCACCCCUCCCUCCCUCAUCACCCCUCCCUUUCCUCAUCACCCCUCCCUCUCCUCAUCACCCCCUCCCUCUCACAGUCACCCCCUCCCUCUCCUCAUUGGUGCUAAAUACAUAAAAAUAAAAAUAAAAACACUGCUCAGUGCUAAAGACAAAAAAUAUAUAUUUUUUACAUUUUAAGUGGAGGGGGGUGGGAGGGUGGUGUGCCAAAUAUAGGAUCCACCCCGGGUGCCAAAUGCUCCAGGUACGCCCCUGCUUGUAUCAAGGAUAAUUGUCUGCCACUUUGAUCUGUAAGUUGUANNNNNNNNNNNNNNNNNNNNNNNNNNNNNNNNNNNNNNNNNNNNNNNNNNNNNNNNNNNNNNNNNNNNNNNNNNNNNNNNNNNNNNNNNNNNNNNNNNNNCAACUCUAUGUAUGGAAAUAGAGCAAUUGAAAUCCAAACCAGGAUAAUGCUUACUCAUUCUGGUGUUAGGCUAACAUACUCAAAAUGAAACUGGUACCCAAAAGCUCAUGUCAAGCAUUUUUUGUGAAAAAUGUCUGUCGAUAUAUUUGCAAGCAUACAUGAUCACAGAUGAGACAAAGGGCCAUGUGUGCUUGAUUUUCAGAAUUUAUAUGUAUGCUCAAUUGUAGCCCACACUAACUACAGGUUCCAUUCACUAGACACUUAUACAUGCAUACAUUACAAGGAUACUGCUGGAGCCAAUCAAUAACGAACACAUGCAGAAUCCAGAGCACUUGCCCACUCAUUCAUUAAACAACCAAAUUCAAAGCUCAUAAAACAUAACUCCCCUGGUUUUCACCCCUCGCUGUUACAGGUGCCUGAUGCGGCAGCCCUAUUUAGUCUUGCACUGCUAAGAGCCCCAGGAGAAAGUGUUGCCCUAGUGAGUUAAUCUCAGAAGAGGUGGCAUUAAGUUUAUAGAAUAUGACUUGUCAAAAAUGGGAUACUUUAGUGUUAUACAAUGAUAAAAAGUAUCCAUAAAAAAAAUGUCAAAAAAGCACGUACCAUGAUAGACACACACCAUGACACAGACAGACCGUGACACAGACACAUGCACACCGUGACACAGACAGAAACACAGAUACACCAUGACACAGACACACACAUACCAUGAGAGACACACACACAUACCAUGACAGACACACACCUUGACACACACACACACACCAUAACAUAGACAGACUGUGACACAAAGACACAAACACUGUGACACAGACACACAUUACAUGACACAGACAGACACACACACCAUGACACACAGAAACACACACACCACGACACAGAGAGACCGUGACACAGACACACACACCGUGACACAGACAGACACACAUUACAUGACACAGACAGGCACACACACUCCAUGACAGACACACACACACACCAUGACACAGACAGACCGUGACACAGACAGACACACACCAUGACAGAGACACACACACACCAUGACACAGACAGACACACACAAUGACACAGACACACAUUGCAUGACACAGACAGACACACGCCAUGACACAGACAGAGACACACACACCAUGACACAGACACACACACCAUGACAGACAGACACACACACACCAUGACACAGACAGACACACCAUGACACAGACAGUCACACACACAUCACUACACAGACAGACACACACACACCAUGACAAAGACAGACACACACACACACACACCAUGACAGACAGAGACACAUACACAAUGACAGAGAGACACACACAAUGACACAGACAGACACACAUAUACCAUGACACAGACACACACACAUACACUCACACUGACACACAUAAUUUCUACCUGUGUGCUGGUGGCCGCAGGGGGAGCUCAGUCUGAUGGCAGCAGCAUGGGGGAGCUGGCGCUUCUGGAGGCCGCAGGGGGAGCUCUUUUGGCGGCUGCAGGGGGAGGGCUUUCGGCUGCCUUAGGGGGAGCUGGCUGUUCUGUCUCUGCUCCCUCGCCCCUGCGCGCAGCUUAAUGAGAACGGGGCUGGAAUAUGAUGUCAUAUUCCGGCCCCGGACUCAUUCUAGCGCGCGAGGGCGGGGGAGCAGAGACAGAACAGCCAGCUUCGUCUGUGGCCGCCGAAAGAGCUCCCCCUGCGGCCGCCAGAAGACCCAGCUGCCUGCCCGUCCCCAGGUGCCGACGCUCCACCGGGAAAUUUCCCGGUAUCCCAGUGGGCCAGUCCGGCCCUGAUUAAAGGUAAUAAGACACUUCUCUGGAAAUGACGCACAUCUAAAAGUUCAUUCUCUGCUUUCUUUUAAUUUAUUUUAAAGAUUUAGCAAUUGACUUUAGGAUUUAGUUCAUUCCAGCAUAGGAGAUCUGGCAAGGGCCACAGGGGACAAACAGAUAGCGUAGAAGCUCUUCCCUAUAUUCCAGACCCAACCUGGGUACACAUUGCAUUGGAGGAGUUGAAACAGAAACAUUGUUACUUGUCGUACAGCUCAUGGUAGUGGUUAUGGUAUGAAUAAUCUUUAGACAUUUUCCCUUUCUGUUUUUUCAAGCUAAUUUGUGUAGAAGCAGGAGUCUCUUAACACAUACAGUUGUGGCCUGGUAAAUGCAGUAAUGUAAAAUUGCACAAGUUUGUAUUCUGCGUACACUGAUCAGCCACAAACAGGUGAAGUGAAUAAAAUUGAUUAUAUUGUUACAAUGGCACCUGUCAGGGGGUGCGAUAUAUUAGACAGCAAGUGAACAGUCAGGAUUUGAUGUGUCUGAAGCAGGAAAAAUGAGCAAGCAAAAAGAUCUUAGUGAUUUUGACAAGGAACAAAUAAUGACAGCUUAAUGACUGUGUCAGAAGAUCUCCAAAACAGCAAGUCUUGUGCGGUGAUUCUGCUAUGUAGUGAUUUGUACUUACCAAAUGUGGUGCAAGGAAGGACAACCGGUGAAUAGUCGUCAGAGCCGUGGUAGCUCAAGGCUUAUAGAUGCACAUGGGGAGCAAAGGCUUGCCUGUCUGGCCCGAUCACACAGAUUAGCUACCGUAGCUCAAAUUGCAGAGAAACUUGGAAACCUCUGUAGCCACAGACUGGUCAGAGUGCCCUUGGCCUCUAUAUCCGAUUGAGUAUCUGUGGGAUGUGCUGGAACAACAAAUCCAAUCCAUGGAGGCCCCACCUCGCACAUUAUAGGACUUAAAGGAUUUGCUGCAAAUGUCUUGGUGAAACAUACCACAGGACACAUUGAGAGCGCUUGUAGAGUCCAUGUCUAGAAAUUUCAGAACUGUUUUGGCAGCACGAGGGGACCUACACAAUAUUAGGCAGGUGGUUUUAAUGUUGUGGUUGAUCAGUGUAAGUGCACAUGAAAAUUGUCCAUUUUUGUACCAUCUCUUGUAUUUUGUACCAUUUCUUGCAUUUUGUACUAAAUUGUGUUACUUUUUUAGAAUGAUUACUUUGCUGUUUGUUGUUAUCAGGAAUAUAUCUGUUUUAGUUUCUAAUUGUUUUUUAUCUUCAAUUUUCUCUUUUUCCUAUAUAAUAAUCUUUGUAUUAUACCUCCAUAGAAUAUAUGCACUGAUUGCCUUUCGCUUAAUAUGAUAGAACACACCAGUUACUACUGCACAGAAGGUGGAUUUGACUAAGAACGAGUGGUGGAAUGCAAUGGUUGUAAUGCAAAGAUGGACGCCACUAGAGUCAGAAUGAGGUUUGACUCGUGGUGGCAAUCUUUGAAUGAAAGGAGGGGAGAAUUCUUCUGAGUGGACUAAUGGGGCUUAUGGCAUAGUGAAAACAAGGCUUGAACUAUCUGUUUCUGAAAGGUGGAACACACGUUGGACCCAUUUGGCCACAGAAAGACGUGAUUAAUAAUUCAUUAUACGGAUAUAUAAACACCAAUACACAAGUGGCUUUAUUACUGAUUGAGAAAGCUUGAAUAGGUGAAACACUUUUUGGACAAGCCCCAUUUAUUGUUUUAUUGUGAUUUUAUAUUUGUAUCUUUAUUUGUCUAAUAAAUUGGAAUAUUUCUUAAUUUGGAGAUUUCCUGUAUAUCUUUGGAGUGUAACACCACCCCAAUAAAUAGGUGUCCACUUUGCAAAUACAGCCUAUAGGAAAAGGCCCUUUUACAUGUGAGUGUAUUUCAAAUUUGAUUUCUGGUCUUAAAGACAUAUUACACUAUUUCUGCACUUUUCCUGUUUUAUAUAUCAACUCCAAGGGAAUUGGAAGAAAGCCUCUCAAAGUAGGGUGGGAGUCCCCUGAUCUUAACGACUCCAUACGCUGUCAAGUUUGAGACAUUAUUAAAGCCUCCCCACUUGUGAGUUGGUAAUUCUACCAUCACCUCUAUUGGUAUUGAUCUUUAACUUUGAAUAUCAGAUUGUCUGCACUAUGAAAUUCAUAUUUUUAUUUUUUAGGUCUUUUAAUUGUCAUCAAAAACUGGAAAGUAUCAACCUCUAUCAUCUUUUUGUUUCACAUAUUGUAAAUCACUGUUUGAAUUGGACUUAAAAGUUCACUGUUUUGUUUGCAUAUGAUAUUUUCAUUGCAUUAAUUUGAAUCAGAGACUUGGUACACUUUAGACUAUACAAGUUAUCAAUGUUCCCCAGCACUUUUAGCACUAUCACUGCACAAUAUUUGCAUCACUUUGUUUUAGUCUUUUAAUACAUUUAUUGUGGUUUUUAUAAGCGCUCCACUCUCUUUCUACCACACUGACAAAACAUAAUUAAUCCAAAGAUGAUAACAGACAGAAACCUGCAGAUGAGGCUCCUUUUCUAACUUUUUUCUAUCUUUUUCAGCACUGCGCCAAACACAAAUCUAGAAGAUAAAUACAAUUAUGAAUUUAGCAACAAUUGUAGUGACCAUAUUAGUUCUACAAUCAAUAAAAAAGAAUCUUGCAAUAUUUCAAGCUGUUUGUGGUCUAAGUAAAAGAGUUAAAGGAACACUCCAAGCACCAUAACCACUACAGUAUGCAGUAGUAGUUAUGGUAUCAAGAGUGCCCUGAUGCACCCCGAUGUAAAUAGUCAAAUUGUUUGACAACUACAGAGCACUGUUUUGGUCAUGAUACUUGGAGUAGCCCUUUUAAUUCUUAGAAACACUUACAGCAUAAUAAUGCAAUACAGUAGAAACAGUGGGUUUUUCUUUAUAUUCACGCUGGGGCUCCCCCUUCUCAUCUCCUACUUUGUCAGUCAUAAAAUGAAUGUUUUGUUAUUCUUCCCACAAAAAAACAGAACUCUGAACAAUGCCUGUAUUCCCUUAGAGUUAAAAUAAUCAAGAAAUAAUUCACUAGUAAAGAAAUCCUUUUAGUUUUUACCUACAGACUUGUUACUGAAUCAGAAUAAAGUAAAACUGAGAGAGUUGUUUACUGCUGGUCUAACCUACAGCAACAGCAAGUAAAUCGCAUUCAAUUUGGUUUCUUAAUUAAGAAAUUCACUGUAAACAACUAACUAAAAACACAGGUAGAAGUCAGCACUCGGAAAGCACGUACGGAUGUAGAGUCGUGUGCUCAUGCCUUAGGCCCAUCCAAAAAUAGAAGCAAAUUUAACUUUUAGACAACAAAUAUUUCUACUUUAUAUCACAACUUUUCAAGCAGCCAGGUAUAUUUGGUGUUAGGAAUAGUUUUAUUUAGUUUAGAUAUUUAAUAGCAAGUAGUUUGAAGGUAAAUAAAAUUAAAUUGCACUUAUCCAAACUAAAUUUUCCAAGAAUCGUGACAAGUCAACAAAACAGCAAUGUUUGAAAUUCAUUGAUUAAAGGUACACUCCGAACACUAAUACAACUCUAGUGCAUUUGAUAUUUUUCUUUGCCUCAUUAAUGUGCAGUAUUUUUUGCAUGUACAAAUCUUGAUAUUAUUUGCACACAAAAAAGUUUUGCAAAAUACUACCCCAUAAGUUUUUAGAGAGUUGAAGGAAUAUGCUGCAGAGGAAUGAUUAUUGAAAUCGGCUACAAAAGGGGUGGCAUCCAAAAAUGUUGAAACACAUAUCAAGGGCAGGUAAGCAUCACUCGUGAUAGGGCUCCCUUAACAAUGGUUGUUUUGAGUGCUAGCAAUGCCACAUACAUGGAUUAAUGACAGGUGGGAACCAGGUACGCCAGGUGAAUAGCAGCCUUGACACUAAUAUUUGGAAACAUUGUAACGGUAUGGUUGAGAAAUAAUCAGUUCUAAAUUACAUUAGAACCAUAACUGCCUCGAUAUUCUGACCAAAAUUUGCAUGUACAAAUCUUUAUAUUUUUUGCACAAAAAAAAGUUUUGCAAAAUACAACCCCAUAAGUCUUUAGAUGUUAAUAUUUGGAAAUAUUGUAACCGUAUGGUUGAGAAAUAAUCAGUUCUAAAUUACAUUAGAACCAUGACUACCUCGAUAUUCUGACCAAAAUUAUGUGUAAUAUGUGAGUAUGCUAUGUGUGAACAAUAGUGUUAUGUGAUCAGUCCUAGGGGGUGGUUAGCAAACCAACUGUUACUUCUUCGACAUUCUUUGUCAAGGGAAAUGGAAUCCAGGGGACGUAUAUAUAAUAAAAUGUAGCCAGAGAAGUUACAAUCAUGUAGAUAAGCGAGAACUGUGUAGAACUGUGUAGAUUACACAGACCUUUAUUCUGUACUCGAAUUCUCUCAUUUUGCAUACAUUUGUUUCCAUGUAUUGAUCUUUACUGUAGUUAUCUCCAUUUUUUUGUUUUUUAUUAAGAGAAUUUAGAGACUGUGUUGUCCACUUCUGACCUUUAUUAUUUUGAAACUGAAUUUUCACAUAUUUGUCAGUGGCCCACAAACACAAAUUCCUCCUUUUCAAGAAAAAUGUUUGUUGAAAAAGGUCAGUUUAAACGCUAAGGUUUUAAAGGGCCUUAACAAAUAAAAUGUGGUUGGCCCAUUUGUAACACAAGGAAUGAUGUUACUAUGUUCUAAACACUAAUAAUAAAUCAUGUAUAUUUUACAUGUACAGGUUUUUUUUUUUACCAAAAUGAGAAUUGUUGGCAAUUUAUAGUGAAUUGAAAGUGAAAUUCAAAUUUCAAGCUAAAGUAGCGGAACUGGAAGCACAGCUGAUUUGGAGAAUCUUUCCAGUUCAGAUACUUUUUCCUUAAAUUUAAAAUUCACGUUGAAUUUCCAAAGAUUCGCAUUUUAGUCAAUAACCCUGUACAAAAAAACAUGUUAUAUAUAUAUAUAUAUAUAUAUAUAUACAUGACUUCUUUAUUGUAAUCUAAACUACUGUAUACUAUACAGAAAUGUUAUCACAAGUUUGCCACGUUUUCUUUUUUCAACAAUCUUCUUCAUAAGGGGCAUGCAUCUAAGGCAGUGGUUUCCAUAUCAGUCCUCAAGGCACACUGACCAGCAGGGCCGCCACCAGCUCAGCUCAGGGUCUGGGCCCCCUGGGGCCCGCCUCCAAUCCCGCCCACAGGGUCCGCCUCCAAAUCCCACCCACGGGAAUACACACACAGACACAAACACACACACUGAUACAAAAGGACACAGAUACACACACACAGAUACAUACUAACAGACACACAUACUGAAACAGACAUUAAAUUUAUAUUAUAUGACCACAAUUUAGCUAAAUGUGAGGAGGGACUAGUUACUAGCUAUUUUCUCUUAGCCAGGAUCAGACUAUGUUUACUCUUGAAUAAAAUGGAGAGCGUGUAAAAAAAAAAGGUUAAAAAAUUGAAAUCUCUUUAGUUUGGAAAUCGGCAAUUCAGAGGGGAUAUGAUAACAUUAUACAAACAUAUUCAGGGCCAGUACAAACCAUUAUCUAAAAAUCUAUUCAUAAACAGGCCUAUACAUAGGACACAAGGUCACACAUUUAGGCUGGAAGAAAGGAGAUUUCAUCUAUGGCAAAGAAAAGUUUUUUUUUUUACAGUAAGAGUAAUAAGGAUUUGUAAUUCUCUGCCUGAAGAGGUGGCUUUAUCAGAGUCCAUACAGAUGUUUAAACUGAAUUAGGAUAAAUACUUGCAAAAACAUAACAUAAGAGGAAUAUAGUUUCUAAUUAGUGGGGUAAUAGCUGCUUGAUCCAGGGAAACCAUCUGACUGCUAUUUUGGGGUCAAGAAGGAAUUUUUUCCUAGUUUGUUGCAAAAUUGGAAGUGCUACAGACUAGGUUUUUUGCCUUCUUUUGGAUCAACAGCAAAAACAUAUGUGAGGAAGGCUGAACUUGAUGGACGCAAGUCUCUUUUCAGCUAUGUAAUUACGUAACUAUGUAACUAUGUAACGAUAUGUAUAGAGGCUUAAAUAAGCAGAUUUGUGUAAAGUGAAUUUCAAAUUUAAGGGCAAAAUAAUCAAACUCAAAACAGAAUUAGCUUGGAAAAAUUUUCUAAUUUGGCUCGUUUAUCCUAAAUUUUGAAAUUCACUUUGAAUUCCAAAAAUUUUCACUUUGGUGAAUAACCCAGUCACUUUUUCCUGAAAUGGACAGAAUGGUUUUAAGGGAAAUUAUCACCUUUCUGGUAAUGGCAUAAUUGAAUGAAACAUUGAAUAUAACGUUUAAAUUGUUUAACCAUUUCCAUGUGAUGAUCUGUAUUCUUUUCAAAUGUGAAUUGAAGAUGUUGCAGGUGACAUCACAAUUCGGUUCUGUCGGGGUACAGCCAGGGUAGACAAUGGAAAUGAGAAGGAAAACGGAAGGAUUGGUACAAUUUCUCCUCUUUCACUAACCAUGUUUAAUGGCAUAAAAAAGCAGCAUUUAUAUCAAUGAUUGACAGGGAAUAAAAAUGGAGGCACCUAGUACUAGGAUGCAAAUAAAGGCAGAGGUGUGGAUUUUUACAUCUAAUUUUAUUAUUCAGACCUCAGUUAAACAUAUUUGCUAAAUGUAGAGGCUAAGUAAACAUAAUAUUAAAAAUCAUAUGAACAGAAUGCCCCUUACUACCGCAGGCCACACGUAGAGGGGGCCCAUUGGGUGGCCCAUGCUCUUAGUUCCACCUGAUGGCAAUGAGUCUGCAGGAGCCCGGACAGCGCUGCAGCGCUUUAACAGCGUAGCGGGCCUCCGGUGAUGAGGACAACACAUGGAGGACGUGCAGUCACUUCCUUUCUAGCUAAGACAGAGAGUGCCACAUGGAAGGGAGAAAGGUAGGGGGAGCGUGGACUGGUAGAGAGCCCGACUCCCAACAGCCUCAGCCAGCCACUGGACCCCAGGGAAGUCACCUUUCUGCAGCCAAAAGGAGGGUGACUAAAAAUGUAUAUUUUCCAUGAGUGUCUGUUUGUGUGUAUAUCUGUCUGUAUGUGUAUGUGUGUUUAUAUGUGUGUAUCUGUCUGUAUGUGUAUGUGUGUUUAUAUGUGUGUAUCUGUCUGUAUGUGUAUAUGCAUGUGUGUCUGUGUAUCUCUGUGUGUAUCUGGCUGUAUGUGUAUAUGCAUGUGUGUCUGUGUAUCUGUGUGUGUAUCUGGCUGUAUGUGUAUUUGCAUGUGUGUCUGUGUAUCUGUGUGUGUAUCUGCCUAUAUGUGUAUCUGUCUGUAUGUGUAUCUGUGUGUCUGUAUGUGUGUAUCUGUCUGUAUGUAUGUGUGUUUCUGUGUGUUUCUCUGUUUAUAUGUGUAUCUGUGUGUCUGUAUGUGUCUCUCUGUCUGUAUGUGUAUUAUUAUUAUUUUAUUAUUUAUAUAGUGCCAUCAUAUUCCGUAGCACUGUACAAUGGGUAUCUGUGUAUCUGUCUAUCUGUCUAUAUGUGUUUCUGUGUGUGUAUCUGUCUAUAUGUGUAAAUGUAUGUGCAUUUGCCUGUGUAUNNNNNNNNNNNNNNNNNNNNNNNNNNNNNNNNNNNNNNNNNNNNNNNNNNNNNNNNNNNNNNNNNNNNNNNNNNNNNNNNNNNNNNNNNNNNNNNNNNNNCUGCAUGUGGGUCAGUGUGUGCCCCUGUGUAUCUGUGUGUGUCUGUGUAUCUGUAUGUGUGUCAGUGUGUGUGUCUGUGCAUCUGUAUGUGUUAGUGACCCCCGGGUGACCCAUGCACUAAACAGCGCGACCAGGCCCCUUCCUGUUCGGCAGCCGGCUGGGAGGAAGUGAGUGCCGCGCGUCACUUCCUCCCACCGGAGAUCACAACCGCGCGGCAGGAGAAAGGCAGGGAGGAGGGGAGUUCCAGAGGAGAACUCCCAUCUGCCUCAGCCUGCCACUGGACCAGGGAAACCACCCUCCAGAAAAAGGUAAGAAACUGGAGGGUGGCUAAAGGUAUGUCUUUGUGUGUGUGUGUGUCUAUGUCUGUCUGUGUGCAUGUCAGUAUGUCUGUGUGUGUGUGUCAGUAUGUGUGUAUGUAUGUCUGUGAGUGUCAGUAUGUCUCUGUGUAUGUCUGUCUGUGAGUGUGUGUGUGUCAGUAUGUCUGUGUGUCACUAAGUCUGUGUGUGUGUCUAUGUCUGUCUGUGUGUGUGUAUGUCACUAUGUGUGUGUGUAUGUCAGAAUGUCUGUGUAUAUAUGUGUAUGUCUGUGUGUGUGUGUCAGUAUGUCUGUGUGUAUGUCUGUGUGUGUCUGUAUAUGUCAGUAUGCUUGUGUGUGUGUUUGUCAGUAUGUCUGUGUGUGUGUCAGUAUGUCCGUAUGUCUGUGUGUGUGUCUGUGUGUGUGUCUGUGUGUGUGUCAGUAUGUCUGUGUGUGUCAGUAUGUCUGCCUGUGUGUGUCAGUAUGUCUGUCUGUCUGUGUGUCAGUAUGUCUGUGUGUUUGUCAGUAUGUCUGCCUGUUUCUCUGUGUCAGGAUGCCUGUGUGUGUGUGUCAAUAGGUCUGUUAGUGUAUGCGUCUGUGUGUGUCAGUAUAUUUGUCAGUUUAUGUGUCUGUGUAUUCAUGAAUGUGUGUCUGUGUGUGUCAGUAUGUCUGAAUGUGUGUCAAUAUGUUUGCCAGUAUAUAUUUGUGUGUCAGUGUAUGUGUAUGUCAGUAUGUAUCUGAGAAUGUUUUAAUAUGUCUGUCUGUGUGUGUAUGUGUCAGUAUGUCUGUCAGUGUGAUUGCGGGUUGGGUGUAAUUAGGGGGUUGGGAGCCCAAGAAAAUGCAUUGCCCAGGGUCCUAAUCAUAUUAUAGACGGCCCUGUGUGUGUCUGUGUUACUGCAUUUGUCUCUGUGUAUGUAGCUGUAUGUGUGUUAUUGUGUGUAUCUGCAUAUAUGUCAGGGUGUGUGUGUGUCUGUUUAUUUGUAUGUGUGCUAGCGUGUGUCUGCAUGUUUGUCAGUGAGUGUUUCUUUGUGUCUGUAUGUGUGCCAGUGUGUAUCUGUAUAUGCACCUGUGUGUCUGUGUAUCUGUCUUUGUAUGUCUGUGUAUCUGUUUGUCUGUACCUGUGCAUAUCUGAGUUUGUGUAUGUGUGUAUCUGUAUUUGUGUCAGUGUUUGCAUUUGUAUGUGUGUCAGUGUGUAUAUUUAGUGUGGCUAAGUCUAUGUUCUAUGUGUGUGUGUUUUUUUUGUGUAUUCUUUAUGUGUGUCUUUGAGUGGAAGGCGUGUUUGCAUGCCACAAGGUGGGAGGGAGGGGACCAGGGGUCCCAAGCAAAUGCUUUCCCAGGGUUCAAUCAGCAUUAAAGACGGCCCUGACCAAUUUUAUCAUAAUAUACUUAUUGUACUAUCUGCUACAGGAGGGACAUAAUGAGGCAUGUUACAAGAAGCAAGGUCAGUAAGGUAUUUUGUUUUAUUGACACAUCUUGGGUUGGCCUUCCUUCGCCCAACUUCAACUAAAGUCAGAAAGAUCCAUAUCUCAAAUUUUAAAGAUGACUGUGCAGCACACGCUAGAAUUUUAAUCUUGGCCUGUCUGCAGUAGCUAAACUACACUGUUGCAUUUCACACUUGGUUCCUGGUUUGUUUAAUGAUUGAAUUGAAUCAAAAUUCUACAGCUGGAGAGAUCUGGCACUUGAUUGAGUAAGUAAACAGAUUCCAUAAGGUUUGAUUAACGUCUUCCAGCAAGGGCUGGCUGCUGCUGUUACAUUAUAAAGUUGCCACACUCCCAAGGGACGUGCUAAUCUAUGCUGAUCAAGUGUGCUGGGAAUCUGGUCUGUGCCUCCGCCUCAGUGUGUGGUAUUUGUUAUGGCUGUAUUGACUGUGUGUGAUAUAUGUAUGUAAUGGAUGUGAUAUUUGUUUAAUUCGAUUUAAAAACAUGCAUGUAGGCCCAUGUGUGAAUUUAGGUGUGCAUUUUUGUAGGUGUGAGAGACACUGUGAUGGAUAGAAAUGAAUGUAUGUAAAAUGUCUAUUUACUUUGUAUACCUGUGUUCAUUUAUUACUCAAAAUGGCUGCUAGAGCACCCCCUCCCAUCGACCAAGACCCUAGUGUAGUAAGAUGGCGUCUCCUUCCGGAGUUACACCUAAGAUGACGAUGAUAUCAACACCCUCUGGAGGAGGUCCAUAAAGAUUAGACACUUAACACCUAACCAAUUAAAUGUUUACUUUACUAAAACACUUCACCAAUUGAAAAGUUUACUUUCUGUAUUUGCAUAUGUUGCAUUCUUUGCCCUUUUAAGGGGCUACACCGCCCCCUGACAAUACACUUGGAAGUUUUCAUUCAACUGAACUUUUUUGUGUCGGUGGGAUUUCUUCAGCGUGCACACUUUAUUACAUUUAAGACAUUUGGACAGGGGCAGAUAUUCAAGCAAAUACUUGGUUUGGUCUAAAACAACACAAUCAGGUGCACAUAGUUAUACACAUAUACUGUCACAUACAGCCACAUGCACACCCCUUAGGACAGCUCUGUAAACACACAUGCACUUUGUCAUCCUGCUCACAGCCACAAUCAUCAGCAGUGAUGUGGAUUGUGUUACUGACAAUGCACAUAAAGGCAUUGUCUCCAGUAUCCUCCACCUCCUUUUUUUUAGUCCUGAGUUUAUACUUGUUUUAUGUGUAAUUAUUGUAACCAUGCAUAGUGCUACUGUGAUAGGUGCAGAUAGAGGUGAUGAUACACUUUGAAGGUCGGAGCAUGUCAUCAGCACACCCACGUCACUGUAAAACCUAAAUAUGUAACAAUAUUAAUAUGAACAAACAAGUCCUGCACUCUACCUCCCAUCACUCCUGGGCGGUAGCAACGACCACAGUACUCAUCAGCCCCAAUACGUACAGUAAAAACCAAAGAAAAAAGUUACCUGAGCUCUUCCCAAAUCCCUAUGCAUAUUUUAACAAAUGGAGGUUUUUUAGUUUCUCCAAUGGCCAUGAGAGAGUUUAGCCCAUCUGCCACGUCAAGGCAAACCUCUCAGUUAGGUCCUACAGUAACCUUUCACCUUGCUUCCUUGAGCUUCUGGCAAAUAUAUCUCUAAUGAGACAGAAAGGGGUAUUUUUUUUUUAUAUAUAUAUAUACACCCCUACAUGCUUAUUAACCCCUAAUAAAGAACACAUGGGAUGGGUGGCAGAAUUGUAACAUAGCUGUGUGAUACAAGGGUGAAUACAAAAAAACAAGUCCUGUGCUCAAACUCCAAUCUCUCCUGCCAGCAGCAACGACCAUAGUACACAUCAGCCCCAAUAGUACAGUAAAAACCAAAGAAAAAAGUUACCUGAGCUCUUCCCAAAUCCCUAUGCAUAUUUAAACAAAUGGAGGUAAUUUAGUUUCUCCAAUGGCCAUGAGAGAGUUUUCUCCAAUGGCCACGUCAAGGCAGACCUCUCAGGUGGGUCCUACACUAACCUUUCACCUUGCUUCCUUGAGCUUCUGGCAAAGAUAUCUCUAGUUACCUUCUUGCUGUAAUAAACAGAUUUAUAAGUAAAUAUUUGGGCAAAUUGGUUAAAUUUACACCUAUGGAGUAACUGUAUAUAGCAGGACUCAAAAUGUCAAGUACUUAUGCUACUACCCAAGCCUUAAAAAUACUUGUCACUGCACGCUUGGAGGGCCCAAGGCACACUCACCUGGGGUUAAUGUCUACUCACCAGGGCUGAAUUUUCACAUGCCAACAGCUAGUGGACUAAUGGAACAUUUUAACCCUUGUAUCAAGGAUAAUUGUCUGCCACUUUGAUCUGUAAGUUGUACAACUCUAUGUAUGGAAAUAGAGCAUUUGAAAUCCAAACCAGGAUAAUGCUUACUCAUUCUGGUGUUAGGCUAACAUACUCAAACUGAAACUGGUACCCAAAAGCUCAUGUCAAGAAUUUUGUGAAAAAUAUCUGUUGAUAUAUUUGCAAGCAUACAUGAUUGCAGAUGAGACAAAGGGCCACGGGUGCGUGAUUUUCAGUAUUUAAUAUAUGUAUGCUCAGUUGUAGCCCACACUAACUACAUGUUCCAUUCACUAGACACUUAUACAUGCAUACAUUACAAGGAUACUGCUGGAGCCAAUCAAUAACGAACACAUGCAGAAUCCAGAGCGCUUGCCCACUCAUUCAUUAAACAACCUAAUUCAAAGCUCAUAAAACAUAACUCCCCUGGUUUUCACCCCUCGCAGUUACAGGUGCCUGAUGCGGCAGCCCUAUUUAGUCUUGCACUGCUAAGAGCCCCAGGAGAAAGCAUUGCCCUAUUGAGUUAAUCUCAGAAGAGGUGGCAUUAAGUUUAUAGAAUAUGACUUGUCAAAAUGGGAUACUUUAGCGCAGGGCCGGACUGGGAAUUAAAAGCAGCCCUGGAAAAAAAAUAUUUACCAGCUCCAUAAUGCGUCGCACCAGCAUAGUGUGCAGAUACAGAGUUAGAAAAGAGAACUUAAAAUUAAAAAUUAUUACUCCAACGUAAAAAAAAAAGCACUCAUAGGCUUCAAAAUAAACAAAAGUGCAGAUUUAUUUUAAGCAGACGUGCCUUUGCAUGUAAUCAAUGUUUCAGUCCAACUACCAUAACAUAUUAACCCCUUAAGACCGGAGGGCGUACUAUUAUGCCCUAUUUUAGGCGGCUCUAAACGCCGCCGGGCGUAAUAGUACACCCUCCGGUCUUUCUUUACUUACCCGCGGCACGUCCGACCCCCUGGCAGCCCCCCUGACCAUGUGAGAGUGAGGUCCUUGCGAGGACCUCACAAUCACAUGGCCGGGUUAGCUGGCUGCUGCAUUGCCAGCAGGGGGACUGCCUGUAAUGACAGUUAGUCCCCUGCUGGCUGGAAAUAAAAUAAAAUUUAAUUAAAAUCAGUGUAAAAAAAAAAUAUAUACUUAGAUCAUAUAUAUAUAUAUAUAUAUAUAUAUAUAUAUAUAUAUAUAUAUAUAUAUAUACAUAUACAUACACACACACAUACACUGUCUAGGUGUAUUUACUAAUAUAUAUAUAUUAUUUACUACUAUAUAUAUAUAUAUUAAUAUCAAAUUACGUAGACGAUACUGAUGUAAAUAUAUUUAUAAUUAUUGUUAUAUAUUUAUAUAUAAUAUAAAAAAUUAAAAUGUAAAUAUGUUAAAAAAUAAAAUUACAAAAAAUAAUUUAAAAAAUAAUUAAAAAAAAUAUAUAAGAUGUGUGUUAUUUAAGUUUCCUACUGUAUUGUGAUAUUAUGUAUAUGUUUUAUUUCAAAAUACAUGUAGAACGAAAUAAUAUAUAUAUCUAUAUACAUAAAUAUAUACGUAUAUAUCACUAUAUAUAUAUACCUAUAUAUAAAUAAAAAUAUUUUAAAAAAAUUAUGUAUAUAUACAUAUAUAUUCACAUACGUAUAUAUAUAUAUAUAUAUAUAUAUAUAUAUAUACAUAUAUUAAUUCUACAUAUAUAUUUAUGUAAUAUUUUUAAAUAAUUAGGUAUCUUAAUUAAUUACAAUUAGCGGGACCUGCCUGACAACCCAUGCCGAAAGUAAAGGGAAUUUAAUUUGCUAGCACUAUAUUUAACCCUAUAACUUUCCGAGACACCAUAAAUCCUGUACAUGGGGGGUACUGUUCUACUCGGGAGACUUCGCUGAACACAAAUAUUAGUGUUUCAAAACAGUAAAAUGUAUUACAGCGAUGAUAUCGCCAGUAAAAGUGACGUUUUUUGCAUUUUUCACGCACAAACAGCAUUACACGGACAAUAUUAUUGCUGUGAUACUUUUUACUGUUUUGAAACACAAAUAUUUGUGUUCAGCGAAGUCUCCCGAGUACAACAGUACCCCUCAUGUACAGGUUUUAUGGUGUUUUCAAAACUUACAGCGUAACAUUAAAAUUCGCCAGAUUGGUUACAUUGCCUUUGAGACCCUAUGGUAGCCCAAGAAUGAAAAUUACCCCUAUGAUGGCAUACCAUUUGCAAUAGUAGACAACCCAAGGUAUUGCAAACGGGGUAUGUCCAGUCUUUUUUAGUAGCCACUUAGUCACAAACACUGGCCAAAAUUGGCGUUUUUUUGCAUUUUUCACAUACAAACAAAUACUGGACAUACCCUAUUUGCAAUACCUUGGGUUGUCUACUAUUGCAAAUGAUAUGCCAUUAUGGGUGUAAAUUUCAUUCGUGGGCUACUAUAAAGUCCCAAAGGCAACGUAACCAAUCUGGCAAAUUUCAAUUUCAAAUGUAACAUGCUAUAUAUGAUAUUUGACCCUGUAACUUUCCAAAACCUGUACAUAGGGGGUACUGUUUUACACGUGAGACUUUGCUGAAUACAAAUAUGUGUAUUUUAUUGCAGUAAAAGCAAACAGUAUUAUGACAUUGACCGUUAAAAUGUCAUGUAGAACUAAAAAAAUCAAAAGAAAUCUUAUUUUCUCCCAUUUGUUUCAUAUUAAAUUAUGUUUCAUAGCUAAAUAUUUGAUAUUAGAUGAAAGCCCUGUUUCCCCUGAAUAAAAUGAUAUAUAAUAAGGGUGGGUGCAUUUAAUAUGAAAGAGGUGAAUUACGGUUGGACAGACAUGUAGCGCAAAUGCCAGGGUUUGUUUUCAUUUUGUUUCGUUCACAACUUGUACAUUUGGCUCCGUCCUUAAGGGGUUAAGGAAAGCUUGGUAAUGGGACUGAAAUGGUGAAUGUAUGUAGGGCACAACUGUAAAAAAAAAUGACGUUAUCUUGUUUAUUUUGAAGUCCUGUGGGUGCGCUCUUCACUUUAAAUAUGUUAUUGUGAUGGAGUCUGCAUCUAGUAACAAGACUGGGCCAAUAUCUGCUCAUUACAUAUAGUAAAAUAAUGACAUUUAUCUGUGUAUUAUGCAUAUAUAAAUGUACAUUAAUAUAUGUGUAACUAUAAUAGAUAUAUAUAUAUAUACAUAUAUAUGUAAAACUAAUACACAUUAAUAUACAUGUCAUAUACCAGUGGUGGAUCCAGAGCCUGGUCCCAGCAGGGACACUUGUAGAUUAUUUAAAGAAAUAAUCCAUGCACAAUAACCACUACUGCUUAGUGUAGUGGUUAUGGUGCAAGGAGUGCUGGAAUCCCCUCCCAGAGUAAGUAGUCAAACCGUUUAAGAACAGUUUGACAACUUACCUGGGGUCUGCUGGGAUAUGGGGCUGUAGUAGGGUAUAGGAGCAGUGGUGCAAUGUGUGAGGGGUGCAGUGUGUGUGAAAGGUUCAGUGUAUGUGUGUGAGGGGGUGUAGUGUGUGAAUGUGUAGGGUGUGUGGGGCAAUAUGUGUAUGGGGGGGCUGUGUAUGUAUGUGUGCAGCAAUGUGUGUGUGGGGGCAGUGUGUGUGUGUGUAUGGGGCAAUGUGUGUAUGGGGGGCAGUGUGUGAAUAUGUAUGGUGUGUGUGGGGGCAGUGUGUGUAUGGGGGGCAGUGUGUGCUGCACGGUGCCUGUGGAAUGGGGAGGGAGAUUGGCUGGCAGGGGAGAGCCUCGUGGGGGGGGAAUUGCCCCGUUGCCCCCCCCCUCCGAUCCACCAGUGAUAUAUACAGCCCCUAUGUGUGUCUCUUUAUCUCCAGCCCCUCUGUGUGCCUUUUUGUCUCCACCAGUCACUCUGUAUGUUUCUUUCUCCCCCUCACUGCUCCUCUGUGUCCAUGUCUCCCCUCUCCUUUCCAGUCUCUCUAUUCCCCCUCUGCCUCUUUCUCCCCCUCCCCUUGUGCGUCUCUCUCCUUUCCCCCUCUGCCUCUUUUUCCCCCUCUGCCUCUUUCUCCCCCUACCCCUGUGCGUCUCUCUCCUUUCCCCCUCUGCCUCUUUCUCUCCCUCCCCUUGUGUGUCUCUCUCCUUUCCCCCUCUGCCUCUUUCUCCCUCUGCUUGUGUGUCUCUCUCUCCUUUCCCCUCUGCAUCUUUCUCCCCUCCCUUAUGUGUCUCUCUCCUUUCCCCUCUGCCUCUUUCUCCCCUCAUGUGUGUCUCUCUCAGCGCCUCUGUCUCUUUUUCUCCCCUCCUUGAUAGUCUCUCUCCUUUCCCCUCUGCCUCUUUCUCCCCUACCUUGAGGUAUGUCUCUCUCCUUUUCCCCUCUGUCUCUCUUUCUCCCCCUCCUUGUGUGUCUCUCUGCCCCUCUGCCUCUUUCUCCCCCUCCCUUUGUGCGUCUCUCUCCUUUCCCCCUCUGCCUCUUUCUCCCCCUCCCCUUAUGCGUCUCUCUCCUUUCCCCCUCUGCCUCUUUCUCCCCCGCCCCUUGUGUGUCUCUCUCCUUUCCCCCUCUGCCUCUUUCUCCCCCUCCCCUUGUGCAUCUCUUUCCUUUCCCCCUCUGCCUCUUUCUCCCCCUCCCCUUGUGCAUCUCUCUCCUUUCCCCUUGUGUGUGUCUCUCUCCUUUCCCCUUGUGCGUCUCUCUCCUUUCCCCUCUAUCUAUUUUUCCCCCCUCCUUGGCAAUUGCCUCUCUCCUUUCCCCUCUGUCUCUUUCUCCCCUCCUUGUUGUGUCUCAUAUAUUUUCCCUCUCUGUCUCUUUCUCCCCCUCCUUGUGUGUCUCACUCUUCCCCCUCUGUCUCUUUCUCUCUCUUUUCCCUGUGUCUAUUCCCCCUCUGUUUUACUUUCCCCCUCCCCUUGUGUCUCUGUAUUCCUGUCUUCCCCCUCCCAUUUACCUGAGAGGAGUCAGGGGAACCGGCCGCAUUCCACGCUGGAGCCGCCGGGCCGGGAGGCAGUCUCGCCAGUCCGGCGGCACUCCUGUCACUGAUGGCUGAGGAGUGAAGAUGAAGGAGGAGGGAGGAGCAUGUGUCUGUACCAUGCUCCCUCGCGGUUCCUGUGCUGGGGAUUGUGGGAACCGCGACAAAGUGAAUAAAAUUGAUUAUAUUGUUACAAUGGCACCUGUCAGGGGGUGCGAUAUAUUAGACAGCAAGUGAACAGUCAGGAUUUGAUGUGUCUGAAGCAGCAAAAAUGAGCAAACAAAAAGAUCUUAGUAAUUUUGACAAGGAACAAAUAAUGACAGCUUAAUGACUGUGUCAGAAGAUCUCCAAAACAGCAAGACUUGUGGGGUGAUUCUGCUAUUUAGUGAUUUGUACCUACCAAAUGUGGUGCAAGGAAGGACAACCGGUGAACAGUCGUCAGAGUCGUGGUAGCUCAAGGCUUAUUGAUGCACAUGGGGAGCGAAGGCUUGCCUGUCUGGCCCGAUCACACAGAAGAGCUACCGUAGCUCAAAUUGCAGAAAAACUUGGAAAACUCUGUAGCCACAGACUGGUCAGAGUGUCCUUGGCCUUUAAAUCCGAUUGAGCAUCUGUGGGAUGUGCUGGAACAACAAAUCCAAUCCAUGGAGGCCCCACCUCGCACAUUAUAGGACUUAAAGGAUUUGCUGCAAAUGUCUUGGUGAAACAUACCACAGGACACAUUCAGAGGGCUUGUAGAGUCCAUGUCUUGAAAUUUCAGAACUGUUUUGGCAGCACGAAGGGACCUACACAAUAUUAGGCAAUGUGGUUUUAAUGUUGUGGUUGAUCAGUGUAAGUGCACAUGAAAAUUGUCAAUUUUUUACCAUCUCUAUUUUUUUCCAUUUCUUGCAUUUUGUACUAAAUUGUGUUACUUUUUUAGAAUGAUUACUUUGUUGUUUGUUGUUAUAAGGAAUAUAUCUGUUUUAGUUUCUAAUUUUUUUUAUCUUCAAUUUUCUCUUUUUCCGAUAUAAUAAUCUUUGUAUUAUACCUCCAUAGAAUAUAUGCACUGAUUGCCCUUCUCUUAAUAUGAUAGAACACACCAGUUACUACUGCACAGAAGGUGGAUUUGACUAAGAACGAGUGGUGGAAUGCAAUGGUUGUAAUGCAAAGAUGGACGCCACUAGAGUCAGAAUGAGGUUUGACUCGUGGAGGCAAUCUUUGAAUGAAAGGAGGAGAGAAUUCUGCUGAGUGGACUAAUGGGGCUUAUGGCAUAGUGAAAACAAGGCUUGAACUAUCUGUUUCUGAAAGGUGGAACACACGUCGGACCCAUUUGGCCACAGAAAGACGUGAUUAAUAAUUCAUUAUACGGAUAUAUAAACACCAAUACACAAGUGGCUUUAUUACUGAUUGAGAAAGCCUGAAUAGGUGAAACACUUUUUGGACAAGCCCCAUUUAUUGUUUUAUUGUGAUUUUAUAUUUUUAUCUUUAUUUGUCUAAUAAAUUGGAAUAUUCCUUAAUUUGGAGAUUUCCUGUAUAUCUUUGGAGGGUAACACCACCCCAAUAAAUAGGUGUCCACUUUGCAAUUACAGCCUAUAGGAAAAGGCCUUUUUACAUGUGAGUGUAUUUCAAAUUUGAUUUCUGGUCUUAAAGACAUAUUACACUAUGUCUGCACUUUUCCUGUUUUAUAUAUCAACUCCAAAGGAAUUGGAAGAAAGCCUCUCAAAGUAGGAUGGGAGUGCCCUGAUCUUAAAGACUCAAUAUGCUGUCACGAUUGAGACAUUAUUAAAGCCUCCCCACUUGUGAGUUGGUAAUUCUGCCAUCACCUCUAUUGGUAUUGAUCUUUAACUUUGAAUAUCAGAUUGUCUGCACUAUGAAAUUCAUAUUUGUAUUUUUUAGGUCUUUUAAUUGUCAUCAAAAACUGGAAAGUAUCAACCUCUAUCAUCUUUUUGUUUCACAUAUUGUAAAGCACUGUUUGAAUUGGACUUGAAAAGUUCAUUGUUUUGUUUGCAUAUGAUAUUUUCAUUGCAUUAAUUUGAAUCAGAGGCCUGGUACACUUUAGACUAUACAAGUUAUCAAUGUUCCCCAGCACUUUUAGCACUAUCACUGCACAAUAUUUGUAUCACUUCGUUUUAGACUUUUGAAACAUUUAUUGUGUUUUUUUUUUAAAUAUCUUUUUAUUGAGAUUUUUUCACAUUUUUGAAAGAAAGGAUGAAAUGCGGAGAAACGCGCAGGUUUCAGGUAAACAGUAUAACAAUUUGUCAAUCGAGAUUCGCAGAUCUCCUGAGUAACAAUUGAGGGAGAGACAUGCAGGUCUCAAGCCAAACUAAGUGUUCAUCGUAUAUCAUGAAUAUGUAUUGCAUUGAUUCAUAUUAACAAGUGAAUUGCCCUCCUAUCUUGGCCUGUCUAUGUGCUGCUAAUGUGUAUUUCCCUGUCGUUGUCUACUCCCGUGAGUUGAUGUUCCCGUGUUGCGGUCUGCCUAGUGUGGGCAUGCUGAUAUUCUUGCUGCUGUUGCUGAAGUUCGAUCGUUUCAAGGUAGCUGUGAGGGGUACUCGUGUUUCUUUGCCUGACUUGACGCAGGUUUCGUUUGGUAUAGAUUUAGGCCGUGGUGUAGGCAGUUUUUGUGUGGUGGUCAUGAGUGUGUAUCUUGUAAAUAUAGUUUUAUGAUAUUUUGCAGGAAUCAUAACAACGGUUAAUAGCAUUAAACAUUCGUAAAGAUGAGACUCGUUGGUCCCUCAAAGGGUGUUCUAAACUUAGGCACGCAGGCCCCUUCUCCUUUCUGAGAAAUAUAUGUAGCAGACUCGCAGGUCUCUUGUUCUUGUGUCUCAUUGUAUCUCUGCGGGACGCGCAUGUCCCUGCUAGUCGCUAAAACAUACAUUUUGUAAAUAGAUAUCAAAUAGCCAGGUAAUAUCACUCCAUUAGGUCUCUUAGUAACCAUAAAUAAAAUAGAUGAACAGUAUUGAACAUUUCGGAGCGUGUGUUUGGGCAAGACUCGCAGGUCCUUCAGUAGGUUUAGUGUGUGGAGGCGCGCAGGCCUCUAUCAGUCCUAGUUGAGCAUUUUGCUAGACUCGCAGGUCUCAAGUGAUUAGAGUGCAUUGUGUCAUCAUGGGACAUUUAAGUCCCGGUUUUUCGGUCUUAGGGUCAUUGUAUAUGCCUGUGUCGAUUAGUAAGUUGGGAGUCGUUAUGCCCGCAUUCGGUGUGAGUGGUCGAGGUUGUGCUGAGGUUCGUGUGAGGCAUCGCUUUUAUUCUGUCGAGUGUCUGUCAUGGGUGAUUGGGGUGGGAUGUAUUCCUAAGGGGUCUGUCUGUUUGGGUGCUUAGUCGGGUGUUGCCUUCUGGCGUAUUUCACGUAGGGGUUCUUUGUGGUCUCCCUUUGCCUCUAGGAGUCAGGGGUCUCUAGGGUUGACCUGUCUCCCCGAGUGCGUCUGUGAAUUUGUCCCCUGUCGUUGUCACUAUCCAGUGUGUCCAGAUGUCCAGGUAUUGUUGUGCCCUAUCCGGGGUUUUCAUGUUUAUGUCUUGCGUUGCCCUAAGGUCUUCCAUUUGUGCAAACCAUUCCUGUGCCUCUGUGUUCCUCCAGUGUUGGGGAAUGAGUUGUUUUGCUAUAUUUAGUAUCCAUUUAGUUAGUGAUCUUUUGUAUUUGUUGCUAGGUACGGUAGUGUGGUGUAGGAGCAUUGCUGAUGGGUCAAAAGGUGGUGGUUGGUCUGAGAAUGUCUGUAGCAUUAUAUAUCCCUUGCCAGAAGGUUUCUACCACCAGAUGUGUAUGUGUGUCCAUGUCCCAUUCCCGCAUCUCCAGCAUUGUGUGGAUUGAUCUGGGUGCAUGUUGUGUAAGAUGUCCGGAGUGCGGUACCAUUAUGUGAGUAGUUUAUAUGCGGUCUCCUGGUGUCUGCUAAAGGCAGCGCAGUGGUGUGUUAAUGUGCAUACUUUGUCCUAUUCCCUGUCGCUAAGUUUUUGGUGCAAGGCCGUUUCCCAUUUCCCCUUAAACCUAGGUGUCUCUACUGGGAUCUGUUUUUGUAGUGAGCCAUAUAAUAUGGAUAUCCCGUGUGGGAGUGGUUCCGGGUCGAGACAUAGUUGCUCAGACUCCAUGGGGGUACGUCGUAGAGCCCUUCCCUGAGGUAGAGUCUGAAGAUAGCUCGUCAGUUGUGUGUAUGUGAACUUCUGUAGAUCUGUGAGGGUCUUCCGACCCGUCGGUGUGUGGAUGUGGUGGAGCCUAGGUAACAGGUUUGGGACAAUGCUUCUGAGUGCUAGUGGGUCGAGUCCAGGUGGGAAAUCCGUGUUAUGCGUCAGGGGGAGUAGAGGUGACGGAUAUGGGGUAAGGCCGGCUCUGUCUGCUAUACCGUGCCAUACUUGUAGGGUGUUCUCCACGUAUAUGGGUGCCUUUUUCCAUCUCCCUCUUGGUAACCACGAGGCAAGCGCUGUAGGGAUCCCCAGCUCUGCCUCCUCCACUGUUUUCCAUUGUUUGUGGACAUUGAGUUUCGACCAUUCCAGUAUUCUAAGGAGGUGGCAUGCUACAUAGUAGAGGUGGAAAUUUGGCAGUGCCAUGCCUCCCUGCUCUCUGGGUUGUGUGAGUUGUGAAAAUUUAAGCCUGGGCCGCUUCCCUUUCCAGACCUAUUCUCUCAAGAUCUGAUGUAGGGUUCCGAAAUAUGUCCUAGGGAUUCGUAUGGGUAUUGUCUGCAUCAAAUAUAACAGCCGUGGUAAAAAGUUCAUUUUUAUGACCUGGACACGGCCGAACCAGGAGAUGUGGGGGUAUGACCAUUCCCCCGCAUCCCUUCUGAAGGUGGACAGCAUCUGGGCAAAGUUGUCUUUAAAGAGGUCUGAGCUAUUUCUGGUAAGCCAAAUGCCCAGGUACCUGAUUUUAGAAUCUGCCCAUUGGAACGAGAAUCUCUGAUGGAGCGGUGGUUCCCGGUGUUGGGGUAUUGAUAUGUUAGGUAUAUACGACUUAACAAAGUUUAUUUUUAUAUUUGAUAUCUCUCCAUAUUCCCUAAAGACCUUAAUUAUGUUCGGGAGUGAGAUUUCGGGCUUCGAGACAAAAAAGAGAAGGUCGUCGGGGUAUGCCCCCACCUUGUGUUGUAUGUUGCCUUUUUCUAUCCGUGUGAUGUCCUGGUUAUUUCUAAUUGCUUGUAAAAAUGGCUCUAAAGCGAAAACAAAAAGAAUUGGCGACAAGGGACAUCCCUGGCGGGUGCCGUUUUGAAUUAUGAAGUCUUCUGUAAGUGCUCCAUUUACAAUUAUUUGGGCUCUGGGUUGUCUAUAUAUUGCCUCUAUCCAGCCUCGCAUGUGUGUCCCCAUGCCAAGGUGUGUGAGGGCCUGGAACAUGUAUGUCCACCCGAUCCUGUCGAAGGCCUUCUCCGCGUCCGUGGAUAGCAGGAGAAGGCCCCCGACCCCCGCCGGCUCCCCAUGGGCUAUCGACAGUGCUCUGAUUUUAUUGUCCCUAGCCUCCCGCCCCAUCACGAACCCCACCUGGUCUGGGUGCACCAGGGUUGGAAUGUGCGGCUGUAGGCCGGCCGCCAGUAUUUUCGUUAGCAACUUCCAGGCCCUGUUUAUAAGGGAUAUGGGUCUGUAGUUGUUACAGUAGUCUCCGUACUUCCCUUCUUUUAGGAUGAGCGUGAUAUGUGCCAUAAGGGACUGCGUGGGCAGGUGGUGCCCUUCCCUAAGCGUGUUGAAGGAGGCUAGCAUUGGCGCGUAUAGGGUCUCUGCAAAGCUCUUGUAGUAGCGUAAUGGGAAACCAUCUGGGCCUGGGCUUUAACUGCCAUCGCUAUUUCUUCAACAGCGAUGGGCUCCUCCAGCACUUCUGCUACAUCUCGUUCUAUGUGUUUGUGCAUGUUGGUUUGGAGGAAAUUAUUUAUCCGGGUCCUGAGGUUGGCUUGCGAUUGUGCAUCUCGCGGGCUUGGUAGAGAGUAGAGGUCUCUGUAGUAAGAGCGUAUGACUUCUUGUAUUUUGGUGGGGAGGCGAUGUACUAUCCCAUUUCUAUCUCGGAUUCUUUCUAUAUAUGUCUGCUGUCUACACUUGGCCAACAUUCUCGCUAGGAGUUUUCCCACUUUUGUUGCUGUGUGCCUCAAAGAAUGCUUUAUGUCGUGCUGCUUCUCUAUGGUGUCUGGCAUGCAGGAGUGUAGUCAGUUCCCUUCUCAACUGGAGUAGCUUAGCCUGAUGUAUGGGGAGUCCAUCCCUUUUGUUAGAUUCAUCUAUUGUCUGUAUUGCUUGUAUAAGCGCCGUAAUGCACGCUUCUCUUUGUCGCUUUAGCCAGGUCCCUUUUGUAUAAGGUGGCCCCUUAUCACGCACUUAUGUGCCUCACAUAUGUAUGUGAGUGAGGUCUGGUCUGGUGUGUUAGUUGUGAAGUAAUCUUUCAGUGUCUUAUCUGUCUCCGUCAGGAUGUCCGGUAGGGACAGCAUGUAUUCUUUCAAUCUCCACUUGGAGACCCUGGGUCUAUAUAGCGGUGAGGAGAGAGUAAGUGUUACCGGCGCGUGGUCUGACCACGUCACUGUUCCCUGCUCUGCUGUUUUUACCAUGGUUAGGUGAUGGUGCAUCGUGAAGAAAUAGUCUAGUCGUGAGUAUGUGUUGUAUGGUUGGGACAGGAACGUGUAGUUCCUUUCAUCUGGGUGGUGUGCCCUCCAGCAAUCUAUCAAUUGUGAGCCUUUUAAUAAGGCUUUUAUCAGGGUUAGGUGCUGUGUCGGGACCUUGGAUGGACGAGUCCCAUUUGGGGUCCAUGGUUAUGUUAAAGUCCCCCCUAAGAGCAGGAUGUGUUUCCUGGAUGUGUAUCACGUCUAACCUAGAUUUGUGGAACUCUCUCAGGGCGCUCAAACGUUUCUCAGGUUUGUUUAGACCCCUUGCGUUUAAAGUGGUGAUGAGUAGAUCUGCUUGGCGUAGUGACAUGGUGUCAGUUCUCUUGGGAGACCUCAGGGUGUCAGGCUAGGAGUAGGAAAUUUAAGGGAAAGGGAGGUAUAGGUAGUCCGUCGGUAGUGAACCAGCGUCUGUCUGAUCACUGUAUAGGUGUGGAUGUCCAGGGAGGGGCUAGUCACCCUCCCACCAGGAGUUUAAGGUGACUCCCUGCCCGGGAUUGUAUGCCCCGUCCUCUCCGGGGUCGAAGGAGGUCGCGAGCCUCUAAACUGCGCUCGCGAGUUUGAGGUCUGUUGUGGCACCAGUCCUCUAGAUACUAGGUAACUCUUCCUGUGUCGUCCUCUAGUGGCUCGUUAUGUGUGUCAGUAGUCUAGAUGUACCUCGCCGUAUAAAACUUAGCCAUAGGGCCAUUUAGUCUCGUUGCAUGUCAAAUCUUUAGUAGUUCAGGACGUAUGAACAUGUGAGGGUAUACAUUUUAAACAGUUUAACAUUUAAACCUUCGUGUGGGUAAACAAGCCUUACAUUUAAGCCUUCUCUCGGUCAAGCAUGAUGGACCCUUUAUCCCUGCGGGACCCGUUCCCCCCCUCCGCCUCAGCUGUUCCAUGUCAUAUGCGUUUUCAAUUAUGGCCCAAGUCCCCUCCCAGUCCCUCCCCCCCUCAAGGGACUGGGUCCCCCCACCCGAGCCGGGGGGACCCCCCCGCGCGCUCUCCUACACGGGUCAUCACGCCCCGGGGGGAAGGACGCCCCCGACCCGGCCUAGCCAGGGCAUAGACCCCCACUCUCACCCCAGCAUCCCCCCUUCCUCCCACAGCCCCGGCCCCCCCUGUCUCGGCCAUGCGGUGAGUACAGUCCCGGCUGCCGGGGGAGGCAGCCCCGCCAUGACAAGGCCUUCUCAUCCUCCCAGUGGAGCAGCACGUCCCAGCCCCCAGGGUGCAAGUAUGGAUCCUUGUAAGUGGGUGCAUGGCCCUGCGGUAAGCCAGCGUCGCUGGGGAGAGGUCCGGGAAUAGCAGAAUCAGUGCCCCGUUCAAGAUUAUCCGAUCCAUCUCUCUGGCCCUUUGUAAGAUCUCUUCCUUGAAUUGGUAACUGGCCAGGCAACACAUAAUGUCCCUUGGGGGUCUUCUGGAGUCCCCUUAGGGCGCAGAGCUCGGUGUGCCCUGAUGAAGUCUAUGGUGGAAGCCUCCGGUCUGCCUAGUAUUUUGUUGAAGAGGCCGGUCAGGAUCUCUUUCACGGAUUCGGAGUUAGUUGUGCUCUCGGGGAUUCCCCUUACUCUGACAUUUUGUCUUCUGCUUCUGUUUGUCGAGGUCUUCUAUAUGGUAGGCCAUCUGUCGGAGUUGGUCUGACUGUUAUGACUGUUAUGGCAUCCGAGUUUGCCGUCUGCACUGACUGCACGUGGUCGUGUCCGCCUCCAACUGUGACACUUUGUGGUUGAGGCCUUGCAGGUCCUCUCUCAUUGCGUGCAGUUCCUCUGUGAUGGAUUUUUGCAGGGCUCUAUUGGCCUCUCUUAGGUCCGAUCUCGUCGGUAGGUUGUUGAGCAUUUUCAGCCAUUCCGGAGGUGUCUCUGUUGCACCAUGCAGUUCAGGCUCCCCUCUCCAGGUAGGUGUUGGUGUAAAUUCGGCAGCCUCUGAAUCGUUGGAGGCUUUGGAUGUGAGGUCGGUCGGCGUGGUUAGGUAUUGCCUAAUUGACGGGGCUGGGGACCCCCUCGGGGUAUCCACAGACUUGGCGGCUUGUGUUGUCCUGUGUGAUUUCCCCGUUUCUGGAUCUGACACGCAGCUCAGCGAGGAAUAGAACAGAGCCAGCGAGGAGCUCCCUGUCUAUGCUGCCAUUUUGCUUGGCGUCCAGGCCACACACCCUUAUUGUGGUUUUUAUAAGCGCUCCACUCUCUUUCUACCACACUGACAAAACAUAACUAAUCCAAAGAUGAUAACAGAAAGAAACCUGCAGAUGAGGCUCCAUUUCUAAAAUUUUUUCUAUCUUUUUCAGCACUGCGCUAAACACAAAUCUAGAAGAUAGAUACAAUUAUGAAUUUAGCAGCAAUUGUAGUGACCAUAUUAGUUCUACAAUCAAUAGAAGCGAAUCUUGCAAUAUUUCAAGCUGUUUGUGGUCUUAGUCAACACACUACAGUGUGCUGUAGUAGUUAUGGUAUCAAGAGUGCCCUGAUGCACCCCGAUGUAAAUAGUCAAAUGGUUUGACAACUACAGAGUACUGUUUUGGUCAUGAUACUUGGAGUAGCCCUUUUAAUUCUUAGAAACACUUACAGCAUAAUAUUGCAAUACAGUAGGAACAGUGGGUUUUUCUUUAUAUACACACUGGGGCUCCCCCUUCUCAUCUCCUACUUUGUCAGACAUAAAAUGUAUGUUUUGUUAUUCUAAAUAAACCAGAGUUCACUUUAAUUGUUUAGGAUAUUCAAAUCUGUUCUGUUUACAUUUCAUAUAGUUUUACUUUAUUUUUAUCCAUGUCUCACUCCAAAUGUUUAAAUAUAAUCUAAAUGUCAUGACAUCAGCAUCUGUUCCCACAAAAAACAGAACUCUGAACAAUGCCUGUAUUCCCUUAGGGUUAAAAUAAUCAAGAAAUAAUUCACUAGUAAAGAAAUCCUUUUAGUUUUUACCUACAGACUUGUUACUGAAUCAGAAUAAAGUAAAACUGAGAGAGUUGUUUACUGCUGGUCUAACCUACAGAAACAGUAAGUAAAUCUCAUUCAAUUUGGUUUCUCAAUUAAGAAAUUCACUGUAAACAACUAACUAAAACACAGGUAGAAGUCAGCACUCGGAAAAGCACGUCCGGAUGUAGAGUCGUGUGCUCAUGCCUUAGGCCCAUCCAAAAAUAGAAGCAAAUUUAACUUUUAGACAACAAAUAUGUCUACUUUAUAUCACAACUUUUCAAGCAGCCAGGUAUAUUUGGUGUUAGGAAUAGUUUUAUUUUGUUUAGAUAUUUAAUAGCAAGUAGUUUGAAGAUAAAUAAAACCAAAUUGCACUUAUCCAAACUAAAUUUUCCAAGAAUCUUGACAAGUCAACAAAACAGCAAUGUUUGAAAUUCAUUGAUUAAAGGUACACUCCGAACACUAAUACAACUCUAGUGAAUUUGAUAUUUUUCUUUGCCUCGUUAAUGUGCAGUAUUUUUUGCAUGUACAAAUUUUUAUAUUUUUUGCACAAAAAAAAUGUUUUGCAAAAUACUACCCCAUAAGUCUUUAGAUAAUUUUUAGAGAGUUGAAGGAAUUUGCUGCAGAGGAAUGAUUAUUGAAAUCGACUACAAAAGGGGUGGCAUCCAAAAAUGUUACAUUUGUCUUGCAGCCCUGACCCAUAGAGGUGACACAAGGUGAGAGUUGAGACUAUGGGCACUGUAUAAUGGAAUGCAUACUGAGAAGCUGAGAGUAUGAUGAAAUACAUUACUGGUUGCCAGAACUUUGAAGUUGAAACACACAUCAAGGACAGGUAAGCAUCACUAGUGGUUGUUUUGAGUGCUAGCAAUGCCACAUACAUGGACUAAUGACAGGUGGGAACCAGGUACGCCAGGUGAAUAGCAGCCUUGACACUAAUAUUUGGAAAUAUUGUAACGGUAUGGUUGAGAAAUAAUCAGGUCUGUAUUACAUUAGAACCAUGACUGCCUCGAUAAUGUAUCUUUUUCUGACCAAAAUUAUGUGUAAUAUGUGAGCAUGCUAUGUGUGAACAAUAGUGUUAUGUGAUCAGUCCUAGGGGGGUGGUUAACAAACCAACUGUUACUUCUUCAACAUUCUUUGUCAAGGGAAAUGGAAUCCAGAGGACAUAUAUAUAAUAAAAUGUAUCCAGAGAAGUUACAAUCAUGUAGAUAAGCGAGAACUGUGUAGAACUGUGUAGACUGCACCGACCUUUAUUCUCUCCUCUAAUUCUCUCAUUUUGCAUACAUUUGUUUCCAUUUAUUGUUCUUUACUGUAGUUAUCUAUAAUUUUUUUAAAUAAUUUUUUUUUGUUUUUAUUAAGAGAAUUUAGAGACUGUGCUGUCCACGUCUGACCUUUAUUAUUUUGAUACUGGAUUUUCACAUAUUUGUCAGUGGCCCACAAACACAAAUUCCUCCUUUUCAAGAAAAAUGUUUGUUGAAAAAGGUCAGUUUAAACGCCAAGGUUUUAAAGGGCCUUAACAAAUAAAAUGUGGUUGGCCCAUUUGUAACACAAGGAAUGAUGUUACUAUGUUCUAAACACUAAUAAUAAAUCAUGUAUAUUUUACAGGUUUUUUUUUUUUUUUACAAAAAUAAGCAUUGUUGGCAAUUUAAAGUGAAUUGAAAGUGAAAUUCAAAUUUAAAGCUAAAGUAGCGGAACUGGAAGCACAGCUGAUUUGGAGAAUCUUUCCAGUUCAGAUACUUUGUCCUUAAAUUUAAAAUUCACUUAGAAUUUCCAAAGAUUCACAUUUUAGUCAAUAACCCUGUACAAAAACCAUUAUAUAUAUAUAUAUAUAUAUAUAUUUACAUGACUUCUUUAUUGUAAUCUAAACUACUGUAUACUAUACAGAAAUGUUAUCACAAUUUUGCCACGUUUUCUUUUUUCAACAAUCCUUCUUCAUAAGGGGGAAGGAAUCUAAGGCAGUGGUUUCCAUAUCAGUCCUCAAGGCACACUGACCAGCAGGGCCGCCACCAGAAAUUUUGGGGCCCCUAACUCAGCUCAGGGUCUGGGCCCCUUGGGGCCCACCUCCAAUCCCGCCCACAGGGUCCGCCUCCAAAUCCCACCCACAGGAAUACACACAGAGACACAAACACACACACUGUUACAAAAGGACACAGAUACACACACACACAGAUACAUACUAACAGACACACAUACUGAAACAGACAUACACACAUAUAGGCAUACAUACUGACACACACAUACUGAGACAUACACACUGUGAUGGACCGCUUGCACUCCGACUGAGUUCCUAUGCCAAUCGAUGCUCCUAGCGCUUGCCGAGGACUCCGAGCACUCCAACCGACACCAUCAGCACUGCGGACCCCACUUCCAGCGAUGCAGCUGCGCCGGGGUCUCGCCGUCUCUCACCCACCCUGGAUCCACGACCGGGAUCCAGCUUCCAGUGGGUGAACCUCUCCUAAAUCCAGAGAGCAGGAACCAGGAACAAAACAAGCUCUUGCAAAAGCUGACUCUGGGGAGUAUGUGAUUAUAGCAAUCCCCCGAGUGUAGUUAUCCCUUCCCCCAAGCAUUAGCCAAGGCUUCAAGAAAAGUGCAAGUAGGUCUGGUUAAUUGAGGGCUACCUGCCAGGUAUUUAUGCACGUGUCCACCAGGUGGACACUCCCCUAGGGGACCUGAUGGAACAAUGGGACACAUAUUGGAUAUUAGCCAAUCACAGACAAUACAAACAAAACACUCCCACAGUGACAUCACAAUCCCUCCUCUCUAUCCUGGAGAUAAUUGGGAAGUAAUCAAAUUAUCUCCCAGGACAGAGGCAAGAAUCCAUUAACCACAUGGUUACAAAAAGACAUUUGUAAAAGAUGUGUAAUCUAACAAAGAACAUACACCUUGACCAUUCUACAUAAAACAUAUACAUGCAACAUAUCCCCAGAUAGCUUAGAUCUGAGUGCACAUUAUUACCGAAUGGCGCUCAGAUAACAUACAUACAGUUCAAUCACCAUGGAGCCAAUGUCUUUUCCAUAGUAUUUUGUUACACGAAUAGGCUCCAUGGCAUAGCUAUCUGGGUUAGCACUACUCACAUACUGAAGGUCCCGAACGCCCCGGCAGAAAUACACAAAUAAACAUUUCUGCAGGGUAAAAUACAGCUAUCAGCACUGGGGCCAUAGUCAGAAUGCAGGAGGCUAGCCAGUAGUCCCCUUCAGGCACAAGUGGCGAAGGGCACUUCGUCACAAACACAUAUACAGACACACAGGCAUACACAGUGACAGACAGACACAUACAUACAGACACACAUGCAUGGGGACAUACAGACACAUACCUACAUACACACUGACAUACAAAUAGACACGACAUACAUACACACAGACAUGCAUUAUUUGUGCUGAAAAACCCCCACUCGACUUAUACUCGAGUCAGUGUCUGUAUUAUGGCAACUUACAUUGCCAUAAUACAGAGCAGGACUGCCGGUGGUCCUGUUGGGGGCUGGCAGAUAGCUUUUACUUACCUUCCUGCAGCUCCUGUCAGCUCCCUUCUCCUCCACUGUAAGUCUUGCGGUGUGACUGCCGCGCGGAGCGUUGCCACGGUAACCAAUUCUCUGACCCCGCGGCUCUCGCGAGACUUACAGUCGAGCUGACCAGACCAGAGGAAAAGGGAGCUGACAGGAGCUGCAGGAAAGGUAAGUAACAGCUCUCUGCCAGCCCCCCUCCUACACAGCCCAUCCACCGGACCACCAGGGAAUGAGAGCCCCCCUCCCUGGCCAGCUAACAAGCAGGGAGGGCGGGACGAAAAUAAAAAUUAAAUAAUAAAAAAAUAAUAUUACAAUAAAAAAAUGUAAAUAUUAAAAUUAAAAAAGUAAAUAAUAAAAUAAAAAAAUAAUACUAAAAUAAAAAAAUAAUACUAAAAUAAAAAAAUUAAAAUAUUAAAAUUAAAAAAUUAAAAAUAAUAAAAAUGCCCUCCCCCACCCAGUUCACACACAAACACACACUCAUACAAACACACCCUCUGCAUUGUAUACACACACACACUGCAUUAUAUACACACACACACUGCAUUAUAUACACACUCAUACAAACACACGCUCUGCAUUAUACACACACUCAUACAAACACACUCUGCAUUAUAUACACACACUCUGCAUUCACACAAACACACACACUCUGCAUUAUAUAAUGCAGAGUGUGUGUUUGUAUGAGUGUGUGUGUAUAAUGCAGAUUGUUCGUAUGAGUGUGUAUGUAUAAUGCAGAGUGUGUGUUUGUAUGAGUGUGUGUGUGUAUAUAAUGCAGUGUGUUUUUGUAUGAGUGUGUGUGUAUAAUGCAGAUUGUUUGUAUGUGUGUGUGUAUAAUGCAGAGUGUGUGUUUGCAUGAGUGUGUGUGUGUGUGUGUAUAUAAUGCAGUGUGUUUUUGAAUGAGUGUGUGUGUAUAAUGCAGAUUGUUUGUAUGAGUGUGUGUGUGUGUGUAUAAUGCAGAGUGUGUGUAUGAGUGUGUGUGUAUAAUGCAGAGUGUGUGUAUGAGUGUGUGUGUGUGUGUGUAUAAUGCAGAGUGUGUGUAUGUAUAAUACAGAGUGUGUGUAAGUGUGUGUAUAAUGCAGAGUGUGUGUGAGUGUGUGUGUAUAAAGCAAAGUGUGUAUGAGUGUGUGUAUAAUGCAGAGUGUAUGAGUGUGUGUGUGUAUAGUAUGUGUGUGUGUGUGUGUGUGUAAUGCAGAAUGUAUGAGUGUGUGUGUAUAAUGCAGAGUGUGUGUUUGUAUAAGUGUGUGUAUAUAUAAUGCAGUUUGUACAAGUGUGUGUGUAUAUAAUUAUAAAAAUCACAGAAUUUCAUAGCCCCAAGUUUUACCCUCGACUUAUCCACAAGGCAUAGCAUAGUUCACAAUUGUUGGUCACAAAACUGCCCUCGACUUUUACAUGAGAUCGACUUAUACACGAGUAUAUACGGUAGCUCAAAACAGAACUCAAAUUCACUUUGAAUUCCAAAAAUGUUCACUUUGGUGAAUAACCCAGUCACUUUUCCCUGAAACGGCCAGAAUGGUUUUAAGGGGAAUUAUCACCUUUCUGGUAAUGGCAUAAUUGAAUGAAACAUUGAAUAUAACGUUUAAAUUGUUUAACCAUUUCCAUGUGAGGAUCUGUAUUCUUUUCAAAUGUAAAUUGAAGAUGUUGCAGGUGACAUCACAAUUCGGUUCUGUCGGGGCACAGCCAGGGUAGACAAUGGAAAUGAGGAGGAAAACAAAAGGAUUGGUACAAUUUCUCCUCUUUCACUAACCAUGUUUAAUGGCAGAAAAAAGCAGCAUUUAUAUCAAUGAUUGACAGGGAAUAAAAAUGGAGGCACCUAGUACUAGGAUGCAAAUAAAGGCAGAGGUGUGGAUUUCUACAUCUAAUUUUAUUUUUCAGACCUCAAUUAAACAUAUUUGCUAAAUGUAGAGGUUAAGUAAACAUAAUAUUAAAAAUCAUAUGAAUAGACUGCCCCUUACUACUGCAGGCCACACGUAGAGGGCGCCCAUUGGGUGGCCCAUGCUCUUAGGACCAUCUGAUGGCAAUGAGUCUGCAGGAGGCCGGUCAGCGCUGCAGCGCUUUAACAGCGUAGCGGGCCUCCGGUGAUAAGGACAGCAACAGGAGGACAUGCAGUCACUUCCUUUCUUGCCAUCACAGAGAGUGCCGCAUGGAAGGGAGAAAGGUAGGGGGAGCGUGGAAUGCUAGAGAGCCCGACUCCCAACAGCCUCAGCCAGCCACUGGACCCCAGGGAAGUCACCUUUCUGCAGCCAAAAGGUAGGAAACAGGAGGGUGACUAAAAAUGUAUGUAUGUGUCUGUUUGUGUGUGUAUAUCUGUCUUUAUGUGUAUGUGUGUUUAUAUCUGUCUGUAUGUGUAUGUGUGUAUCUGUCUGUAUGUGUAUAUGCAUGUGUGUCUAUGUAUCUGUGUGUGUAUCUGGCUGUAUGUGUAUAUGCAUGUGUGUCUGUGUAUCUGUGUGUGUAUCUGCCUAUAUGUGUAUCUGUCUGUAUGUGUAUCUGUGUGUAUCUGUCUAUAUGUAUGUGUGUUUCUCUGUUUAUAUGUGUAUCUGUGUGUCUGUAUGUGUCUCUCUCUCUGUCUGUAUGCGUAUUAUUAUUUUAUUAUUUAUAUAGCGCCAUCAUAUUCUGUAGCACUGUACAAUGGGUAGCUGUGUAUCUGUCUGUAUGUGUUUCUGUGUGUGUAUCUGUCCAUAUGUGUAAAUGUAUGUGUAUUUGUCUGUGUAUCUGCAUGUGGGUUAGUGUGUGUCCCUGUGCAUCUGUGUGUGUCUGUGUAUCUGUAUGUGUGUCAGUGUGUGUGUCUGUGCAUCUGUAUGUGUUAGUGUGUUUCUGUGUUACUGCAUGUGUGUCUGUGUAUGUAGCUGUAUGUGUGUUAUUGUGUGUAUCUGCAUAUAUGUCAGGGUGUGUGUCUGUUUAUUUGUAUGUGUGCUAACAUGUGUCUGCAUGUUUGUCAGUGAGUUUCUUUGUGUCUGUAUGUGUGCCAGUGUGUAUCUGUGUAUGCACCUGUGUGUCUGUGUAUCCGUCUUUGUAUGUCUGUGUAUUUGUUGGUCUGUACCUGUGCAUAUUUGAGUUUGUGUAUGUAUGUAUCUGUAUUUGUGUCAGUGUUUGCAUUUGUAUGUGUGUCAGUGUGUAUAUUUUCUCUAGGUGAAAAACGUGUGGCUCAGUCUAUGUUCAAUGUUUGUGUGUUUUUUUGUGUGUAUACUUUAUGUGUGUCUUUGAGUGGAAGGCGUGUUUGCAUGCCACAAGGUGGGAGGGAGGGGACCAGGGGGCCCAAGCAAAUGCUUGCCCAGGGUCCAAUCAGCAUUAAAGACGGCCCUGACCAAUUUAAUCAUAAUAUACUUAUUGUACUAUCUGCUACAGGAGGGACAUAAUGAGGCAUGUUACAAGAAGCAAUGUCAGUAAGGUAUUUUGUUUUAUUAACACAUUUUGGGUUGGCCUUCACUCGCCCAACUUCUACUAAAGUCAGAAAGAUCCAAAUCUCAAAUUUUAAGGAUGACUGUGCAGCACACGCUAGAAUUUGAAUCUUGGCCUGUCUGCAGUAGCUAAACUAGACUGUUGCAUUUCACACUUGGUUCCUGGUUUGUUUAAUGAUUGAAUUGAAUCAAAAUUUUACAGCUGGAGAGAUCUGGCACUUGAUUGAGUAAGUAAACAGAUUCCAUAAGGUUUGAUUAACGUCUUCCAGCAAGGUCUGGCUGCUGCUGCUAUAUUAUAAAGUUGCCACACUCCCAAGGGACCUGCUAAUCUAUGCUGAUCAAGUGUGCUGGGAAUCUGGUCUGUGCCUCCGCAUCAGGGUGUGGUAUUUGUUAUGGCUGUAUUGACUGUGUGUGAUAUAUGUAUGUAAUGGUUGUGAUAUUUGUAGUGGGCAUUUAAUUUGAUUUAAAAACAUGCAUGUAGGCCCAUGUGUGAAUUCAGGUGUGCAUUUUUGUAGGUUUGUAUUUUUUCAGGUGUCCCACAGUGAGACUCACUGUGAUGGAUAGAAAUGAAUGUGUGUAAAAUGUCUAUUUACUUUGUAUACCUGUGUUAAUUUAUUACUCAAAAUGGCUGCUAGAGCACCGCCUCCCAUCGACCAAGACCCUCGUGUAGUAAGAUGGCGUCUCCUUCCGGAGUUACACCUAAGAUGACGAUGGCAUCAACACCCUCUGGAGGAAGUCCAUAAAGAUUAGACACUUAACACCUAACCAAUUAAAUGUUUACUUUACUAAAACACUUAACCAAUUGAAAAGUUUACUUUCUGUAUUAGCAUACGUUGCAUUCUUUGCCUUUUUAAGGGGCUACACCGCCCCCUGACAAUACACUUGGAAGUUUUCAUUCAACUGAACUUUUCUGUGUCAGUGGGAUUUCUUCGGCGUGCACGCUUUAUUACAUUUAUGACAUUUGGACAGGGGCAGAUAUUCAUGUAGCCCAUGGAUCAGCGCAGCUAAGAGGAAUAGGCCUUGACAGAGCCAGGAGGUAGGCAUAGCAGCCACAGGAAUUUAGUGACAGCUAGCAUGCUGGGUAGGGCGGAGCCAUAAGGGGAGUAUUUAUACCAGCCAUUAUAUGAAGUGGCCAUUUUAACUGAACCUAAGCUUACCUGUCAGUUGUGAAAGCUGCGUGCCCUGGAGGGAGAAGUCAGCAGCAUGGAGGCAGCAUAGAAGAACAGGCAGCAUGGAGGCAGCAUGAAGAACAGGCAGCAUGGAGAUACAGGAGAGGCUGGAGUGAGCUGCUACUACAUGCUCACUCCCAUCAGCAGCAUGAAGAACAGAGCAGUAUUGAGACAGGAGGCAGCAUGGAGGUACAGGAGAGGCUGGAGUGAGCUGCUGCUGCAUGCUCACUCCCAUCAGCCUCAGACAGAACUCCAAGCAAGCCAUCAUCCUGGUCACAAAGGUUGUGGCAGAAUCGUGGCUGGUGGCUGGGGGGCCCCGAGCACGUCUGCUACCCCCCCUCCCCCACGCGGUGGCGGAACAGAGGCCAGCAAGGAGAGAGAGGACGCCCCAGCGGCAGCCUGUGAGUGACAUCGUUAGUUCGGCAGCCCGUGAGCCUGUCAGGAGGCGGCAAGGGGAAGGCUGAAAAUGAGGUCGGAAAGCAGGCAGGAGUUGGAGGGCGGCUGGCGCCGUAUGUUCGACGCGGCGCCGUUCAGGCAAUGUGGCAGGUCAGGAUGAGGCCGCACAGAAAGAGCGCCCCCUGCAAUAAGGCGGGGGGGGGGGCGGGAAAGCACAAAGGACAGCGGAAUCCAGCAUGACAGGAUGGCUGCCAGGCAGGGAGAGCGGCAAGAUGCGUCCUGGUGAGUCUGCCCCUGGUGGCAUACCUGAGGGACGGGGGAAUUAUGCAAGGGCCCAGCAGUGUAAAAGUGGUCCCCCCCCCAAUGGGCAGGCGGGGGGGGGUCCAGGUCGGCGGGACACAGGGACGGAGGCAGCCCUGGAUGGGGCCAGGGUCAGGUCAGAGGUGAUGGAAGGGGAUAGUGAAAGCAGCAGGCGGAGUCUUCACAGGCGCAGCAGAGCAGCUAUGGUGGGGAAGGCCAGCAACCAGGAUUAAUUAAAGGGGCCACAAGUGGAUGAGGCGGCCGGGGAGAGGCCAGGUACUGCAAGCAGAGGGCAGAAGAGAGGACAUGGACGGGUGGAAAUAGACGUAAGGCACAGGGGCAAGCGGGAGCCCCCUGGGGGGCGUUCUCAGGAGCAGGAACACAGGAGGAGCAUCAGCAGGUGUGAGUACGGGAGGGAGCAGCGCAACGACAAUGACAGGCACUGCAGCAGCAGGAGGUCGGAUGAGGGAUGGAGGAGCAGGUCGAGGAGUGUUACUUCUACGGGCUUGAGGCUGGACCAGUGCGGACAGGAGUCGGCAUCCACCGGAUACUCCAGAGCCUGGCGAGGUGGAUGGAAGGACAGCGCAGACGGGGGUUCAGGUGGUGAGUCAAUAAACACACCACACUUUUUUAAAUUGCAAAAAUCAUUUUAGAGUCAAGAUCAAGGAAAAAAGGGGCCGUCCCCGCGGUGCGGAAGGGUGGGGUCACCAGAGCGCAGUCGGGAGGCCGAAGUAAGGGUGUUUCCUGUCUUCCGCUCGAGGAGUUCAUUGAUUUAAAAGGGGUGGUUCCUAAUGAGGGUGCAGGAAAUGCGCUCUUUCCGGGGGCUGCAGGCGCACCCCCAGGAGGUGCGGUGCUGGCUGGACAGAAGAAAGGUCAGUGCAACUGGGGACUGUCGGGUAGGCUUCAAUACGGGUGUUCCGGAGGCGGUGGGAGUCACGGUGUCAACUGACGCGUCAAGAAAGGAAAACCUAUGGCAGGAAGGGUACUCGGCAGGGCUUCAGCCCCGCGGUUGUGGCUCGGAGCGGCACCGGUGAUGAUCAGUGCAUUGCUGUUGUGGCUAAGGCAGUAAGCCUCCCAUGAAUGCGCUAGUUUUAUGGCUGGGAUUGUUGAGGGGGUUUACGCUAUUCCAUUCAAAGUCAAAGGACCAGGAAAAGUGGUGGGCGAAUAUCAAGUCCAUGGGGGAACUUUGGAUUGCGAGUGGUCACGCGAGGAAGCCCAGUUGGGGGGAUGGCGGUUCCGUUACAUCCGCGCCAUUAGCGGACCUGUGGGUGUCUCCAUGGGGGGUGGUCCCCUAGAAAUGGGCGGGCAAAUUCCGUCCCAUACAAAACUUAUCGCACCCGAAAGGGGCAUUGGUAAAUGAGGACAUCGCCACGGAACUGUUCUGUAUCGUUGGCAUCAUUCGGCCUUGCCAUCGCGUUGGUUUGGGGUAACAGGACGCGUUCGAUUAUUGGCGACCCUUCCAUCUUUUGGGUUGCAUGUUUGCAGGUUACUAUUGGUAAUCUCUACUUGCCAAGGGGCAGUUCCAUUCAUGUUCCUACUUUGGGAAGUUGGAUCCGUCUGGGAGUGGGAGGUGAAAGAGGAAUGUUGUGUGGGCUCGGCUGGGCCGGGCCGUUGUGGACAUACCUUACGGACGGGGGAAUCCUACCACACGUCUUUGCUUGAGCUGGAAAUUGUUUCGGUGGUAGGAGAGUGCUGAUUGCCUGGGGUUCAGUUGACUGCACUUCGGGAGUUCAGGCUGAAGGUUCGCAGGUCCAAGAAGGUCACUGAGAAAUCGCAGUUGUUCAUAAGGCAGUUUCAAGUUGCAUGUCGGGUUAGUCGCGAGGACUGGGCAGGUAGCCAUUUCAUGGCGAAGGCUACUUGUGGAGCCUUUGCGGGUGGUAUUGAGUUGUUCACGGAUACCUCUGGGAACAUAGAUUCUGGGGCAUACCUGGAAGGCAGGUGGUGCGCAGAGUGGUGGUGGGAGGCAUGAAAGGUAAGUCCUCUUAUUCGAAGUUGGCAUCUUCUGAGUUAUUUCCAUUGGGAGUGACUGUGGCUCUAAAAGGUGAAGGAUUAAGGGAUGAAAAGUCAUAAUUCACGCACAAUACGGCGGGGUUCAUGUGGUUUACCAUCCAGCCGGGUCCUCGGUUCAGGAGGUACGCCGAUGGUGGCGAUUCAUAUCACUGUUCAGGUAUCGGGUGCAGGCACGCCAUGUGCCUGGUUGGCGGAAGGUAGGGGCUGGUUACUUGGCUUGCGCACAAGGGGACAAGCUGCGAAUGGCGGCCCCAGGGGGCGCGGGAGGAGGGACAGUCCGGUCUGGAGGAAAUGUGGUAGCUCGAGACGCCAUGCUUGGAGGAUCGAUACAGAAUCCUAUGGCACCGGGCACAGGGACUGCCUAUGUGAACGUUUGAGAUAUGUGGGACAAGGCGGUUGGUUUCACUGUGGGGGCCCAGUCAAAGGAGGAGCGAAGGGAUACCUUGCUGUGGUUCCUAAGCCGUUUGUUCGUUCAGCGUUAGCUCCAUCGGCAAUGGACAGGAGCAUGGCGGCAUUGUUGUUAGGGUUCAAACUGACCGAUUGGGAGGAAGUGACGGAACGUUGUCACGUCCGUCAGGCAUCGCAGGUCUUACGGAGAGGUAUGAAAUAUGUCGGUGCCGGGCGGCGGGUUUCCUUGGAUAACGCAACGCCUGGUGGUGUAUUACUCUACUUUUGCAGUGAGUUUGCUUGCGGUGGCCUUCUCGGAGGCUUGGGGCAAUUCGGAUUGGGGAACUGGUGAGUGCCUUCGGGCAAGUGUUGGGGGGUUUUACACUCGGUUGUCGAACCUCAGUUGGUUAAGGUAACGAUUCAGUAGGGUUGUUCAAGAAUGGAUGUGUCUGGUAAAGGAGGUUUGGUAAAGCUGUAUUCCCUGCCGGGGUCAGGGGUACGCCCGGUGUUAAGCGCAUCAUGCUACUUGGAGCUUUGCCUGGACUUCCCGGGUGGCUUACUGGCAAAAGGGGACAGAUCGGUGCUGUCACAAUUCAAUUCCCGCAGGUGUUUGUUCGGAGGGGUUUGACAAUGUUGGGUUUGGAUCCCGGGCACUUUGGUACCCAUUCUUCCCGGAUGAUGGCGGUAACAGAGGCGCCCCGCCUGGUUUUAAGUGAGGACCUAGAGAAACGUUUAGGCAGGUGGGAGUCAGUACGGUUUAAGUCCUGUUUCAGGCCAGUCUAUUUGGAUUAAUGGCUAUGGACGUAUGGGUUUGUGUUUGGGGCUAUGCCUUGUCGCUAAUUACUUUCGUUUCAGGUUUGGUGACAUGGUUGGUGGGUCAUUCUUAUAUCUAAGGGGCACAGAUGGGAGCCGCGUUUCGGUUCAAACGCAACUGGGCUUUCCUUUGGAAUUGGUGGGGGUACCGUCCAGGACAUUCUGGAUAUUGGCAUGGUCCCGGAAAAGGAAUUGAUCAGGUGGAGGCAGAGGGAGGUGGACCGGCUAUGGGAGCUGGCCACGGGUGUGGUGGUGGUGCGGUCCGACAUGGUUCCUCGGUUACAUUGGAGACAUACUACGUACCCGGCCAUGGUAGCUCGGUGUCGAGGACGACUUAAUAAAAAAUUGAUGGCGGUAUUUAUUAGAUGUGGGGGCGGUGUAACAGUGAGACACAACGAAUUGGGAGGAAAGCUCCCUGGGUACUCCAGGUGGGAUGGGAUACAUUUUCGGAUGUAAGGUGUGAUCUGUUUAAAUUGGGCCUUCAGGAAGGCAUUCAACAGGCCUUAUUCCGGUGUGGUGGGGGUCGCUCAGGAGCUUUAGGUGUCAAGUCCUGAGCUGUGGCGGGGAAUGGCCUGGUUAAAUCGGAGGGUAGAUGGAGGAGAAAGUGGGCAUCCUGAGGUUUGCACGUGGUUGGUAGGUUCGAGCCCGUCGGUGGCUCCGAACCUGGGGGUGUGGUGGUGUCUUGGUACACCCUACACUGGAACUGGUGAGUAGCGGUGUCUUGGUACACCCCUACAAUGGAUAUGGUGGGUAGCGGUGUCUUGGUACACCCCUACAAUCGAUAUGGUGGGUAGCGGUGUCUCGGUACACCCCUACAAUUUAACCUGGUGGAAAUGUGAUCAAAUUGGGCGGCCAGUUUCUGUGUUAACAUGUUAUUUAGAUUGUUAUCUAUUGUUAUUAUUGUGGGGUCAUUGCUAGGGGUAUGUUAUGUAUAUGGGGGAGGUUAACAUUAUUAAGAUUUGUUGGCAAUGACACCAUUUGUUAUUCCUUAAUUAUUUUAUUAAUAAUUUAAUAAAGCUGUGGACGAAUUAUUUCCAACAGUAUAACCUGUGUCCGUGUUUUAAUGGGGGUUUGGGUAAGGUUAGCGCAUAUGUUGGCAAAUCCGACUGUGCGCCUGUCAAGCAAACACUUGGUUUGGUCUAAAACAACACAAUCAGGUGCACAUGCAUAUACUGUCACAUACAGCCACAUGCACACCCCUUAGGACGGCUCUGUAAACACACAUGCACUUUGUCAUCCUGCUCACAGCCACAAUCAUCAGCAGUGAUGUGGAUUGUGUUACUGACAAUGCACACAAAGGCAUUGUCUCCAGUAUCCUCCUCCUCCCUUUUUUUAGUCCUAAGUUUAGACUUGUUUUACGUGUAAUUAUUGUAAGCAUGCAUUGUAAGCAUCCUGCGCUCAAAUUCCCAUCACUCCUGGGCGGUAUCAACGACCACAGUACUCAUCAGCCCCAAUACGUACAGUAAAAACCAAAGAAAAAAGUUACUUGAGCAUAUUUUAACAAAUGGAGGUUUUUAGUUUCUCCACUGGCCAUGAGAGAGUUAGCCCACUUGCCACGUCAAAGCAAACCUCUCAGUUAGGUCCUACACUAACCUUUCACCUUGCUUCCUUGAGCUUCUGGCAAAUAUAUCUCUAAUGAGACAAAAAGGGGUAUUUUUUUUGUUUGUUUUUUUAUAUACCCCUACAUGCCUAUUAACCCCUAAUAAGGAACACAUGGGAUAGGUGGCAGCAUUGUAACAUGAGAGGGAUGGGGUCAUAGUGAGAGGGGGGGUGAUUGUGAGAUGGAGGGGGGGGUGAUUGUGAGAGGGGGGUUGACCCCUGGGGCUAGAGUUCACUCUUGCAAGAUCUGAGUGUUGCCGCAGCAACACUCCGACCUCGCGAGAGGAACCCAGCAGAGCUGCUGGUUGAGCUCCCUGGGUCCUCUCCUGCCUCCCUCCAUGCUGUGUGGGCUGCAUGAGUGUGUUGUGUGUGUAAGGGUGCUGCGUGUGUGUGUGUGUGUAAGGGUGCUGUGUGUGAGGGUGCUGUUAGUGUGAUGUGUGUGUGAGGGUGUUUGUGUGUGUGUGUGUGUUUGUUAGGGUCCUGUUAGUGCGCUGUGUGUGUGAAGGUGCUGUGUGUGUGUUUGUGAGGGUGCUGUUUCUGUGCUGUGUGUGAGAGGGUGCUGUGUGUUUGAGGGUGCUGUAUGUGUGUGGGUGCUGUAUGUGCGAGGGUGCUGUAUGUGUGUGGAUGCUGUGUGGGUGCUGUGUGUGUGUGGGUACUGUCUGUGUGUGGGUGCUGUGUGUGUGUGAGAGUGCUGUGUGUGUGUGCUGUGCAUGUGUGGGUACUGUAUGUGUGUGCUGUGUGUGAGUGCUGUAUGUGUGUGCUGUAUGUGUGUGCUGUGUGUGCUGUUUGUGUGUGUGCUGUAUGUGUAUGUGUGCUGUAUGUGUGUGCGGGUGCUGUAUGUUUGAAGGUGCUGUAUGCGUGUGCUGUGUGUGUGGGUGCUGUAUGUGUGAGGGUGCUGUGUGUAUGUGUGUGCUGUAUGUGUGGUGUGUGUGUGUGGGUGCUGUGUGUCUGUGUGGGUGCUGUAUGUGUGUGGGUGAUUGAGGGGGUGGAGGUGGGGGUACAUUUAAUAUCCCCCCCUCCCUUCUUACCUUAUGUAGGGAGGGGGGAUCGUGCUGCUGCUUUCCCUGGUGGUCCAGUGGAGAGUGAACUUUAGCCCAUGGGCAUAGAGUUCACUCUUGCAAGAUCUGAGCGUUGCCGCGGCAACGCUCCGUCCUCGCGAGAGGAACCCAGUGGAGCUGCUGGUUGAGCUCCCCGGGUCCUCUCCUGCCUCCCUCCAUGCUGCAGUGGGGAGGGAGGCUGAGAGCAGAGCCAGCGCUCGGAUAGCGCCGGCUCUGCAUGAGCCGACAGGGGAGAUCCUGAGAUCUCCCCUGCCAGUCUCAAUAAAUAAGCGUGCCGCCAGAAUUAGGGUGCGCCCAGGCACACCUGGUACACCCCGUGCACACGCCUAUGGUAUGUAUGUAUAUGUGCAUCUCAUCUCAGCAUUUCGCCUACACUACACACAAAUACAACCCUGCAUCCAAAUUUCAACCCUACAUGAAAACACACCACCAUAUUCAAAAACCACACUACAGAAAAAUGCACUCCUGCAUUCAAAUGCCAAUAUGUGCAAACACACCCUUACAUUCACUCACACAUACUCCAUACAAAAACAUGCUUACAUUCAAACACACAAACAGUGCUUGGUGCUAAAUAUAUAAAAAUAAAAACACUGCUCAGUGGUAAAGACAAAAAAUAUAUAUUUUUUACAUUUUAAGAGGAGAGGGGUGAGGGGGAGGAGUGCUAAAUAUAGGAUACGCCACGGGUGCCAAAUGCUUCAGGUACACCCCUGCUUGUAUCAAGGAUAAUUGUCUGCCACUUUGAUCUCUAAGUUGAACAACUCUAUGUAUGGAAAUAGAGCAUUUGAAAUCCAAACCAGGAUAAUGCUUACUCAUUCUGGUGUUAGGCUAACAUACUCAAAAUGAAACUGGUACCCAAAAGCUCAUGUCAAGCAUUUUUUGUGAAAAAUAUCUGUCGAUAUAUUUGCAAGCAUACAUGAUCGCAGAUGAGACAAAGGGCCAUGGGUGCUUGAUUUUCAGUUUUUAUAUGUAUGCUCAAUUGUAGCCCACACUAACUACAUGUUCCAUUCACUAGACAUUUAUACAUGCAUACAUUACAAGGAUACUGCUGGAGCCAAUCAAUAACGAACACAUGCAGAAUCCAGAGCGCUUGCCCACUCAUUCAUUAAACAACCAAAUUCAAAGCUCAUAAAACAUAACUCCCCUGGUUUUCACCCCUCGCUGUUACAGGUGCCUGAUGCGGCAGCCCCAUUUAGUCUUGCACUGCUAAGAGCCCCAGGCAACAAUUGUAGUGACCAUAUUAGUUCUACAAUCAAUAGAAAAUAAUCUUUCAGUAAUAUUUCAAGCUGUUUGUGAUCUUAGUCAAAGAGUUAAAGGAACACUCCAAGCACCAUAACCACUACAGUGUGCUGUAGUAGUUAUGGUAUCAGGAGUGCCCUGAUGCACCCCGAUGUAAAUAGUCAAAUGGUUUGACAACUACAGAGCACUGUUUUGGUCAUGAUACUUGGAGUAGCCCUUUUAAUUCUUAGAAACACUUACAGCAUAAUAAUGCAAUACAGUAGAAACAGUGGGUUUUUCUUUAUAUUCAUGCUGGGGCUCCCCCUUCUCAACUCCUACUUUGUCAGUCAUAAAAUGUAUGUUUUGUUAUUCUAAAUAAACCAAAUUUCGCUUUAAUUGUUUAGGAUAUUCAAGUCUUUUCUGUUUACAUUUCAUAUAGUUUUACUUUAUUUUUAUCCAUGUCUCACUCCAAAUGUUUAAAUUUAAUCUAAAUGUCAUGACAUCAGCAUCUGUUCCCACAAAAAACUCUGAACAAUGCCUGUAUUCCCUUAGGGUUAAAAUAAUCAAGAAAUAAUUCACUAGUAAAGAAAUCCUUUUAGUUUUUACCUACAGACUUGUUACGAAUCAGAAUAAAGUAAAACUGAGAGAGUUGUUUACUGUGGUCUAACCUACAGCAACAGCAAGUAAAUCGCAUUCAAUUUGGUUUCUCAAUUAAGAAAUUCACUGUAAACAACUAACUAAAAACACAGGUAGAAGUCAGCACUCGGAAAAGCACGUACGGAUGUAGAGUCGUGUGCUCAUGCCUUAGGCCCAUCCAAAAAUAGAAACAAAUUUAACUUUUAGACAACAAAUAUUUCUACUUUAUAUCACAACUUUUCAAGCAGCCAGGUAUAUUUGGUGUUAGGAAUAGUUUUAUUUUGUUUAGAUAUUUAAUAGCAAGUAGUUUGAAGAAAAAAAAAACUAAAUUGCACUUAUCCAAACUAAAUUUUCCAAGAAUCGUGACAAGUCAACAAAACAGCAAUGUUUGAAAUUCAUUGAUUAAAGGUACACUCCGAACACUAAUACAACUCUAGUUUUUAGAUAGUUGAAGGAAUAUGCUGCAGAGGAAUGAUUAUUGAAAUCGACUACAAAAGGGGUGGCAUCCAAAAAUGUUACAUUCGUCUUGCAGCCCUGACCCAUAGAGGUGGCACAAGGUGAGAGUUGAGACUAUGGGCACUGUAUAAUGGAAUGCAUACUAAGAAGGUGAGAGUAUGAUGAAAUACAUUACUGGUUGCCAGAACUUUGAAGUUGAAACACAUAUCAAGGACAGGUAAGCAUCACUAGUGAUAGGGCUCCCUUAACAAUGGUUGUUUCGAGUGCUAGCGAUGCCACAUACAUGGACUAAUGACAGGUGGGAACCAGGUACGCCAGGUGAAUAGCAGCCUUGACACUAAUAUUUGGAUAUAUUGUAACGGUAUGGUUGAAAAAUAAUCAGUUCUAAAUUACAUUAGAACCAUGACUGCCUCGAUACGGUAUCUUUUUCUGACCAAAAUUAUGUGUAAUAUGUGAGCAUGCUAUGUGUGAACAAUAGUGUUAUGUGAUCAGUCCUAGGGGGUGGUUGACAAACCAACUGUUACUUCUUCGACAUUCUUUGUCAAGGGAAAUGGAAUUCAGGGGGUAUAUAUAUAUAAUAAAAUGUAUCCAGAGAAGUUAUGUAAAUCGUGUAGAUAAGCGAGAACUGUGUAGACUACACUGACCUUUAUUCUGUCCUCUAAUUCUCUCAUUUUGCAUACAUUUGUUUCCAUUUAUUGUUCUUUACUGUAGUUAUCUACAUUUUUUUGUUUUUAUUAAGAGAAUUUAGAGACUGUGUUGUCCACGUCUGACCUUUAUUAUUUUGAUACUGGAUUUUCACAUAUUUGUCAGUGGCCCACAAACACAAAUUCCUCCUUUUCAAGAAAAAUGUUUGUUGAAAAAGGUCAGUUUAAACGCCAAGGUUUUAAAGGGCCUUAACAAAAAAAAAAAAAAAUGUGGUUGGCCCAUUUGUAACACAAGGAAUGAUGUUCUAAACACUAAUUAUAAAUAAUGCAUAUUUUACAUGUACAGGUUUUUUUUUUUAAUAAAAUGAGAAUUGUUGGCAAUUUAUAGUGAAUUGAAAGUGAAAUUAGCAGAACUGGAAGCACAGCUGAUUUGGAGAAUCUUUCCAGUUCAGAUACUUUGUCCUUAAAUUUAAAAUUCACUUUGAAUUUCCAACAAUUCCCAUUUUAGUCAAUAACCCUGUAAAUAUAUAUAUAUAUAUAUUUACAUGACUUCUUUAUUGUAAUCUAAACUACUGUAUACUAUACAGAAAUGUUAUCACACGUUUGCCACGUUUUCUUUUUUCAACAAUCCUUCUUCAUAAGGGGCAUGCAUCUAAGGCAGUGGUUUCCAUAUCAGUGCUCAAGGCACACUGACCAGCAUGGCCGCCACCAGAAAUUUAACCAGGGGCGGACUGAGCACUCAGUAAAGGGCCCGCACAGCCUUCCGCAGGCCCCUGCUGCUAAAAAUAUUAUCCCCCUUGCAGGGCACACUGAGGGACAGCUAAAGGGCCUUCCAAAGACCCCGCUAGGCUGCCCCUCAGUGUGCCUAUCUCCAAACACAGCCUCAUUGAGCUGCCUGUAACUGCUCAGGGCAGCUCCGUGCAGCUUGUUUUGCAGGAAGUGACAUCAGUCACAGUGAGCUGUGCGGAGCUGCCCUGAGCAGACUUGCAGGCAGCAUGUCUGCAUUGUGUGCCCUGGAUCAGGGAGGUUCCUUCAGAAGAGGACCACCAGAGAGGUAAGAUUUGAGAGGGGAGAAUGGGGGGAGGCUUUAUUUUAUUUUUUAUCUUAUAUUUAUUUUUUAAGUCAUUUUAUUAAAAAUGUUUUAUCAUAUAAUUAUGUCCCCCACUACGGCCCCAUCAGAGCACCUACCCCCCUGCUCCCACUGCAUCUCCUGCCCCAAGUGGAGCCCCCACCCCCCUGCCCCAAGUGGAACCCGUACCCCCCCUGCCCCAAGUGGAACCCGUAACCCCCAGCCCCAAGUGGAGCCCUCCCCUGCCCCCCCCCUGCCCCAAGUGGGCCCCUAACCCCCGCCCCAAGUGGGCCCUUACCCCCCCUGCUCCAAGUGGGCCCUACCCCCCCUGCUCCAAGUGCUCCAGAGUGGGCCCUCCUGCUCCAAGUGGGCCCUAACCCCCCUGCUCCAAGUGGGCCCUUACUGCUCCCAGGUGGAGCCGCCCCCUCCCAAGUGGGCCUUACCCCCCCUGCUCCAAGUGGGACUUACUGCCCCAAGUGGGCCUACCAGCCUGCUCUAAGUGGAGCCCUAACCCCCCACUGCUCCAAGUGGGCCCUUACCCCCCCCUGCUCCAAGUGGAGCCCUUACCCCCCCUGCUCCAAGUGGAGCCCCUACCCCCAGGCACCCACUGCAGCCCCUUUCCUCAGGCACCCACUACAGCACCUAUACCCUAUGCACCCACUACAUCCCCUAUACCUUAUGCACCCACUACAGCCCCUAUGCCCUAUGUACUUACUACAGCUCCUAUUUCCCCAUGCAAAGACAACAGCACCUAUUACCCUUUGCACCCACUACAGCCUGUCCCUCCUCUGCACCCAUUAUUCCCCCCCUGUACCCUCUACAGUCCUUCCCCACUGUACCCUCUGCAGCCCCUUCCUCUUGGCACCCUCUACAGUCCCUACCCCUUUGCACGCACAAACAUAAAACAUAAAGGGACACUAUAGUUACCAGAACAACUACAGCUUAAUGUAGUUGUUCUGGUGAGUAUAGUCUACCACUGCAGGGUUUUUGCUGUAAAGACUGCCUUUUCAAAGGCAGUGUUUACAUUGCUGCCUAGGAACACCUAGGCGCUUCCUGUGUCAUGUUGCAAAAUGUGCAGCACUGACAUUCAGCAUCUCCAUGCUCUGCAUGUCGACGCUGAAUGCUUGUCAUAGAGAAGCACGGAUUCAAUGCACCUCUAUGAGGAGAUGGUGAUUGGCACAGAACAGCGUUUUGCUGUACGUACACAAUAGCCUUCCAGUGCUUUCCAAUGGUAGUGCAUUGGGUUGGCUGAGAUCAUCUAAAUUGAUGAACUCUCCAAAGGAUUCUGGUCGGUGCUGAAAAACAGGUGUGUAAAUUGCAUUUUUAAGGGGCAAUACACGUUUGUAUUCCUGACACUAUAGUGUUCCUUUAAGGUGGCUCGUAACAUUUAAUACUUGGUUUGUAAUUUAAGAUGGAAAAUUUGGAGGCCUGCAUACCUCAUACAAACACAUUGCCAAAAUUCACAAAUACCACCUUAUACAUACUGCCAUGCAACACAAACAUACACACAAAAAAAAAGUACCCUAUUUAAAAAACCAAAAACAUGUAUAAUAUACUAUGAAUCCACAUAUCCUGACACUACACACAAAGACACGCAUAUAUUCACUUACACUAGCGCUCACAGUGAAUAUACACACAGAAACAUACAUUCACUUUACAUGUAAAUACAAUAAAAUACAUGGUACACCUACACCAGCAUAUAUAUCGGUCUGCUGGGGGCCCAGGUGCUAAAUUUGCCCAGGGGCCCAGGCCACUGUCAGUCCGUCCCUGCCCCUAACUCAGCUCAGGGUCUGGGCCCCCUGGGGCCCGUCUCCAAUCCCGCCCACAGGAUCCGCCUCCAAAUUCCACCCACAGGAAUACACACACAGACACAAACACACACAGUGAUACAAAAGGACACAGAUACACACACACAGAUACAUACUAACAGACACACAUACUGAAACAGAUAUACACGCAUAUAGGCAUACAUACUGACACACACAUACUGAGACAUACACACUGUGACCGACCGCUGGCACUCCGACUGAGUUCCUCCGCCAAUCGAUGUUCCUAGCGCUUGCCGAGGACUCCGAGCACUCCAACCGACACCAUCAGCACUGCGGACCCCACUUCCAGCGAUGCAGCUGCGCCGGGGUCUCGCCGUCUCUCAUCCACCCUGGAUCCAUGACCAGCAUCCAGCUUCCAGUGGGUGAACCUCUCCUAAAUCCAGAGACCAGGAACCAGGAACAAAACAAGCUCUUGCAAAAGCUGACUCUGGGGAGUGUGUGAUUAUAGCAAUCUCCAGGGUGUAGUUAUCCCUUCCCCCAAGCAUGAUCCAAGGCUUCAAGAAAGGUGCAAGUAGGUCUGGUUUAUUGAGGGCUACCUGACCGGUAUUUAUGCAAGUGUCCACCAGGUGGACACUCCCCUAGGGGACCUGAUGGGACACCUAUUGGAUAUUAGCCAAUCACAGACAAUACAAACAAAACACUCCCACAGUGACAUCACAAUCCCUGCUCUCUAUCCUAGAGAUAAUUGGGAAGCAAUCAAAUUAUCUUCCAGGACAGAGGCAAGACUCCAUUAACCACAUGGUUACAAAAAGACAUAAAAUUACACAAUGUUACAAUUACUACAUAAAACAUAUACAUGCAACAUAUCCCCAUAUAGCUUAGAUCUGAGUGCACAUUAUUACCGAAUGGCGCUCAGAUCACAUACAUACAUUUCAAUCACCAUGGAGCCAAAGUCUUUUCCAUAGUCUUUCGUUACAUGAAUAGGCUCCAUGGCAUAGCUAUCUGGGGUAGCACUACUCACAUACUGAAAGUCCAGAACGCCCUGGCAGAAAUACACAAAUAAACCUUUCUGCAGGGUAAAAUACAGCUAUCAGCACAGGGGCCAUAGUCAGAAGGCAGGAGGCUAGACAGUAUUCCCCUUCAGACACAAGUGGUGAAGGGCACUUCGUCACACACACAUAUACAGACACACAGGCAUACAUAGUGACAGACAGACACAUACAUACAGACACACAUACAUGAGGACAUACAGACACAUACCUACAUACACACUGACAUACAUACAUACACCGACAUACAUACACACAGACAUACAUUCAUAAUGACAUACAUACAUACAUACAUUCAUGCUGGCAUACAUACAUACAUAUAUAAAUACAUACAGUCAUACUAACAGACAUACAGACAUACAUUCAUACAGACAUACAUACAUGCAGACACUGACAUCCAUACACACACAUACAUACACAGACAUACAUUCAUAUUGACAUACAUACAGACAUACAUACAUAAUGGCAUACAGACAUAUAUAUAUAUAUAUAUAUAUAUAUAUAUAUAUAUAUAUAUAUAUAUACACACAUACAUACAUACAUAAAUAAUGGCAUACAGACAUACAUAUAUACAUACAUACAUAAUGGCAUACAUUCAUACAUAUAUACAUACAUACAUACAUAAUGGCAUACAUAUAUACAUACAUACAUACUGACAGACAGACAUGCAUACAGACAUACACACACACACACAGAGCAUAUUUUUCAGCCACCCUCCUGUUUCUUACCUUUUCCUUGCAGGAGGGCGGCUGGGGCUGAUGGGAGUUGCUCUCCCUCUUCACUGCCUGGCUGGCUCUCCUCCAGCGCGAAGUGAGCUGGGAGGAAGUUACCACUUCCUCCCAGCAGCACUUGCGCUGUGGCUGCGUUUGUUUUUUUUUUUUUAAAGGGGUCCGGUCGCGCUAUUACACGGCCACAGCGCUGAACGGGCCCCUGAAGAUUUAGGGCCCAUCGGGUGGCCCUAAGUGUGUGGGCCACCCGAUAGGCCCCAUCAGCUUCUGGGUCCCGGUGCAAUUGCACCGGUGGCAGUUCCGAUGCUACACGUGGGGCCCAGGUGGCCGGGCCCCCCAGGGCCGCCGGACCCGUGACAACCGUCAUGGUUGUCACCCCCUGAUGGCGGCCCUGAUGCCUGUAUGCCCUUAGGGUUAAAAUAAUCAAGAAAUAAUUCACUAGUAAAGAAAUUCUUUUAGUUUUUACCUACAGACUUGUUACUGAAUCAGAAUAAAGUAAAACUGAGAGAGUUGUUUACUGCUGGUCUAACCUACAGCAACAGCAAGUAAAUCUAAUUCAAUUUGGUUUCUUCAUUAAGAAAUUCACUGUAAACAACUAACUAAAAACACAGGUAGAAGUCAGCACUCGGAAAAGCACGUCCGGAUGUAGAGUCGUGUGCUCAUGCCUUAGGCCCAUCCAAAAAUAGAAGCAAAUUUAACUUUUAAACAACCUAAAUUUCUACUUUAUAUCACAACUUUUCAAGCAGCCAGGUAUAUUUGGUGUUAGGAAUAGUUUUAUUUUGUUUAGAUAUUUAAUAGCAAGUAGUUUGAAGGUAAAUAAAACCAAAUUGCACUUACCCAAACUAAAUUUGCCAAGAAUCUUGACAAGUCAACAAAACAGCAAUGUUUGAAAUUCAUUGAUUAAAGGUACACUCCGAACACUAAUACAACUCUAGUGCAUUUGAUAUUUUUAUUUGCCUCAUUAAUGUGCAGUAUUUUUUGCAUGUACAAAUCUUUAUAUUUUUUGCACAAAAAAAAAUGUUUUGCAAAAUACUACCCCAUAAGUCUUUUUAGAUAGUUUUUAGAGAGUUGAAGGAAUAUGCUGCAGAGGAAUGAUUAUUGAAAUCGGCUACAAAAGGGGUGGCAUCCAAAAAUGUUACAUUUGUCUUGCAGCCCUGACCCAUAAAGGUGACACAAGGUGAGAGUUGAGACUAUGGCACUGUAUAAUGGAAUGCAUACUGAGAAGGUGAGAGUAUGAUGAAAUACAUUACUGGUUGCCAGAACUUUGAAGUUGAAACACAUAUCAAGGACAGGUAAGCAUCACUAGUGAUAGGGCUCCCUUAACAAUGGUUGUUUUGAGUGCUAGCAAUGCCACAUACAUGGACUAAUGACAGGUGGGAACCAGGUACGCCAGGUGAAUAGCAGCCUUGACAAUAAUAUUUGGAAAUAUUGUAACGGUAUGGUUGAGAAAUAAUCAGUUCUAAAUUACAUUAGAACCAUGACUGCCUCGAUAAUGUAUCUUUUUCUGACCAAAAUUAUGUGUAAUAUGUGAGCAUGCUAUGUGUGAACAAUAGUGUUAUGUGAUCAGUCCUAGGGGGUGGUUAACAAACCAACUGUUACUUCUUCGACAUUCUUUGUCAAGGGAAAUGGAAUCCAGGGGACGUAUAUAUAAUAAAAUGUAUCCAGAGAAGUUACGUAAAUCAUGUAGAUAAGCGAGAACUGUGUAGAACUGUGUAGAUUACACCGACCUUUAUUCUGUCCUCUAAUUCUCUAAUUUUGCAUACAUUUGUUUCCAUUUAUUGUUCUUUACUGUAGUUAUCUCCAUUUUUUUAUUUUUAUUAAGAGAAUUUAGAGACUGUGUUGUCCACGUCUGACCUUUAUUAUUUUGAUACUGGAUUUUCACAUAUUUGUCAGUGGCCCACAAACACAAAUUCCUCCUUUUCAAGAAAAAUGUUUGUUGAAAAAGGUCAGUUUAAACGCCAAGGUUUUAAAGGGCCUUAACAAAUAAAAUGUGGUUGGCCCAUUUGUAACACAAGGAAUGAUGUUACUAUGUUCUAAACACUAAUAAUAAAUCAUGUAUAUUUUACAUGUACAGGUUUUAGUUUUUUUCUUUUUAACCAAAAUGAGAAUUGUUGGCAAUUUAUAGUGAAUUGAAAGUGAAAUUCAAAUUUCAAGCUAAAGUAGCGGAACUGGAAGCACAGCUGAUUUGGAGAAUCUUUCCAGUUCAGAUACUUUUUCCUUAAAUUUAAAAUUCACUUUGAAUUUCCAAAGAUUCACAUUUUAGUCAAUAACCCUGUACAAAAACCAUGUUAUAUAUAUAUAUAUUUACAUGACUUCCUUAUUGUAAUCUAAAUUACUGUAUACUAUACAGAAAUGUUAUCACAAGUUUGCCACGUUUUCUUUUUUCAACAAUCCUUCUUCAUAAGGCAGUGCAUCUAAGGCAGUGGUUUCCAUAUCAGUCCUCAAGGCACACUGACCAGCAGGGCCGCCACCAGAAAUUUUGGGGCCCCUAACUCAGCUCAGGGUCUGGGCCCCCUGGGGCCCGCCUCCAAUCCCGCCCACAGGGUCCGCCUCCAAAUCCCACCCACAGGAAUACACACACAGACACAAACACACACAGUGAUACAAAAGGACACAGAUACACACACACAGAUACAUGAUAACAGACACACAUACUGAAACAGACAUACACGCAUAUAGGCACACACAUAUAGAGACAUACACACUGUGACGGACCGCUGGCACUCCGACUGAGUUCCUCCGCCAAUCGAUGCUCCUAGCGCUUGCCCAGGACUCAGAGCACUCCAACCAACACCAUCAGCACUGCGGACCCCACUUCCAGCGAUGCGAUCACUUCCUCCCAGCAGUACUUGCGCUGCGGCUUUGUUUUUGUUUUUUCCUAGGGAAGUCAUCUUUCUGCAGCCAAAAGGUAUGAAACAGGAGGGUGACUAAAAAUUUAUAUUUUUCAUGUGUGUCUGUUUGUGUGUGUAUAUCUGUCUGUAUGUGUAUAUGCAUGUGUUUCUGUGUAUCUGUGUGUGUAUCUGGCUGUAUGUGUAUAUGCAUGUGUGUCUGUGUAUCUGUGUGUGUAUCUGCCUAUAUGUGUAUCUGUCUGUAUGUGUAUCUGUGCGUCUGUAUAUGUGUAUCUGUCUGUAUGUGUUUCUGUGUGUGUAUCUGUCUAUAUGUGUAAAUGUAUGUGUAUUUGCCUGUGUAUCUGCAUGUGGGUCAGUAUGUGCCCCUGUGUAUGUCUGUGUAUCUGUAUGUGUGUCAGUGUGUGUGUCUGUGCAUCUCUAUGUGUUAGUGUGUGUCUGUGUUACUGCAUGUGUGUCUGUGUAUGUAGCUUCAUGUGUGUUAUUGUGUGUAUCUGCAUAUAUGUCAGGGUGUGUGUCUGUUUAUUUGUAUGUGUGUUAGCGUGUGUCUGCAUGUUUGUCAGUGAGUGUUUCUUUGUGUCUGAAUGUGUGCCAAUGUGUAUCUGUGUAUGCACCUGUGUGUCUGUGUAUCUGUCUUUGUAUGUCUGUGUAUUUGUUUGUCUGUACCUGUGCAUAUCUGAGUUUGUGUAUGUGUGUAUCUGUAUUUGUGUCAGUGUUUGCAUUUGUAUGUGUGUCAGUGUGUAUAUUUUCUCUAGGUGAAACACAAGUGUGGCUAAGUCUAUGUUCUAUGUGUGUGUGUGUUUUGUGUGUUUUCUUUAUGUGUGUCUUUGAGUGGAAGGCGUGUUUGCAUGCCACAAUGUGGGAGGGAGGGGACCAGGGGGCCCAAGCAAAUGCUUUCCCAGGAUCCAAUCAGCAUUAAAGACGGCCCUGACCAAUUUUAUCAUAAUAUACUUAUUGUACUAUCUGCUACAGGAGGGACAUAAUGAGGCAUGUUACAAGAAGCAAGGUCAGUAAGGUAUUUUGUUUUAUUAACACAUCUUGGGUUGGCCUUCCCUCGCCCAACUUCUACUAAAGUCAGAAAGAUCCAAAUCUCAAAUUUUAAGGAUGACUGUGCAGUAGCUAAACUACACUGUUGCAUUUCACACUUGGUUCCUGGUUUGUUUAAUGAUUGAAUUGAAUCAAAAUUCUAAAGCUGGAGAGAUCUGGCACUUGAUUGAGUAAGUAAACAGAUUCCAUAAGGUUUGAUUAACGUCUUCCAGCAAGGGCUGGCUGCUGCUGCUACAUUAUAAAGUUGCCACACUCCCAAGGGACGUGCUAAUCUAUGCUGAUCAAGUGUGCUGGGAAUCUGGUCUGUGCCUCCGCCUCAGUGUGUGGUAUUUGUUAUGGCUGUAUUGACUGUGUGUGAUAUAUGUAUGUAAUGGAUGUGAUAUUUGUUUAAUUCGAUUUAAAAACAUGCAUUUAGGCCAUGUGUGAAUUCAGGUGUGCAUUUUUGUAGGUGUGUAUUUUUUCAGGUGUCCCACAGUGAGAGACACUGUGAUGGAUAGAAAUGAAUGUGUGUAAAAUGUCUAUUUACUUUGUAUACCUGUGUUCAUUUAUUACUCAAAAUGGCUGCUAGAGCACCCCCUCCCAUCGACCAAGACCCUCGUGUAGUAAGAUGGCGUCUCCUUCCGGAGUUACACCUAAGAUGACGAUGACAUCAACACCCUCUGGAGGAGGUCCAUAAAGAUUAGACACUUAACACCUAACCAAUUAAAUGUUUACUUUACUAAAACACUUAACCAAUUGAAAAGUUUACUUUCUGUAGAGGAUGAUACACUUUGAAGGUCGGAGCGUGUCAGGAGCACAACCACCCCACUGUAAAACCUAAAUAUGUAUCAAUAUUAACAUGAAAAAACAAGUCCUGCACUCAAACUCCCAUCACUCCUGGAUGGCAGCAACGACCACAGUACACAUCAGCCCCAAUACAUACAGUAAAAACCAAAGGAAAAAAAGUUACCUGAGCUCUUCCCAAAUACCUAUGCAUAUUUUAACAAAUGAAGGUUUUUUAGUUUCUCCAAUGGCCAUGAGAGAGUUUAGCCCACCUGCCACGUCAAGGCAAACCUCUCAGUUAGGUCCUACAGUAACUUUUCACCUUGCUUCCUUGAGCUUCUGGCAAAGAUUUCUCUAAUGAGACAGAAAGGGGUAUUUAAAAAAAAAAUGUUAUAUACACCCCUACGUGCUUAUUCAUGUAACAAUAUUGAAAUGAAAAUGUAGGGCCUCUCUGUAUAUAUUUUGCUGGCUAACAUAUAUUGGAAAUAUAUUCUGGCCAAACUUGUAGUCAAAUAUGUUAAUGUGAAAAUAUGAAAUACAGCAAAAUGUAGUGAUUAUUUACCAGCAACAGAAAACAAGCUGACAUGAAGAGUGUUUAGGUAAUUGCAGGUGCACGUUCUUACUACUGAUUUCUUCCAUGGAAGAACGUUGCACAAACAAGCUGACAUGACAUUGAUAAGCGGGAUAAGAAGCAGUUUGGGAACACUGGGAACAUAAAGACCUUGGCUUGGGUUUCUGCAAAUUUGGUUUCUGACACAGUGUCAUUUCAGGAUACUGGAGACAGUAACUUCUCAGUGAUUCCUUUAAUCAAUGGCAGUUACCUUCUUGCUGUAAUAAACAGAUUUAUAAGUAAAUAUCUGGGCAAAUUGGUUAAAUUUACACCUAUGGAGCAACUGUAUAUAGCAGGAUUCAAAAUGUCAAGUACUUAUGCUACUAGCCAAGCCUUAAAAAUACUUGUCACUGCACACUUGGAGGGCCCAAGGCUGGGGUUAAUGUCUACUCACCAGGGCUGAAUUUUCACAUGCCAACAGCUAGUGGACUAAUGGAACAUUUUAACUCUUGUAUCAAGGAUAAUUGUCUGCCACUUUGAUCUGUAAGUUGUACAACUCUUUGAAUAGAAAUAAAGCAUUCGAAAUCCAAACCAGGAUAAUGCUUACUCAUUCUGGUGUUAGGCUAACAUACUCAAAAUGAAACUGGUUCCCAAAAGCUCAUGUCAAGCAUUUUUGUGAAAAAUAUCUGUCGAUAUAUUUGCAAGCAUACAUGAUUGCAGAUGAGACAAAGGGCCACGGGUGCUUGAUUUUCAGUAUUUAUAUGUAUGCUCAAUUGUAGCCCACACUACAUGUUCCAUUCACUAGACACUUAUACAUGCAUACAUUACAAGGAUACUGCUGGAGCCAAUCAAUAACGAACACAUGCAGAAUCCAGAGCGCUUGCCCACUCACUCAUUAAACCACCAAAUUCAAAGCUCAUAAAACAUAACUCCCCUGGUUUUCACCCCUCGCUGUUACAGGUGCCUGAUGCGGCAGCCCUAUUUAGUCUUGCAUUGCUAAGAGCCCCAGGAGAAAGCGUUGCCCUAGUGAGUUAAUCUCAGAAGAGGUGGCAUUAAGUUUAUAGAAUAUGACUUGUCAAAAAUGGGAUACUAUACAAUGAUAAAAAGUAUCCAUACAAAAAAUGUCAAAAAAGCACAUACCAUGAAUGAGAAGGAAAAGGUUUUUUUAUAAUAUAAUAAUCUACAACCACUGGGAGGGAAAAUAGAGACCAGUUAACCAAACUUCUAAUGCAUUUUGGACUUCUUUAAUCAUUAGCAUUGUGGCAGGCUCUGCAAUGUAUAAUCGCACACUGAAAUUAAAUCCUCAUUAUUUUUGCCAAAGUAAGGUGUUUAUACAAUAACUAUUACAUUUUCUUAACUUUGAAGUUGGUGUUUAUUGAAGAGUGUGCUGGAUUCUCAAUGUUGCAUUUAUAUAAUGAACAUUCUUUAUUUGCUGUUAGCUUUGUAUCCUUAAAUUUGUGUGAAAAGUUUCUUCAAACCUACAAAUAAUUAAUUGCUAAACUUGCUGACUUUUCAGAGUGAGGGAGAACAUAUAACCAGCAGACUGUAAGCAGAGGUCAAUUACUUAUUUUGUGGCACAUUAAAAAUGUCCAAACAUUUCCCAAAUUCUUCCCAUAGAGUUAAGAGAUAUGUAAAGUAUUGCAUAUUCUCACAUUCCAUUUAAAUUAUUGCAAAAUAACAUGAAAUAAAAAAAUAUAAUUUUGUGUGCCUAAUGAAUUUAAAUAUUUUAAAGCAAAUUGUAAUCUUUGUUUUUGUUAAAUUUAAGGGUCAGAAAAUGCUUCUUUCUCACUUGGAAAAUGGUUUCUGACAAUUAUGGAAUUUUAUGCUUUGAUGUUUUUGUCAUGCUUUUGUGUUUUUCUGCUUUGGACUAUCACAAUUUGAAACGUAGAAACAUAGAAUGUGACGGCAGGAAGGAGCCAUUCGGUCCAACUAUUGUGCCCAGUUUUCUAAAUUCUUUCACUAGUCCCUGGCCUUAUCUUAUAGUUAGGAUAGCCUAAUGCAUAUCCCAUGCAUGCGUAAACUCCUUUACUUUGUUAACUUCUAUCACUUUAGCUGGAAGGCUAUUCAAUGUAUCCACUACCCUCUCAGUAAAGUAAUACUUCCUGAUAUUAUUUUUCUAUCUUUGCCCCUCUUUGCGUUAUUAGUAAACAAUUUAUAUAUAUAUUUUUUAAAGUCAAUCUGUCUAUUUCUUCCUCUACAUUAACCAUAUUGACCUUUUUUUUCUUUAGUAACUACAGACCUUUUUUACAAAGAGAAUUUCUGGUCAGUUUCAUCAAGUCAACAGAACCCCGCUGUAAUUUUUGUUUGCCUAAAAUUUAUUUAUUCACUUUGAAUAAACUUUUAUUGAAUGUGAGUGAAUUUUACAUUAGUGGAUAACUUUGUGGCAGUUUCCAUAAACAGAACAAAUAAAAUAAGGUUUGAGACCAUUAAGAUUAUUUAAAUUAAGCAGACAAUGAAUUAUACAUAAGUGACUAAUGUGUUGGUUAAACAAAAAUAAUUGUACUUUGCUUAAACUAAUUAUCUCAUAGGCACUAGAGGUACAAAAUAUAAAACAUAAAAUACCCCAAAAUACAAAUAACAUACAUAUUAACCCCCCCAAAUAAUAUAUCCCUGGAUAGCCUGGAUUUGAGCACCCAACAUUUCCAAAUAGUGUUUGGAUCCAGCAAACACAGCUGAAUCGCUACCGGGGAUUAAGUUUUGACAAAUCGCACACGUGGCGCCUGCCCAAAUUAGUUCCAGAGAAUCAAUGGUAGCGAUCGGUCACCUUUGGGAGUUCCAAGACAAACCAAAAGUCAAACGGUUACGCUGGCUCAUGGGUAGCGAUUGUUCGCCUGAUUCGUGCGAACAAUCCUACCGAACAGCACUCUCCUGGUUUGUCGAGGAAGGAAGCAGGCAUUCGUACCAGAUGACCAGUGUUCGCGGGGUCAAGUGGCUUUUGGGUCCCCUUCAUUCCUUUCUCCCUUGUUUUCUAACUAUUUGAAGUCUGUUGUGGGUAAGGAGGAGUUUUGGUGGCAAAUUUGUAUAAGAAAGUGGAGCGUGGAAAAUAGCAGGCCCCUUUAGUUCUUCUCCAUACUUUAACUUGCAGUUUUUCUUUUUGGGCUCAGUUCCCAAACAGGAACCUGGAUCAUUUUGUCUGAUUUAUAAAUUGUUGCUUCCUUCUGGGGGAUCAGUGAAUGAUGAUAUUAUCCAGGAAGACUGCUGAGUUCAUUAUUCAUCUUUUGAUAGGGCUUUGGAGCUGGGCCAGGCGGCAGGGCAAGGGGGCGUGGUUGGGAAAGUCAGACAUUGAGUCUGCUUUUCACCUGCUGCUGAUCCAUCCAAACUGUUUACAUUUGCUUGGCUGUUAGUUUCAGGGUUGUUUUUUUCUAUGAUAUGUGCCUUCCCAAGGAUUGUACCAUAUUUUGUUCUUAUUAUGUUCUGAAAUAUUUAGCUCUUUUUCUAGAAUGGGUGGUUUCUCAGUUAUCAAGUAAGCACCCACCUGACGUUGACGUUGGCAGGCAGGCAUUCCCUCCAGUGGCCAUUGGAGUAACUAAAUGACCUCCAUUUAUUUAAAUAUACAUAGGGAUUGAUUUAGGAGAUAGCUUUUC